AGGAAUUAGAGGUUGAAGAGGUUCUGACCCAAGAACCACUAAGUACACCAGAACCAGUUGCAGUUGCAAGGCCACGGAGAGAAAUUCGUAAACCUGCUCGAUUUACUGAUAUGGUGGCCUACACCCUUCCCGUUGUUGAUGAUAUUCCUAUCACUUAUCAAGAAGCAAUGCAAAGCUUAGAAAGUGAUAAAUAGAAAAGCGCCAUGGAUGAAGAAAUGCAGUCUCUCCUGAAGAACAAUACUUGGGAAUUGGCGUAAUUACCGAAAGGUAAAAGGGCAAUCGGAUGCAAGUGGGUAUUCGCAAAGAAAGAUGGAUCUCCUAGCAAGAAGGAUAUUCGCUACAAGGCAAGAUUGGUAGCUAAAGGCUACGCUCAGAAGGAGGGAAUUGACUACAAUGAUGUAUUUUCCCCUGUUGUGAAGCAUUCCUCCAUUAGAAUUUUGUUGGCCUUGGUAGCACAGUUGAAUUUGGAGCUAGCUCAACUUGAUGUUAAGACGGCUUUCUUGCAUGGUGAGUUAGAAGAGGAGAUCUAUAUGACUCAGCCCGAAGGAUACACAGAUGCUGGUGGUAGAAAUUGGGUUUGUAAGCUGAACAAAUCGCUAUAUGGAUUGAAGCAAUCCCCGAGACAAUGGUACAAGCGAUUUGAUAGCUUUAUGAGAAGGCAGAAGUACACAAGAAGCAAAUAUGACAAUUGUGUAUAUUUGCAGAAGCUGCAUGACGGAUCUUUCAUUUAUCUACUCUUGUAUGUUGAUGAUAUGUUAAUCGCUUCGAAGAGCCAAAAUGAGAUAGAUAAGCUGAAGGCUCAGUUGAAUCAAGAGUUCGAGAUGAAAGAUCUAGGUGAGGCCAAGAAGAUUCUCGGCAUGGAGAUAAGUAGAGAUAGACCGAGAGGCAAGCUCUGUUUAAAUCAGAAGCAAUAUCUGAAAAAGGUAUUACAAUGUUUUGGUGUAAAUGAAAACACAAAACAUGUAAGUACCCCACUUGCUUCUUGUAAAGCCCAAAAUCUGCCCGGGCCCAUACCAACAAGAUAACCCAAAUAAUAAACCCAAAAUUAACAGUCCAAAUAAUAAUAAAAACCUAGCCCAGGAAGCUAAAAUUUUAGCAGCAGAAAACCUUGGCUUUUCUUUACACCGCAUGCCUCCUCGUCUGCCACUCCCAGCGCCGCGUGCUCUGUCAGGCACCUCCUCGCAUGCUCGCCGCCACCGUUCGCCUAUCACUGGCCCUUCACGCGUGUCAGACCUCCUGCAAGAACAAACAACAGUCCAAACAACAAAACGACAAAAGAAGAAAUUUAAGUUUUUUUUUAAUCGGCUAUAAAAGGCCGAAUCAAACGAUUGUAUGGUUCUUCUACCUUUUUUACGAAUACACAGAUAUUGAAAGAAAAGAAAAUCAAUAUUAAAGAACAAGGUUGAUUUUGAAUUAUCUUCUUCGUUUCUUUGUCUUUUCUUUAUUUUUUUUGAUUUUGUUCAUUUGUUCUAUCUUUUUAUUUUAUUUUUUAUUUUUGCAAACCCAUUCCAAAUAACUAAAAAUCUAAAGCCAAAUAAAGGGGGAAGGAAUCUCACCGGAAGUGGCCUUGAUUCCGUCGUCGGGGGGUCUCUCCUCUGUCGUCCAAAUCGGGUCCAAGAGGCCGAUAACCUCCUUUGUUUUCGACUCCCACGGGUGGAGAGAGUCUUGGCUCUCAAGGAGGCCGUGGGACGGCGGCUAACGGGCCCAUUUUUCCAGCGCCGGUCGCUGGUUUUGUUGGUGGCGCGCCGGAGGUCUUAGGGCCAUCGGUCAUUUAAGAAAAAGGGGGAGUUGAGAAAGAAAGCUGAGGCUCCCUCUGUUUUUUUUUUUAGAAAAUCUGAAAAGUAAACUAAAUAAAACCAUUUUAGUUUUUAUUAUCCACUGAACGGCGCCAUUUGAUGGGGGGAAUAUGCAAAUGUUUUGCCCUAAUGGGUAAAUUGCGCAGUUAGUCCCUCCAUCUUGCAUUGAGGUGCAAUCUACCUUUUUUUUUUUUUUCGAUUUGGCCCGCGAGUUUUGUCUCUGCUUCAAGCAGGUCCUCUGACUAUGUGCGAUCACUCGCCUUGAAAUGCCGCGUCUAAAGGGGUUUGGGAUAUUUUCUUCUUCGCUCCCUGAUACUUUCAGCCGUGGCGAAUUGGUCCCUUUUUCCUCUUUGUUUUUUUUAUAUUUAUCCCCUUUGUUUUAUAAUGAUUUCAAUUGCACCCUUGAUCCUUUUAACACUAUUUUUGUAUAUUUUUAAACUGUCUUUUUUAUUAUUUAAGACUUUCUUUUAUAUAUUUUAUUUUAAACUAUUUUAGAUUAACUAGUAUUUAUCUCAAGUUUUUUAUUUUAUUUAUUUAUUUGGUUUAAAUUUAUAUGUCAUCAUCUUAUAAAUUAUUAUAUUAAAAUAUUUUAAUAUUCAUAAUUUCAAAUUGUUGAUACAUUUUUAUAAUAUAUAUUUACGUACAUACUUUUCAUUUAUUAUAAAUAUACUUUUUAUAUUUUUAUAUUUCAUAUUUUUAUGUAUACAUAGAUAUAGGCAUAAAUACAUACAUCUUAAUUCAUAUAUAUGUAUAUAUACGUACUUAUACAUACUUAAAUAUAUUUUUCAUAUUUCAUAAUUCUUAUAUACUUACAUAUAUUUAUACAUAUUUUACAUCAUAUACAUACUUAUAUAUAUUCUUUAUAUUCUUAAAAAUACUUUUUGUAUAUUUCACAUAUUUUAUAAUUCACAUACAUAUAUUUUAUAUUAUCACAAUUUGUAAAUAUAUAUAAACACAUAUUUACAUUUUUAUUUUUAUAAUACUUACCGAUUUUUUAUAUAUGUAUAUAUUUAUCUAUGUUUUCAUAUUCUAUAAUUUAUAUGCAUUUCUUAUUUUUAUGGCUUAAAAUUAUACAUGCAUAUACAUUUUUACAUAAUUGUAUUUAUUGUCAUCAUUGUUAUUUGGUGUUUGUUUAUUUAUUCAUGUACACUUGUGCUUUUUCUAAAAUGUUAGUUCUAUUUAUUUAUUUGUUUGCUUUGUUUAUGUAAUCGCCUCGUCAUUUCAUUUUGCCUAUUAUAUUGUUGUUACUCACUUUACUUUGCUUACCUUGUCGUAUUCGUUAUUGUUUUGUCAAGCAUUAACACCAAACAUCAAAAGGAAAAUUUUUCUAAAUAAGGCAAUAUUUCGCGUUUGGAAAAUCGAGAAAACGUGCCCUAACGUGCUGGGUUUCGAUUUCUCGUUCGACUAAAUAGCCAAAUAUCCUCUUAAAGCUUCAAAGUAUGGUUUCAUUAAACUAUAAGGUGAUCUUGGUUUCGAUGGUUUAGAGUAUCGUGUCCUAACGUGCUGGAUGUGAUAUUCCUUUGGAACAAGAGAAUCUUAUAUUUCAAUUCACGUUAUCAGAGUUUCUUUUAAGGAUCGUAUUUUUAAAACUCUUCAAAUUUUCAAUUUUCGACACUAAGACACUAAUUAAUCAACUAGGUACCAAUUUUGGGCGUAUCGAGGGUGCUAAUCCUUCCUCAUGCGUAACCGACUCCCGAACCCGUUUUUUUGAAUUUCAUAGACCAAAAUCUUUGUUUUAAUAAAAAUUAAAUCGUUUAUUAAAAACAACCACUUUUCGAGGUGACCCGAUCACACCUUAUCAAAAAAAAAGAUUGGUGGUGACUCCCGUUUUCAUUCUAUUUUCAAAAUCCAGGUCGAACCCGUUUUUAUCAAAAAAAUGGUGUCAACACUUCUCAUUUGAAACUUAGUGCUCAAUUAUCUCCGAAGAUUGAAGAUGAAAGAGAAUAUAUGGCGAAAGUCCCAUAUGCUAAUGCAGUUGGGAGUUUGAUGUAUGCGAUGGUGUGUACGAGGCCUGACAUUUCACAAGCUGUUGGAGUUGUGAGCAGGUAUAUGCAUGAUCCUGGAAAAGGAAAUUGGCAAGCUGUGAAAUGGAUUCUACGGUAUCUUCGAAAAACCGUAGAUGUUGGUUUAAUUUUUGAACAGGAUGAAGCACUUGGUCAGUUUGUAGUUGGAUAUGUUGAUUCCGACUUUGCUGGUGAUUUAGAUAAACGUCGUUUAACUACAGGGUAUCUGUUUACUCUUGCGAAAGCCCCAGUGAGUUGGAAGUCUACCUUACAGUCUACAGUAGCCGUGUCUACUACAGAGGCAGAAUAUAUGGCAGUUACAGAAGCUGUUAAGGAGGCUAUUUGGCUUAAUGGAUUAUUGAAAGACUUGGGAGUUGUUCAAAGUCACAUUAGUCUAUAUUGUGACAGUCAGAGUGCUAUUCAUUUAGAGAAAAAUCAAGUCUAUCAUUCAAGAACCAAGCAUAUCGACGUAAGAUAUCACUUUGUGCGGGAAGUCUUUGAAAAAGGAAAAAUUCUACUUCAGAAGAUUCCGACAGCAGAUAAUCCCGCAGAUAUGAUGACCAAAGUGGUAACAAUAAUCAAGUUUAAUCAUUGUUUGAACUUGAUUAACAUCCUGAGAAUUUGAGCACCUACAGGUGUAUGGCGCUCGAGAGCGCAUUUAGAGGCACUACAAAAGAUAACUUUAUCGAAUUUGGGGAGUUAAAGGAAGUGUGUGAAGAUGUGAUUAUCCUAAUCAAAUCUUCAAGGUGGAGAUUGUUGAAAGGUCAACAAAGGUAGGAAGCAACUUGUUAAAAAGGUUGAGCAAGUUGCACCGAAUGUUGAAAAGUUGAAUGGGAUAAUUGCAAUUUUGGUCCCUAAUUUUUUAGGCCAUUUGCAAGUUAGUCCCUGAACUUCAACUAUAAAUAGGCCUUUUCAUUUUUCAUUUCAACCAUCCCAACCAAUCUUUCUCUCUUAGUUUUCUCUCUUCUCCCAUUUGAGAAUUCUUAAGGAAUUCUAUUUGUUUGUAAUAUUUUGGAGAUAGUAAAGUUAUCAUCUGGUGUUAGUGCCCGAAGACGUAGGUAUAAUUUACCGAACCUCGUUAAAACUCUUACGUUCUUUUUGUCCUAUUUUUCUUUCAAUAUUUGAGGGUAUAAUAGUAGUAUUUAAUUGUGCUAUUAAAUUACGUUAGAAGGAAUAUUCUGACUAAAGAAAGACUUGGUAUUUAAGAGAUCCUUGUGAUGCACCUCUCUUCCCUGGGAAUUGAACUUUGUGUGAUUUUUUAGUACAAUAAUUUACACGCUUCCGACCCUUUUGGAACAACAAUCUUCGCAUUCUAUAAUUCUUUUUUCCAAAACAUUGCCAGCAUCCACAUUCUAUUUAUUGAGAGCUCCCUUGAGUUUUCGCAAUUUGAUAGCCAUUUGCCCUUUUAAACUACCCAUUCCUGACCAUUCCUUCUUACAGUAUUCCUUUUUAAACCAUGCAUUAACGAAUUUGAAAGGUCUUGGUCCCUAGUCAAUUGUUUCAUUUACUUUAUGUUAUGUUAAGUACCUUAUUUUUUAGAAGUUUAAUAAAAGUAUAUAAUCAUAGUGAAAUAUUGGAGUUCACAUAAUCUUUCAAACAUUAAUCAUACAUUCAAAAACAAUGCAUUUCAUAAUUUGCUAAGCAUCACCUCCUCUCUUCCCAAUAACGAUCUUGUAAAGAGGUCGUUCUAUACUUUUCUACUAAUCCCAUAAUUUCUCAUACAAUCAGCUAUCAUUCCUUUCUUUUUUCUUGCAAGGUGAAAUAGCCUUGAAAAUUCUUGUUUUAAUGGACGAUUACUACACCAUAUGUCCAUCCAAAACAUCGUCGUCCUACCAUUCCCAAUUCGCCAGCAAAAAGAAUCCAUCCCCACCCAUUUAGACACAUUGGCAUCUUUAGAAUUCUCAACAAUACCUCUCUACACAGUUGACAUUUCUUUUGGAUGAGUCGCCCUAAAACACUACCCUUGCACUUUCGACCCAUACUUAGCUAAGAUGACCUUACACCACAACGCUUCUUUUUCGAUCGCAAAUCUCCAGCUCCAUUAGCCAAUAAAGCUCUGUUUUUUAUUCCUAAAUUUACCACACCCGCUCCUCCCUUCUCCUUUGGCUUACAUACUAUAUUCCAAUUUAUCUUAGCCAUCUUUUUUUUCCCUUCCGUAUUCCCCCAAAGGAAAUUCCUCCUUAUCUUGUCAAUCUUUUGUAUUACUGUCACCGGAGCUUGGAAUAAUAACAUGAAGUAAAUCGGUAAAGAAGUCAAAACAACGUUGAUUAACACUAUUUUUGCAGCCCAUGAAAGCGUACGACACUUCCAUCCCGAUAAUUUCUUUCUGAAUCUUUCUACAAUAGGGUCCCAAGUGGAUAUUCUCUUUGGGUUCGCUCCUAAAGGAAUCCCCAAGUAAUUGAAAUGUAGAAAUUCGAUCUUGCAUUUACAAUUUGCUGCCAUCCGAAAUAACGUUUCUUAUUUCACAUCGUAGAAUAUACAUCACAUUGCUCACCUCUUUUUCAUCCGCUCUCAAGAAUAGAAUAGUGUCAUCCGCGAAUUGUAGAUGAGUAAAAAUCAGACCAGAAAUAACAUUUUGAAAGCCUUCGAUUAGCCUUAUCUCCACAGCAUUGUCCAAAGCUAAAUGAAGAACUUCUGUCACUAAUGGAGAUAGCGAAUCUCCUUGACGAAGACCUCUACGGAAUCUGAAUUCAUUGGUAGUUGACCCAUUAAUGAUUACUUCUGCUCGCGUCGUAGAUAUGCAUUCCAUCACCCAACCUCUCCAUUUUUCAUCGAAUCCCAUCUGGAAUAACACCAACUCUAGAAAAUCCUAUUGAACGCAAUCAUAAGCUUUAGAAAAACCUAAUUUACAAAUCAAAUUGUCCUCUCUUCCAUCUUUCUUCUUGAUCGAGUGAAUUAUUUCAUUUUCUAUUAAAAUCCCAUCAAAUAUUUGUCUUCCUCUGAUGAAUGCACAUUGUGUCGCUCACCACCUCUCCGACUACCUCCCUUAUCCUUCGAGACAACACCUUUGACACAAUCUUGUACAAAGAGCUCACCAAACAAAUUGGCCUAAAAUCUAAUAUUUCAUUUGGAUUUUCUACCUUGGGAAUGAGUGUGAUAAAUGAUGAAUUGAUACUCUUCUCAAGCUUUCCCGAUAUGAAAAAAAUAUCAUGCAUCAAUCUAAAUAGAUCCUCCUUUAAAAUCUCCCAACUUUUUCUAAAAAAACACAAAUUAAAACCAUCCGGUCCAGGUGCUUUUGAUUCAUCGCAACUCCAAACAGCCUCUUUAAUCUCUUCCAUCAAAAAUGGUUCCUCCAAUCUUAAAUCCAUCUCCUCAUUAAGCAUUCUGAACUUCAGAUCCAAUUCCAUUCUCCACUUUCUUGCAGGGCAAUUAAAAUAAUUUUUGAAAAAAUUGUACAGUCCCUCUUUAAUCUCUUUAGGUUCCUUGUACCAAUGACCCCCAAUUUUCAAGCUAUACACCAUCUUUCUUUUAGCCUUGAUUUUAACUUCUCCAUGGAGAAAAGCACAAUUAGCAUCCCCUUCUUUUAACCAUGUCAUCCUUGAUUUUUGACGCCAAAUAGAUUCUUUAAAUUUUAUUGCUUCCCAAAGUUCAACGUUCAACUUUUUCAAUUCCUCCCUUUCCUGCUCGGUCAAUUUUAUGUGUUCGCUAGCUUCAUCAAUCUCCUUUAUCCUACUUCGCUUUCUGUAAUUUUUUUUUUCCAAAACAUUGCCAGCAUCCACAUUCUAUUUAUUGAGAGCUCCCUUGAGUUUUCACAAUUUUAUUGCCAUUUUCCCUUUUAAACUACCCAUUCCUAACCAUUCCUUCUUAAUUAAUCUCUUAUAGUCUUCCUUUUUAAACCAUGCAUUAACGAACUUGAAAGGUCUUGGUCCGUAGUCUAUUGUUUCAUUUACUUUAUGUUAUGUUAAGUAACUUAUUUUUUAGAAGUUUAAUAAAAGUAUAUAAUCAUAGUGAAAUAUUGCAGUUCACAUAAGAGGUGCUCAUGGGUCGGGCGGCCCGGCCUGCCGGCCCUCCCGAAAUAUGGGAGGGUUCGGGUAAAAAUAUAGACCCAAAAUAUGGGUUUGGGCAAAAAAAAUGAGGCCCGUUUAGAAAACGAGUCGUGCCUCGGAUACCACUUUUUUGGCCCAGACCCGGCCUGAAUAUAUAGUAAAUAUAUAUUUUUUAUUUUUUUAUUUUAAAAUAUUUUAAAAUACUUUUUUUAUUUUUUAUUUUUAAAAUAAAUUUUUGGUGUUUAUUAAAAAAAUAGGCCAGGCCGGGCUCGAGCUUAAGAAUUUUUUCCUGAGCCGAGCCUGGACAAAAUUUUAGGCCCAUAGUUUGGGCCGAGCUGGGCCCGAGCCUAGGACGCGGGCAGAAAUUUUUUCUGGACUCGACCCGAACCCGGUCUGGCCCAUGAGCACCUUUAGUUCACAUCAUCUUUCAAACAUUAAUCAUACAUUCAAAAACAAUGUAUUUCAUAAAAACUUUUAUAUAUAAAAUACUUACGAGUAGAUGUCAAGCUGAGCUAAUUUGAUUUUCCAUAGAAAAUUUUUAAAUAAUAAUUCACAACAACCAAUUAAUAAUAUAAAAAUCAUAAUACUUAUCUCAUCAUUCAAUUAUUAAUUAAGGGACAAAGGAAAUAAUGAAAUAUUAAAGAAUUCAUGAUUUGUUUUCUAUAUAUAGGGAGGGUUAUUGCAUAUUGAGACCAAAAGUGUAGUCGAAGUUGAUAUCCAACUAUCACUCUUUAGGUUUAUUGCAUUAAAUAAAUCAUGAAAUCUUUCCUUCCUUUCUUUGCAUUCCUCUCACUUCUCCUGGUAAGCUCUUGCAAUUUCGUAUGUAUUUGUACAUACAUAUAUUUAUUGUUAAUUUGUAUGGUUAAUUGCAUAUACUUUUAUAUGGAUUCAGUUUGUAGACACCAUUGCAGCAGCUAGGAAAGAUGCUGGAGAGUACUGGGGAGCUGUAAUGAAAGAUCAGCCUAUGCCUGAGGCACUCCAAGAGCUUGUUCGGAUUGAGGCUGCCGUUGCCAACCCCGAUGAGAAAACCAAGUGCCAUACAUCAGGUAACAUUGAGCUUAAGGAAGAGAAGAUUAUUGUUAAUGAGGAGUUCGAACCAAGGCCAAACAUUUCAGCUUACGGUGAUGACGCUAAUCUAAAAGGAGAUAAAUCAUCAUCUUUUGCAGAAGAUUUUGAACCGAGACCUAACAUUUCGGCUUACGGGGGCGAUGAUGCUGGUCUUAAAGGACAGAAAGAAUCAUUCACUAAAGAUUUUGAUCCACAGCCAAAUAUCUCCGCUUACAAUAACUAAUUAAAAGCGAAACCCAAGUACCAUUGGCUUAGACCCACAUCUUCCAUUAAUUUCGUCAUCAGAUUGUGUGUGAAGCUUUAUGUUUUAUAUUUGUGAAAAAAAUAAGUGGGUUGUUAUGAAUAUCUAUGAUUCUGUGACCACUAUCAUUACAGUAGAAUGGCAAAGGAACUGUGACCACUAUUGGGAUCUUUGUGAUGUUAACUCUUUGGAACAUCAAAUCAACUAUUAUUGCAACAAUUAUUCCAUGCUGAUUGUCAAUAGAGACAGAGAGAAUACUUUGCAGGUCUACAGGAUAUAUAAAAGAAUAAGUAUAAAAUAAUAAUAUUUACAAUACGAUAUUACAUGUGAUAAUUAACAUGGUAUAUUAUUAUAUGUUUCAACUACUAAAACUUAGGUGAACUCUAUCCAUUAUCGUUGUAUAUAAUGGUAAGUUAUAUUAUGCUCUCAAAAGAGAUUAUAAGUUCAAACUUUGGAGACAACAUUAUUAAGAAGGAUCAUAAACUCCGAAAUGAAAAAUAGUAAUAAAAAAAUUGAGGUUUACUCUACCAACUCUUGCAAUUAAUGCCAUCCUCUAGAAAUGGUCGGGCUAUCCGCUUAAAUCCAAAAGUUUGUUCAAAUUUUGGUAAAAAUAUUAGGUUAAAAAAUGUGUUUGAGCAAAAAAAUAAGCUCGUUUAAAAUACGUGGAGGCUCGAGUCCGGCCCGACCAGACCUAUUUUCUAAAUUUAUAUUAUAUAAUAUUAUUUUUAUAUAUUAAGUAAUUUCUACCACUUAAAAAUUAAAUUUAUAGUAAUAAACAAUACUAUAAUGUAAACAUGCUAAAAAUGUUAAAUUGCCUAUAUAUAUAAUUUUAAUUAAUAAAAAAUAAAUUAUUCAGUAUUAAAUUUAAAAUAACAUAAAUAUUUAUAAAAAAAAAUUAAAAAUAAUAUGGGUGGGCCUAAAAUAGGCUUGAGAUAAUCAUUUACAAAUAUAAAUAGCCUUGGUCAAAAUUUAAGUCCAUAUUUCGAGUUAGGCCAAGUUUGGACAAAUAUAAAAUAUGCUAAUAUUAUAUUCAAAAUGUAACACCCUAUACCCAACCCGAUCGUUAGGUCCGGGUACUAGAUGCUACACUAACCUGAAUGACUUAAUAAGUACUUCUGUUUCUAAUUUAAUUACAUACUUAAACAACUUAAAAUUCUAAAAUCUAACUACUAUUAAAACUCGUACAAAACUGGUGAAUAAUUCUUACGACCUUGGUUCCAACGUCUAUUUACAAUAUUUAGAUUAAGACUCGAAAAUGGAUAUAGUCAACUUAAACCCUAAGGCGUGGCCUUUACGAGUGCCCCUCUAUAUACUUGAACAGCUACCGCGCACCACUUAACUUUGGUGGAGUCUAACAUGGUCUCUCUUGAUUCUCAAGUCUUUUUCUAACAUGCAUUCAAGCAACAAUUUUACAAGUUCCGCAAAACUUAGUGAGAUUUGCACAUAACUUUAUGUAAAUCUAUAUCCUUAAUACUCAUAUUCAUUACUCAUGAUUGGCGAUGCUCAGUGUUUACCCAAAUAAUUGCCGUAAACGUGGGUCCUUACCCGAAUACGAUCUCUUUCUAAUAUUCUCUUUUCCUAGGGGAACGAGUACUUCCAAUGCAACCCCCAUAGCACCUGUUUUCUCAGUCUAUUAACCUUAAAGAGACUAUAUUAGAAUUACGGUUUCUACCUUUGGUAGAUCAACAAGAUCCUUACCAUUUAUCGUGGUCCUGAUGGACCUCUAUUUUUCAUUAUUAUCUGAUAGACUUUACUGGCCAUUCAGCCUUAAACGGGCAUUUUCUCCCACAUCGAUUCUUAUUGGCCUACCCAAUUUUUCGGUUGACCCUUUGUCGACUUACAAAUUAGGAUUUUAUUCUUUCCAUCCUCCUCUACAUUUGCUUAACCAAAAUGAAUUUUGUGACUUCAUGGGCAGACUCUUAUUAAAGAAAGUCAUGAUUACUAUCUCGUUUAAGGAAUUUCUCCCUCCUUUCACACGUGGCUAAGUUAGGACGCUUCUUAGGCUCCAUUCGUCAUUGCCCUUGGCGAAUCCCCUAGGUAUCCAGAUAUCUUGUGUUCCCAAAUACGCCAGUCCAUCUUGUUAAAUGUUUGGUCACUCAAGUCCCUUUGCGACUCAUCAUUUAUAUCCUGGUAAAUUUUUUGGUUAAUAAGUUGCGGACUUUACAUGUUGCCAUAACUGAGUUAUGUUCUUACUCAAGAAUUCCCAAGUCCAUCCUCUUAAAUGCUUGGUCACUCAAGUCUCGUAUUUUAUAUCUCGAUGGACUAUCUCGUGUUUAUUGUCCCGAUGGACUACCCCGUAUUUACUAUCCCAGUAGACUUUACUAGUCGCUAUAAUCGAACUAUGGUUUUACACCUUAUAAUUCUCGUGUUUAUUAUUUCAAAGGACUCUAUUGGUUGUCAUAGCCGAGCUAUGGUCUUACACUUUAAACCUCUUUGAGGUGUCACUCAAAAGACUUUACCGCCAUCGCGAUGUCACCCCAUAAAGCUUGUUGAUUAUCACCGCGGUGUUGCUCUAUAGAACCUAAUAACAGUUGUCACGGUGUCACCCCGAAAGACCAGUCGAUAUCAUUCCAUUCCUUAUUUAACCUUGAUGCUCGAACACCAUAGUGUCCACUCUGCAAGGCCAGGAGUUUCGCAUAUCACGACUUGCACCCAACAAUAGCGUAUGGUGGAAUCUUAACGGAAUUCCAUUUCCUUGUCCAUUUGCCCAUUCCUCCAGUUUUCCAUAACUACCUUAAUGCUUGAUCACCAAAGUGUCCCCUCUACAAAACCCAGAGCUUCACACAUUACAGUUUGCACCCAACAACACCCUAUAGCAGUAUACAGAGUGUCCAUUCCUAGUCCUAACUUCAUCUAACCCACCAAUAAUCUCUCCUUCAUACCCCACCGUUCAAAUAUGCAAUACAUGACAAUCAUGAACGUAUUAUCAUAGAGUAUGUUACUUUUCAAACAUAAAAUCUCAACAAUUUCAUACAUGCUGACACACUAACAGAUACUCAUAUACCUACUCAACCUUAUGCAUGCUUAGCAUUUACAACCAGCAGAAUUCAUACAUCAUCACAAUACUCAACACAUAAUCAUGCCAGCAUACAACAUUUCAUGGAUGGAGUACAAAUACUCGCCUUGCUUUAUUAUCCUUGACAGUUUAGCUUGUCCUGGCAGCUAAGCAUGACAACCAUUUACAGGUUAAACUAAAGGUGUUCAACCCUUAAAACCUAGAAUCCAUAAUUAUUCAAAAGCUUUUAAGAGUUCUUACUUUACUUCUCUUUUCAAUCUGCAAAUACAGAGAGGUAAGAAAACUUACUAGUUGUUUAAUUUCUAUACUACCAGACUUCAAUUCACACGACUACUAUGACAUACGGUGCUUUCUUUCAGUUAUAUCAUAUUCUUCUUCAGAGCGAUUGAAGAAGAUGAUGCUAUGUUGAGAUAAAUUGGUAGAUAGAAUUGAGAAGAUUAUGUCUCCACACACACCUAUUUAUAUACUCCUUUGGCACGAUUUUCAUUGACCGUCACAACAUUUCAUCCAUAAUAAUUUUGUCUCCCACUAUAGAACCAGACGGUUCUCAUCUAACUAAAUCAGAAUUGAAGUCCAACUAGUCACAAUUCAACCCUUAAAAAUUUUAAAUUUCUCAAUGGAGUUCAAAAAUUUACUAAUCCUUUCAAUUUAGUCUUAACCUUCCUUAAAUCUUGGGUUAAUAGUGUAACACCCCUUACCCGGUCCAAUCACCGAACCUGAGUAAUAAGAUGCUAUUAAAAACACCAAAUAAUUACAUACAAUUUGUAAUUUAAAAUCUCAAUUAAUUAUCAAACAAUUCAUAAAUAAUCAAGUUAACAUGUGAUUCAAACAAUUUCGGGUUAAUAUCGAACUUACAGAAGCUUAAAACCAACUCGAUAACAAACAGGGACCAUUUUGAAACUAAAACAAAAAGUUGGAAACAAUCUAUAAAUAAAGGUCACACGGUUGUGUCCUCUGGCUGUGUGGAAAUGCUAAUGCCGUGUAGGAUGAGACACAUGGCCGUGUAGACAAACCAUGUAACAAAUUGAUGUCAUGUGGAGUUAAAGUCACAUGGCCAUGUGAACAACCGUGUACUCUAACUAAGGCCGUGUGGGUCAAAAGUCCAAAUAUUCUAAAAUGUGUCACAUAGCCGUACCGUUGGGUCGUGUAUCAGACUGUGUCCAUGUGCACCAAAAUCACCUAAAAACUUAUAAACAACACGGUCGUGCCAUAGGUCCGUGUAUGGUACUCGGCCGUGUGUACUUGGAAUUACCUUUUAAUGCAAUAUUUCUACCUUAGCUCACUUAAGCAACAAGUAAUCAUUCUAAACCACAUUCAACCAAAUCAAAAGCAUCUAAAUCAAACCAAAAUUAUCAUUUAAAAUAACUACCCUGAGUGCCUAACCAAUAUGCCACAAUUGGCAACUCAAUUCACAAUUCAAAAUCAACCAAUUUAUCACAUUCAUCCAUACCAAUAUGCCUUCAAGGCACCUCAACAAGUUCGACCAAACGUAAGCCAUUAAACCCUUUUUAAUACAUAAUGAACCACUCAAGUUCAAUCACAAAUCAUACACCAAAAUUUACCAUUCAAUACAAGAUCAACAACAGCAUACCAUUAUUCAUCACUUUCAACUAAAUACCAAUCAACCACAUCACCUAACAUAUUAUCAAAUCAACCUUUAAACCAUGAAUCACAUAUACCAAAUUAAUUUAGCAAGACAUUAACAACAUAACCUUUCUCAUCAUAUACAUAAUCUCCAAUUACCAAUAAAAUACAAAAGGAUCAUUAUAGCCAUAAAACAUCCUAGGUACAUGCCAAAACCAAAAUGAACACAUCAGUAACACUUGAGUUCAAGAUUUCCGUUGGAUGCUAAGUCGAUGAUCAAAUCGUAAGGUACCUAACCUACGUACAAAAAAAAACCGAACAUUGAGUAUAACUUAGUGGUAUUUCUAUAAUCCAAACACUAUAACAUAACAUAAGACAUUUGAGUAGCAUAAGUUAAAAAUGCAUGAUGUUAUUCCAUUUAAUAUGUCAUCUAACCAUUUCUCAUAUUCUUGGAUCAAAAAAAUUAUAACUUAGCAAUAUCUAAGCAUGACCAACAACUUGAAAUACCACAAAUAUACAUUCAUUUUCACAUAUCACUUCAAAUUACUAACUAUUUGUCAUUUCAAUAUCAAUUUCAUAUUUCUAUUGAUCAUUCAAUCACUUGAAUUUUGAAUACUUAUCCAACAUCAACAUUCCAAUUAUAAACCUUUCAUUUUUAUCAUUUAUGCAAAUAUAUGAUAGCAUUGAUCAACUCAACAUGUAUUCAAUUUUUAUUUAUAUAAAUAUACACAUUUCUUCACAUAUGUUCAAUUUAGUCCACAUGAACAUAAAUCGAUUCAAAUUAAUCUAUUACAUCUCAUAAUCACAAAGUGUCUCACCUUAUGUUCUUACCAUACACAAAUAAUUCAAUAUGCACUAAUUUAGAUGUAGUUCGGGUUGUAGAAACACAAACUGUAAACUCCAAGCUAUUCGUUGACGACUUUGCCUUUUCCUUUCUUUUUCGAGAAAUCUGGGUCGAUGUUAAUAAAUUGAGGGACUAAGUAUUGAAACCCUAGGAAAAACUCUCCCACCCGUUGAAUUCCUUGAAGAAUUUAGUGAAGGAUAGAUUUUGAAGAAGAUAAUGCCUUUUCUUUCUCUUUCUUUCCACUUUCAACAUGUUUUACCUUAUUUUAACUUAUUUUAUUAUAAUUUUUUUAUAUUUUCUUCAAUUAUAAGAUACAUUAUUGUCCACUAUAAAUCCUACAAUGGUUUAAUUGCUUCAUAGGUCCCUUAGUCUUUUUCUAAUUAAAGAUUCCUUAAAAAUUACACUUUUGACACUUUUAUGAUUUAGUCCUUGUACCCUAAUUAAGCACUAAUUUGAUAAAGUUACUUGACCAAAAUUCAAUUAACUUCUAAUAUACCUCCGUAAAUAUUAAAUAAAAAUAUUUAAAGGUCUAAUUUAUGAAAACAGGGUCCCAAAGCCACACUUUCUGAUACCACUGACUUUUGAGUCGUUACACUUGUACCUUAAUUAACUAUCAAUUAAAAAAUUAUUAAACAAAAAUUUAAUAUAUUUCUAUUUUAGCCUUGUAAAUAUUAAAUCUACGAACAAGUUUACAAAAAUUACGUUUUGAAACUGGAGUUUCUGACACCACUAGAAAUGGGGUUGUUACAAAUAGAGAUAGUCGGGUGUUACACAAAACCCGAUUCAGUCUAACCCAUGAACAUCUUUACUUGGAAGUAAUAGUUAAGGCACCCAGUCACAAAAAAAAAGUUAGAUUGAAAGAGGGAGAUCCCUUUACCAAUUAUAUUGUAACAUCCGUGUUAUGCCUCGGAGUUAGGUACAAUGAUAUAUCGGGUUAGGAAAUAGUAGGAAAAUUUUGAAAUAGAUAAAAUAAGAAUUUUAAGUGUCAAUUUAGAAAACAGUUAGAGCCAAUAAGAAAUUAGGAAACGCUUAUUAGAUGAGAAAACUUGAUUUAGGACAUUGACUAAAUUGUAGGAAAAUAGAAAUUGAUGGGGCAAAAGUGAAAAAAUCAAAAGUUUGAAAUGAUUACAUGAAAUUGGUGGAAAAGGAAGAAGGACUAGGGGUGAAAUUUUACAAAAUAAGGUGUGAUUCACAUAUUAUGAAAAAAGGUAAAAGACAAAAUGGUAAUUAGCUAAAUUAGAUAAUUAUGGAAACAUAUGAUUAAAUGAUGAAAUUUUUUUGAAAUGGGAUUGGUGGAUUAAUUUAUAAAUUAAUAAAAAAUGAUUAUUAAAUUAAGAGAUAUUUUAGUGGAAUUGUGUAGAAAAUUGAAGAGAAAAGAUGAAAAUCAUUCAUCUUUCCCAUUCCCAUGCCACAACCAUUUUUCUCCACCUUUUAGACUUUUAUUUUUAUUACAUUUAGUUCCCUCUACCAUUUUUGAACCUUUCUAAGUUUAUUUCUUCAAGUUUCUUUCAUGUUUCCUUAGCAAAAUCAAUAUAGGAGUUUACUGGCUACCUUAAUUUCAUGAGAAGAGUCUUCAUAAAUGUAUUGAAGAGAGAGAAAGUAAGAAUUAAGUUGUGAUUUCAAGUGACUAAGGUAAGAGAUGAUGAAAUCUUCAUGACAUACAUGUUUAUUUCAAUAAAUUAGCAUAAUAAAGUUAUUUGAUUGUGGUUUUAACAUGAAUAUAUUAUAUGUUUUGAUAUGAAAUUGAAGAAAAAGAGAAGAAGUGUGAGGAUCAAAUUGAAGAAAAAGGAAAAAAGGUGAUCAAUGAAUAAGAAGAAAGGAAACCUUAUUAUCUAAGCUUUGGUUGUAAGUACUUUAAGAAUUUUGCCUUGUUUAGUUUUAAUUUAGCUAAAAAUUAUGCUAUUUAGACGUUUUAAUUACUCAUGUUAUAUGAAUUUAUGAAAUAAUUGUUGAUGGAAAUCUCUGUAAAUUAUGUAUAUUCUAUUUUAUGAUGUGAAAAUGAAGUAAUUCAUGCUACUGGUGAAAAAGAGACUAAAUUGAAAAGAAAGAAAAUAUGUCAUAAAAAUUUGAAAUGCUAAAAAUAGGGUUUAUAUGAAAAAUAUUAAAGUUAUGAUGUUAUGAAUAUUAAUUAUGUGAUGAAAUCUACAAGUUUGCAUAUAUAUGAUCGAGGACUAAAUGGUAAAAAGUGACAAAUUACAGUGUAUCUUUUGAAAUGUAUUAAAUGCUACAAUUCGUUGGAAGUAAAGCCCAUGUAGACGAGAUGUGAACUAUUAGGAUAUAGAUGACAUGCCAUUAAGGAUAUUUAGUGCGCCCUUUGUUCUAUUAGCAUUUCAGUGUCCUUUGUUUCGAUUGCGCUACGGUGCCCUCCGCUCUGACAUUACACUUCGAUGCACAUAUGUUCUGUUAAUGCACUUUGAUGCAACUUUGCAUUUAUUUCCAUAUGUUCUAAAUGUUCUAUUUAGUCUACAGUGGGUUAUUGAACAAAAUGUGGUCUAAACGAACAGAAAUGUAACACGGUAAGUUAUUGUAAAUGUUUGAAAGAAAAAGAUUGAAUUAAUGAUGGUGAUGAACAAAACUUAAUAUAUAUAAAUGCAAUGUGUAGUAAUUUAUAUAACUAUUUUUUUUUAAAUUCUUGAUGUACUUACUAAGCUUUCACCGACUUAACGCGUUUAUUUUUAACGCGUAGGUUGAAGAUAGAUUUGGAAAGUUAGAACUGAGGUCGUGAUCAGCUCAUCUCAUCACAUCGCCAAGCUUGGAGAAGAGUAUGACACUAAAUUUUGGUUUAGUUUGGCAUGUAAAUAGGCUAAAUAGUGUGUGAAUGUGAUAAGUGUCAAAAGUAACAUAUUUUAGCCUAAUUCUAUGUAUCUUUGGGUGAUUACGUGGUGUUAGUUGUGAAUUAUAUGCUCUUAAUCCUUUAAGUUCAUGUUUUGAAGCUUGAUAGAGCAUUUGGGAGCAAUAAGAGCAAAAAAGGAGUGAAAAUCAGAACAUUGGAGAAGUCCGGAAGUUGCACAUGGGCAAUAGAGUUUUACACGACCAUGUAGGCCACACAGGCGUGUAGAGCAUGUGGAUUUCGGGAACCAUGUGUGUUGAUAGCUAAAAGUUCUAUUUUUUAGGUUUUUGGCACUUUAAGAAGGUAUAAAUAAGAUAAUAAAAAGGAAAGGCAGCAGCCGUCAUAGAAUAGCACAAAAUUACCCAAAAGAACACCAUUGAAGGGGAUUUCCAAGCAGUUCGCCAUCAAGAUUCAAGAGUCUAAGUUGAUUUCUAAUAGAGUUACAUUGGUUGAUUUUAUUUUAGUGGUAAUAUUGUAUUUUUGGUGUUUCUUCUUGCAAGUAUGAACUAAAUUUCUAAAUACCUAAGGGAGAUGAAUCUUAGGAUGUAUUCUAUUGUUUGAUUUCUAGUUUUAUGCAAUAAAACAUUAGUUCUUUGUUUUCAAUUAUGAAUGCUUAAUUGUUCUUGGGUUGAUAAUUCUAGGGUAUUAAUCCAUGUUUUAUGUGCAUGAGUUUGAGGUUGAAUAGACUCUUUUUAUGAUUAGAUCUUGCAUAAUUGGAUGGAGUUGCAUGCAAUCCUAGAAAUAAGACGAGAUAAAUCUAUCGGAUUAGAGUCAAAUCUAAUAUAGAGAUCCAUAGAGCUAAUUAAUGCAAUAAUAAGGGUUUUAAUUAGAAAGAAAUUUCAAUUAAUCAAGCUAGAGUUAGUUGCUCUUAUGCUCGAAAAAGAUAUUAACAUAAAUUAGGGAUUUCUAUGGAUCAAAGAACUAAGAACAAAAGUUGUAUAAAUUAGAUAGAGAAUUAUAUAUGAAAUCUAGGUAGAUUCUUACCUAGGAAUUGUUUUGUCACUUGAUUGACAUUUAAUUAUUUUUGUGAUUUAUUUCUUUGACGCACUUGUUAGUUAAUUUAGUUAGUUAAGUUUAGUUUUAAUUAAUCUUUUGAAUUAUUAGGUUAAACGAUAGGAAGACGAUAAAUACUGGUAAUUGUAGUCCUUAAGGGAACAAUAUUUGUGCUCACCAUAACUAUACUAUUAAUUGAUAGGUGCACUUGCCUUAGUCGAUAUAUUAGUUAGUUUAGUGGACAUUAAAAUGGGUAUGAAGGACUAAAAUAAAAACUUUGCAAACUUUAUAAAUUCUGAGAACUUAAACAGAAACUCAAUAUGCUUGUGGUGUAUAAUAAUAAGUGAGUGAUAUGAAUAAUUUAUAUGCUUAAAUUUAAAUUGGUUUGGUUGCAUUUGAAAGUUGUAUGCAGGGACUUAGAGGUAAAAGUUAUAAAAUUGGCAAAGAAAACUUAAAUUUUCAAAUAAGGACAUGAUUCUCGAAAUUUACUCAGGCCAACCACACGGCAGUGUGGCAGACACGGGCUAUGACAUGGUCGUGUGAAUACUGGAAGCAAAUAUUUUUGGAACCACACGGUUCCCGAGAUCCACAUAGCCCGAGGACACAACUGUGUGCCCUAUUUUUCACAAUAAUCCUUAUCUAACCUUAGAAUAUUAUAUUAAAUGCAAAUAUGUUUUUAAAAGAAAUUAUUGAGCUCAUCCCUAAUCUUGGCAAUUAAUUAAAAAUAUUCAAUAACUGAUAAUUUCACUUUGAACAAAAAAUCAAAGUCUAUUAUUCUGACAAUCAAUGUAGCAUUCCUAUACUUGAUUCGAUUAUAGUGCCGAGUAUAAAGGUGUUAUAUAUAUGAUGAUUAAGAGAUGUUCAAUAAUCUUAAGAUAUCGUUCAAAGAGAAACUAUUGGGAUCCAUCGUUAUGUCACAGACAACAAAUGAUUCUUAUCAUUGUGAUUGGCGACACCAUAAAUAAGGUUAUUAGGAUUGAUUAUAAUAUUGAUAGUGGCUCUAGAGGCCAUUUUGCUCGAAUGGAAAUUUUCAAGAAGUGAAAUAUGAAGCUUUCAAAAUUCAAAUUAACAAUAAUGCACAACUUUAUACAGUGUCUAAUAGCAAAAUUUGACCAAAACAAUAACAAUAAUGGGCCACAGCUGAGCAUUUCAAAAUGCGGCCCAAUUUAUAACUACAAUAAUGCACACUAUUAUGCUUUCGGCUCAAAUCAACCAAAUUUCAUACUGAACCGACUGAAAACCCUUUUCCCCAUAGAACCAAACCCCGCGACCCGUGAUGGAGGAGAAACGCCGGGAUGCGGUUAACUCCCCGGCGGAACCGGAGCUGGCAUCAACUCGCCGUCGGGGUGGAGCGCUGAAGAGAAAAGUUAAUUCGCUUUCCGGGUCUAGUUCUUCAUCAACUCCGUCGAAACGGGUUACUCGGGAGAAGUCAAACUUGAUCUCCCACUCUCCCGUUAACCAUUACGGUCCGUUAACCAGGGCUCGCCAAGGGGCCCCUAGUGGAAACCUAGCCUUGGGUUCGAGUUCGGGAUCGGGUGGCGCAAAGCUUGAGGAGACGAAUUUGGUGAAACAAAGUGUAAAGGCGGAAGAUUUGGAAGAAUUAAAGGCAAGUGAAGAGUUGGAGGCUUUGGAAGCUAAGAUUGAGGCUGAUUUUGAGGCUAUUAGGUCUCGUGAUAGUAAUGCGCAUGUUGUUCCUAAUCAUUGCGGUGAGUUUUUUCUUUUCCCCUUUUUCUUUUCCUUGUUUGGUUGAUGGGAAAAUGGGCAGGAAAGGGAAUGAAGGGUGAACUAUUUGUUUUACAGCUUUAGUGAUGUGAAUUCUUUCUUGGGAGGUAGUGAAUUGGAGAAAUUAUGUGGAAUUUUUUUUCGUUUUCUGUUGAUUUAGAGUUCAAUUUAGUUUGUAUUGUAGUUUUUUUUGUCUCAAUUGUGGAAAACAAGAAAAAAAAUAUUGGAUGUGUUUUCUUGAAUAGUUAAUUUGAGAGUUUAUUUCUUUAUUUUUUUCUAUAUGCUAUAUGAAUUCCAAGUCUUUUUUAUGGUAUUCACAAUGAAAUGGUACAUAAGUAUUCAUCCAGUUUGUUCUGCUCAUUUCUUAUCAGCCAUGCAUGAGAAUUAGACCUUGCAAUAUUAGACACGAUAUGCAAAACAUAAGUAAAAUAUUACACAGAGCCAAAAAUAAAAAUAAAAAAUCCAUACUACACAAAUACAUGAAUGUCUCAGAAUCCACUUAAACAUGAUUAUGACAUAGGAAAAAACACGAUUAGGUCACAGUACUCAAGCUGCAAUGAAAAUGAUGAUCUUAUUUUCAUUAGCAGAGAGCAAACUAGGGCUAAUAAUUGACUUUAUUGGAAGCAUCUUAUUUUGAAGCUAUAAAGAUUGAAAAAGAAGAAACUGAACUAUUAGAUUCUUUGGUGUUUCCUCAUGUUGGUUUUUGUAUUCAUCUUCUCUUUGUAUUUAUAGGAUGGUUUUCAUGGACAAAAAUUCACCAUCUGGAAGAGAGUAUCUUGCCUUCUUUCUUUAAUGGGAAAUCCCCAAAUCGUACCCCUGAUGCAUACAAGGAGAUUCGCAAUUGGAUUGUGAAGAAAUUUCAUGCAAAUCCAAGCAAGCAGAUUGAGUUGAAAGAUCUGGAAGAUCUUGAAGUCGGUGACUUGGAUGCAAGGCAGGAGGUAUUGGAGUUCCUGGACUACUGGGGUUUGAUUAAUUUUCAUCCAUUCCCUCCAGCUGGUUCUGCUGUGCCUAAUCCCAAUGGGGAUGGGGAUGGAGAUGGGAUGACAGAAAAGGAUUCUUUGCUUGAAAAUUUGUUUCACUUUGAUGAAAUUGAAUCACGCCCACAAGGUGUUACCAAGCCUAACCUUUCAAGCCCAUCUCUACCAUCUGGGCUACUUCCAGAAUCUGCGGUCGCUGAGGACUUGAUGAAUCCGGAGGGGCCAUCUGUUGAGUACCAUUGCAACUCUUGUUCAGCUGAUUGCUCUAGGAAACGCUACCAUUGCCAGAAGCAGGUUAGUUACUGAACACUGACUAAUAAAUAAUUGUAUGAGCCUCAAAUUAUUUAGAUCACUAUGAAGAGAAAAAUAACUGCACUAAUCUUUCCAAGUAUCCUUAUGGUGGUAGCCAAUGUUUCUACAUUUCCUGCAUUGAACUCAUACAUGCUUACUUCUACGAAAUCAAUUUGUAUGACAUCUUCAGCUCAAGCCAAGUGAUAAAUAAAACUGGAAAUCCACGAACUUUCUUUGCUAUUGAUCUUUGUCCAACAAAUAAGAAAUCAGCAUAAAUGGUUUGCGCCACCUGCACGAUCUGAUAUGCACGGCUUUCAAUCUUUGAAUAAUGUGAAUGAUUAAAAUGGAAAGAAUAACUAAUUUAGUAAAUCUGUUUUAUUUAUUGACUUAUUGUUCCGUUCUUUAUGAUCCAAGUAUGUUUGUAUUUGGCAGGCAGAUUUUGACUUAUGUACUGAUUGCUUUAACAAUGGGACAUUCGGUUCUGGCAUGUCUUCAUCGGAUUUUAUUCUCAUGGAACCUGCUGACCCUGGUCUUAGUGGCGGCAAGUGGACAGAUCAGGAAACCCUUCUCCUUCUUGAGGCACUUGAACUUUAUAAAGAAAACUGGAAUGAGAUUGCAGAGCAUGUUGCUACGAAAACAAAAGCACAAUGCAUACUGCAUUUCGUUCAAAUGCCAAUUGAGGAUGUAUUUUUUAAUUGUGAUGAUAAUAACAUAGACACGAAUUCAAAAGAAACUGCUGGCCCAGCUGCCAUGAAUGAUGAAACAACUGUCCCUAAAGAUGUCUCGGAAACAACAGAGAGUAAGACUACUCAAGAAGAUCAGGCCCAGACUAUGCCGAUGGAAACUUCAAAACCUGAAGAUGAAAAAGAAGUCAGGGGUAGUGAGGAACCAUCAGAAACCAAAACUGGAACUGAUGCAAAAGGUGUUAAAGAAACAUUAAAGCCAGAAGAUAUGAAUGUACCAAAAGAUGGACUAGAAGCAACUGAAAAUUGUGCCCUUACAGCAAUAAGGGAGGCAUUUGAAGCUGUCGGUUAUAAUUUAACAUCCGAAAGCAAACUUUCAUUUGCUGAUGUAGGAAAUCCUGUCAUGGCAUUGGUAAGUUGAAUGCGUAAGUAUUUAGUUUAGGUUUUAUUGAUUGAUGUAUAUGAAGGGAAAACUGAGUUCAUUUACAGAUCUAAAUUUAUCCAUUUUGUACAUGGCUUCUGAAAUAGUAUUCUCAUCUUCGACUUGUUUCACCAUUCAUCAUUUACCUCAUCUAUUUGUUGGUGAUAUGGUACAAACAUAGUGUUGCUCCAUUUGCAGGCAGGAUUCUUUGCACAUCUGGUUGGACCCAACAUUGCUGCUGCUUCAUCCCAGAGUUCACUUAAAUCAUUAUCUGGUACUUGUCCGAACAUUCAACUGGCUGCCAGGAACUGCUUUGUUUUGGAAGAUCCACCAGAUGAGAAGGAACCAACAUGUUCUAGGAGGUAUGUUAACCUAUGCCAAGCUUAUAUUUACUUAGCAAUUUGUGAACGUUAUCUGAUGUCAGUUAGAGACACACAGUGUUGCCAAUGAUACGGGUAAUCGGGGUGCUCAGAAUGUGAAACACUCGGAAGACGAAAGCCUCAAGGGGGAUCAGAAAAGUUCAUUGAGCCACCAUGGUGACGAAAACACUGAAGUCUCUCUUCGUGAAGAGAAUGCGACAUCGCCUUCACCCAAUGACCUAACCACGGAUAAAAAAGAGUCAAGCAAUUUUGCCACUAAUGAGGAAGAUAAAAAAGCUAAUUUGAAUGAAUCCAGCAUUAUUAAUCAAUCAAAGGAUCAUCAACCAAGUGUAACAAGGGUAUCAAAUAACUUAACAUCCCAGGUUCUACCAAGUUCUCUAGAGGAGACAGGUGGGAAGGAAACAGCUAAAGAACCUUCUCAGCCUCCAAAAGCAGUGAAGGAAGUAGAUAUGUCUGGUUCUGUUCAACUGAAAAAGAAUGAGCCUUGUGAUGCCGCUGCAUCAAAGCCAGUGGGAGAGCUAUCUGAACCAGCAAAUGCAUCAGAAAAUCUAGAGACAGCUUCCUGCUCUCCAUCCAGAUCAAAGAAUGAGCAAAAAACUGUUAAACCAAUCCCUGAUGGGGAAUCUACGGAGCCUGCAGAUGCAUCAGAUGAUGUUCAACUGGUGUCUGUUUCACAACCAUCUGAAAGGAGUGAACCUCCACAGCCAGUCACAUCGAAUUCAGUAAAUGAAAAUGGAGUAACGACAGGUUUCUCUCUUUUCUUCUAUAAAUAUCUUGUUAGAAAGUGGAAGCCGCAUUAACAGAAUCUAACUCUACUGCAAAAUGCUUAGCAAUAUCUUAUGGGAAUAUGUAGGGAUAGAUAGCGUCUGAUUUAAAAUAUACAAAGAAGGCUAAAAGGAACAGUUGGUUCUAUAAGGUUGAGCGUUUGCUAUCUUUAUUGGUUUUACAUAGAGCAGCUAGGAAAAUUGAAACUUGAUACAUAAUGUUGUUUCUACUAGGUUCUGUAGAGGUAUGUAUUCCAAGAACCACCUGCUGGCAAAAUGCAUAGAUCAAUUUUGGGUGUAUCUUAUUGUUCUUUGCAGACAAGAUCGAAGAAGGUAAAAGCAAGAACCAUGACUCUACAGAGAGAGAAGAUAAUAGUAGCAUUGAUAAAUUAAAGAGAGCUGCAGUUACAGCACUCUCAGCAGCAGCAGUGAAGGCAAAACUUCUAGCAGACCAGGAAGAGGACCAAAUCCGACAACUUACCACAUCAUUAAUAGAAAAGCAGGUAGGUUAGUUGCUAAAUAUAUGCACUCUGUUUUUCCUAUGCACAUCCAACUGGAGCAACGUCUAACGUUUUAGAAGCUUUAACUCAAUCCAGUUACAUAAGAUGGAAGCCAAAUUAUCUUUCUUCAAUGAGAUGGAGGGAGUCGUAAUGAGGGUGAAGGAGCAAUUGGACAGGUCAAGGCAAAGGCUUUACCAUGAGCGAACGCAGAUAAUUGCUGCUCGACUGGGCUUACCAGCUUCCUCCUCUAGAGCAAUGCCGCCACCAAAUGCUGCAAAUAGAGUUGCAACAAACUUUGCAAACUCGGUUGCAAGGCCUCCAAUGAGCAUGAAAGCCCCAAGACCACCAUUGUCGAGACCCAUGGGUUCUAUGACCCCUACCCCUUCCAACCCAUAUGUAUCCAAUACAGUUGCAGGGAGUUCAAUUCGACCUGGUAGCCAAGACAAUCUUUCCUCCGUUGGAACCAAGUAGUCUCUAUUCAUAUUACUUGUGAAUAGAAUUUUUCAAUCCAUUCUUAUACAAGGGUCAUCCAUCUUGAGAUGCAUCUGGUUAGUACCCCCUUUUUUUAUUGUUGCAGUUUCUGUUCUUAACGCUGCCAGUCAUCUUGGGUGCAUUUAAGAACUUGAGAAUAUACUCAAGCUGAACUCAUGGCAUAUUCAUAUCUGAUGUUUUCUGCUAAUUCCAGCCACACCACUGAUUUAUCUCCGGAUACUGCGGCCUAUAUUACAUAAUUGACUGGCAUCACAUCAUCAUAGGAGGAAGGAGUAGAUGGUUAUUGUUCUCCCUUCAAUCCUAAUCUAGUCAACAACAGUCUAUAGCCUAUGUCUAACUUGGAAUUUUCUUGAAUGCUUUUGGGUUUUUGUAAGUCUAGUUUGUAGUUGAUAUUUUGAGACCUCAAAUGAUGAAUUUAGGUACUGCAAAGUUAAACAUCCGUAACCAUACCAAAUUCUUAGGUCAUCUUUAAGGUCAGAUAUAACCAAUGUAUUCUAUAUUUAUGGAUGAACAGAUGUGUUUUUGUUGUUACAAAAUGGCGUAAAUCUCUUGGUUUGAAGCUCCCUUUUCUCACCUGUAAUGGCUUUCUUUAGUGUCAUAUAUCCAACUACCCAAAUUGCAUAAUAUGCCUCUCCAAGAACACCACACAGCAGAGGCAGGAAAGUUAUAUCUGCUGAAAUCAGGCUGCAAAAUAAUUUUAAUUUUCUGAAAAACUGAUAUUUUCUUAUGUUUGAUUGUAUGAAAAAUAUCCUUUGAUAAUUUUUUCUAAAAUAAUUUUUUAAAUGUUUUUUUUUUUGUAAAAUAAAAUCAACAUAAGUAUAUUUGUUUUAGAAAAUUGAUUCUAUAAUAAGAUAAUAUUUUGUAAUAAUUAAUAUAUUAUAUAAAUUUUAGAGAAUGAAUGGUGAUAGUUUAUUAAUAAAUAUUUAUAAAAUGUAAUAUGUUUUUUUAUUAAAAUAUUAAUAUAAAUAUCUUUCAAUAACAUAUUAACGAUUUAAAAUUCAAAAUUGUUGGUAAAAUGUAUUAUUAAAAUAAAAUUUGUAAUAUUAAAUAAUUGAUUAAAAUAUAAAUUAUAUUAAUUAUAUUAUUGAAUAUAAAUAAUUUAAUAUGCAUGUUUAAUAAUAAUUGAAUAUUAUACUAUUUAUAUUAAUAUUUUAGUAUUUUAAAAAUUAAAAAUUAUAUUAAAUAUAUUAAUAAAAGGCAUGAUUCAAGUAAACUAUUAUAUAAAAAUAAAAUUACUUACAAAUAAAUUCUUUGCAAAAAAUGACUUAUGCUUUAAGUCAAUUAUCAAGAAAAAUAGUUUAUUUUCGUUGACUUGUAAAUGAUUUUUCUAUUAAUUAAGUUGUUUUCCAUAAAAACAAAUAUAUGAAAAUAAAGAAAAUAUUUUACGUGAGUGAGUUAUUUUUAAUAAAACAAACGCAUUCAAAUUUUUACAAUUAGAUUAAUGGUUGGAUCCUGUCAAACCACUUAUUCGACUGGUCUAACUAGUUGAUUUGAUUUAAUUAAAUAAAUUAUUAAAAACUCGUUAAAAAUAAAAUAAUAAUAAUUUAGUCGUCAAAUCAUGCUAUAGGUCAUCUUUUUCCAAUGCCUUUUAGAGCUACAGUUGUCCCAAUCAAAUAGAAACUUUUUCCAAUAUUGCUGAGUUAAAGGAGAUGAUUGUGUAAAGCAAGAUGCAUUGUUACAAAUCUCAAUUCUUCAACACAAUCAAUAACAGAUUAACAGCUGAACCAAGCUUUAUAUUCAAGCACAAGGAAAAAUUAUUUUAACUUAACACUAAAUCAAAUGUAUAGCUUAGUACGAGACUCAACCUCUAAGGUAAAAAAAAAAAAAACUCUACCUAUAAUUUUGAAAUUAUUUAAGAGAAUACACAUUUUAGUUUUUUUUAUAUUAUUUAUGUUCGUUUUAUGAUCUAUAUUCGAGGUUUAUGGCUAUAUUUUUUAACAAUAUUGUCUUCAAAAUUAAAACCUGUAUCUUUUCCUUAAAAGUGCAACAUAUCUUUUCAUUAUACCUGACCACUUAUUGCUCUUGUUUUGUUGAAAGUUAUUAAAAAAAUGUGUUUCGUUACUACGAAUCAAAACUUCGUUUUAAGUGGUUAUGUGUAUCUCCUACUAUUAAAAAAGUCUAGGCAUUGUAAUAGUACAAAAUUUUAUUUUUAAUUAUUAAUUAUAAUAGUUUAAUAUUAUUUUCAAUAAUGAAUUAGGUUGCUGAACAGGUUUGGCUCAAAUCUAGUUUAUAUUACCCUUAAAAGUAAAUUAAAUAAUAGUUAAAAUUCAAUAAUGUUGACGUUUAUAAUGAUUUAAAUUAGAUGAUGUCUCUAUUUCAUCUUCCUUGAUAGUGACAACCCUCACCUUCUCCAUUUUAUAACCAAUAUGAAUUACAGAUGUUCAUAUAUAUAUAUAGUUAAACAUACUUAAAUAUAGAUCCUUUUAAAUAUUAUAAUACUAUUUAUAUUGAUGGACUUAAAUCUACGUAAUUUAUUACAAUCAAGUCCCUAAAAUCUGGCAUGGUUCAAACUUAACGAAAGCAAAAAGGGGGCAACAUUAUUGAUGGAAUAAACAAUCACUCGUAAUCCAUAGAAGAAGAUAAAAAGCUAGCAAGAUAAUCAUCUUAAUCGUGAAUUACAGUCACAUUAUACUCAACAAUGGCAUCGCCAGUCUUGAAAUUCACGGAAUAAGUCUUGAGUUGUGCAUACCCUUUCGCCAUCCUGAACUUCCCUUUCCCUCCGACCACCGCAAGCUCACGCUCCGAUUCGGUAAUUGGAUUCCUCGACAAAACACUGAUAGAGCUGCCGUUGAAUUCACCUUUCGUAAACCCGAUGUCCAAGUACGCCAUCAGAGUCAAAACGUCUUUGCCUGUCGACACCCAGAGGCCUUGAGCGUUCCCUAUGACCUCUGAUGUUAUGUCGGGGCCAACGGUGAGUGGAUCAUCGAAAGCUAUCACGCCGCCGAAGCCCGUCGAGGUGGUGGUGUUUGGACUGACUAUGGGGACUGCACUAGGAUUGUUGCCGCUCCUAGUGUCGUGUAAAAAGAAGUGGAGAUAGGUUACUUUUUGGGGAGGUGGAACGUAUGGUCCGGCAUGGGAGUAAUAAUCUUGGCAACGAGCUACUGCCAUGGCGGUGCUGAGACUCAAAAUCCAGGCUAAUAUCAUAUUUCUCUCCAUUGGUAAUGGUCAAUGGGAUUUCACUCUUGUGUAUAUUGUAUUAUGGCACCUAAUUCAUAGGUUCCUAAGUUUAUAUAGAAAGAUAAAAUAAAACAAAACAAAUAUUUAUAUUUAUAUUUUUAUCAUUUUAAUUUUUUAAUUAAAUUUAAUCAUUAAUCUUUUAAAAAAUAAGAUAGUUUUCUUUUAUCAAAAAUACUAAUUAAAACAUUAAUUUUUUAAUCAUGUCAGCAUGAUAACCAACAUAAUAGUUCACGUAUAUUUAUCCUAAUAUGAUACUAUUGUUCUAAUGAAUAAAAAUUUUAAAAUUCAAAACAAAUAUAAAAAAGUUAAAAAAAUUAGCAUGAUGUACGCGUUGAUUACCAUAUGACUGUUAUAUUUAAAUAUUAAACAAUUUAGUAAGUAUUUAUGUUUAAAAAAAAGUAAUUAGAUUUAAUGGUCAAAUUAAACUCGUUUUAAAAGGUUUAGGAUCAAAUUUAAUUAAAAGAGGAUCAAAAUUGAUAAAAGAAUAUAAAUAUUAAAAAGUCUAUAGGCCCUUCCGUUGGGUUAAUUAAGAUUCAGUAAUACUAAUGUAUUUGUGCUAUGUACAAAAAUACAAUUAUAAUAUUAUUGGUGGCAAAAAAAAAAGAUAAUACUAAUGUAUUUUAUAUAAAAUUAAUAUAAAAUAGAUAAGUAAAAUUUAGGAUAAAUUCAUAAAUCUAUCAAUUUUGAAAAUAAAAUAACUUCAAUUUAUGAGAAAUAAGAAUAAUUAACAAAUUAUACUUCUAACUCAAACCAAUCCGUACAAUGCUAAGGCUGGUAGCUUUUGGUUAUAUUGCUUAAAAGCUUUCGCAUUCUUAAUCUGCAUAAAACAACGAAGGAUGAGAAGACUAUCAUAUCCUGCUUGAUGGCUUAAUCCAGCAACACGAGCCACGUUUAAAGUUUUUGCCACCUUUUCUAGUCCACCGUGUAAGUUAAAGAUCUUGAAACUGUACUUGAUGUCAAAAAUCAUACAACCAAAGUAAUAAGUCAAAUGUCGCAUGAAAGACUUGAGAUCAGGCGGUAAUAGAUUUUGAGUCAAAAUCUUCAAAAAAAACCCAAAAUCAUAAGCGCUGUGAAAAGUUACCAAAGUCAAUUCACUGAAACCCAACCCGGAAAUCAGAACCAUCAUGCCAAAAUCUCUUGAACAGAUGCCUUUUUCCUUAUUCCUUGUAAAAUCUAUACCUUGUCGUUUAAGCAACUCAAUAGACUCUUUAUCGUAAUGAUCUUUUUCAAUAUCAAAAUCUUUAAAAUUAAACUCCCAUAUAUAACAAAAAGGAGUUCCGAAAUCUGGCAAAUUACCUUCAGAAUCAGAGAGUGUUAAACUGAGUUGAAUGAUCUUCAAAGCAUCGACAUUAACUUUCAUGAACCUGUAAUUGACUUCGGGAUUUCCUAAUUGAACAAAUCUUUUGUCCGGUUUAAAAAUUGUACCAGGAAAUUCGGUAUCCAUAGAAACAAACGAAUAGUUGUGGAGUGCACUUUGAAUUAACAUAAACUCGUAUUCCAAAUUAUCAGCAAAUACUUCCCUAACAAUCACUGGUUUGUUGACAAAAAUCGACAUUUUUUUUUCUUGACUUAUACUUUAAACUGAAACUAUUGAACUCUAGAUAUACUUUUCGUGAUCUUAAGUCAGUUCUAACUAAGAUAUAUAUAUAAAUAUAAUUUUCAUAAUCCUAAUUCAAUUCUAACUAAUAUAAUUUUCGUAAUCCUAAUUAAGUUCUAAGAUAGUGUAUUAAUAUAAGGAGGGUACUCUGUUAUAUAUAAUUUCUUAAUUUAAUUUUUUUACUAAAUUCGUUUUAGGAAAGGAAAAAGAAAAACUUGUGGAUUUUACUAAUUUGCCCUUGAAAGUUACUGCAAGUUAUAUGUUUUGAUGGGUGAGAUUUAGGUUUAAGGUUUAGUGUUUACAUUUUUAAGUUUAUGUUUUAUUAUUAAUAAUAAUAUAAAAGGUGUCACAAUUAUAUAUUUCAAAAAAUAUAAUUUAAUAUUUAGUUACACAUUUAAAAAUAAUUAUAAUUUAAUUAACCCCCAAGGCGGAAUGAUCAGUAUCGAAAAUAUCCCAUUGGUCGCGAAAACACGCGGACCUUAGGCCGGGUAGGGUCGGUCGGAUCGGGUUGUAUCAAAACGGCGCCGUUUUAGCAUCGGAAAUUAAAAUUCAAAACGAUGCCGUUUUACAACUCCUAUUUAAGUAAAAAAAUUUUAAAAAAUAUCAUUUCAGCCUUCAUUUAAAAAAAAACCGAAACCUUCGUUUUUUUUCUCAAAGCUAUCUCAGGCCGGUCAUAGCUCCGGCGAUCACCGUCGUACCGGCCACCUGUCACCGGCGAGAGCUCCGCCAUACACUGAGCCUUUAGUUUUUAUUUAUUUAUUUGGGCUUGUUAUUAUUAUUAAUUUUUAUUUUAUUUCUUGGUUUAUUUUUUGAUGGGCCGGGCAAAAAUGUCCCAUUUCAGAGUAGAAGGUUAUUGUUCUCCCUUCAAUCCUAAUUUAGUCAAAAACAGUCUAUAGCCUACGUCUAACUUGGAAUUUUCUUGAAUGCUUUUGGGUUUUUGUAAGUUUAGUUUGUAGUUGAUAUUUUGAGACCUCAAAUGAUGAAUUUAGGUACUGCAAAGUUAAACAUCCGUAACCAUACCAAAUUCUUAGGUCAUCUUUAAGGUCAGAUAUAACCAAUGUAUUCUAUAUUUAUGGAUGAACAGAUGUGUUUUUGCUGUUACAAAAUGGCGUAAACCUCUUGGUUUGAAGCUCCCUUUUCUCACCUGUAUUGGCUUCCUUUAGUGUCAUAUAUCCGACUACCCAAAUUGCAUUAUAUGCCUCUCGAGAACACACAGCACAGGCAGGAAAGUUAGAUCAGCUGAAAUCAGGCUGCAAAAUAACUUCUAAAAAUGGGUUAACUUUUAAAUAUUAUAACAAUUAAGUCCCUUAAGUCUGACACGUUUCAAACCUAACGAAAGCAACAGGGGGCCAACAUUAUUGGUGGAAUAAACAAUCACUCCUAAUCCAUAGAAGAAGAAAAAAAAAACUAGCAAGAUAAUCAUCUUAAUAAUGAAUUACAGUCACAUUAUACUCAACAAUGGCGUCGCCAGUCUUGAAAUUUACGGAAUAAGUCUUGAGUUGUGCAUACCCUUUCGCCAUCCUGAACUUCCCUUUCCCUCCGACCACCGCAAGCUCACGCUCCGAUUCGGUAAUUGGAUUCCUCGACAAAACACUGAUAGAGCUGCCGUUGAAUUCACCUUUCGUAAACCCGAUGUCCAAGUACGCCAUCAGAGUCAAAACGUCUUUGCCUGUCGACACCCAGAGGCCUUGAGCGUUCCCUAUGACCUCUGAUGUUAUGUCGGGGCCAACGGUGAGUGGAUCAUCGAAAGCUAUCACGCCGCCGAACCCCGUCGAGGUGGUGAUGUUUGGACUGACUAUGGGGAUUGCACUAGGGUUGUUGCCGCUCAUAGUGUCGUGUAAAAAGAAGUGGAGAUAGGUUACUUUUUGUGGAGGCGGAACAUAUGGUCCGGCAUGGGAGUAAAAAUCUUGGCAACGAGCUACUGCCAUGGCGGUGCUGAGAAUCAAAAUCCAGGCUAAUAUCAUAUUUUUCUCCAUUGGUAAUGGUCAAUGGGAUUUCACUACUGUGAUUAUUGUAUUAUGGCAGCUAAUCGAUAGGUUCAAUUUAUCCUUUUUUUAAUUAAUAUUUUUCAUUAAACUUUAAAAGGAAGUUAAAUAUUUUGUUUAACGAAGUACUACCUAAAAUAUUAAUCUUUUAAUUAUGUUAGCGUCACAAUUAAUAUGAAAAUUUAUGUGUAUUUUAUCUUAUAAAAAAGUAAGUAAAUUCUUUCUAAAAUUUUAAUAGUUAAAUUAAAUUAUUUAUAAAAAAUUUAGGGCUAAAUUUAAGUAUAAAAAAGGAUAAAUUAAUAAAAAAUAUAAAUAUUAAAGAAUAAAUGGAUGAUUAUGCAAUUUAAUUAUAGAGAAGGCAAUCUCUGCCCGAGCUCUCACUUAAUGGAAGGCAUCGUAAUGACAUUGUUAUCGCAAAACGUAAGCAACCAUCUAUGGGCCUUCCCUAGGGUUAAUUAAAAUUCAAUAAUACUAAUGUAUUUGUGCUAUGUACAAAUAUAAAAUUAUAAUCUUAUUGGUGGCCAAAAUAAACGAUAGUACUAAUGUAUUUUAUAUAAAAUUAAUAUAAAGUAGAUAAGUAAAAUUUAGAAUAAAUUCAUAAAUCUAUUAAUUUUGAAAAUAACAUAACUUCAAUGUAUGAGAAACAAGAAUAAUUAACAAAUUAUAUUUCUAACUCAAACUAGUCCGUACAAUGCUAAGGCUGAUAACUUUUGGUUACAUUGCUUAAAAGCUUUCGCAUUCUUAAUCUGCAUAAAACAACGGAGGAUGAGAAGACUAUCAGAUCCUGCUUGAUGGCUUAAUCCAGCAACACGAGCCACAUUUAAAGUUUUUGCCACCUUUUCUAGUCCACCGUGCAAGUUAAAGAUCUUGAAACUGUACUUGAUGUCAAAAAUCAUACAACCAAAGUAAUAAGUCAAAUGUCGCAUGAAAGACUUGAGAUCAGGCGGUAAUAGAUUUUGAGUCAAAAUCUUCAAAAAAAACCCAAAAUCAUAAGCGCUGUGAAAAGUUACCAAAGUCAAUUCACCGAAACCCAACCCGGAAAUCAGAACCAUCAUGCCAAAAUCUCUUGAACAGAUGCCUUUUUCCUUAUUCCUUGUAAAAUCUAUACCUUGUCGUUUAAGCAACUCAAUAGACUCUUUAUCGUAAUGAUCUUUUUCAAUAUCAAAAUCUUUAAAAUUAAACUCCCAUAUAUAACAAAAAGGAGUUCCGAAAUCUGGCAAAUUACCUUCAGAAUCAAAGAGUGUUAAACUGAGUUGAAUGAUCUUCAAAGCAUCGACAUUAACUUUCAUGAACCUGUAAUUGACUUCGGGAUUUCCUAAUUGAACAAAUCUUUUGUCCGGUUUAAAAAUUGUACCAGGAAAUUCGGUAUCCAUAGAAACAAACGAAUAGUUGUGGAGUGCACUUUGAAUUAACAUAAACUCGUAUUCCAAAUUAUCAGCAAAUACUUCCCUAACAAUCACUGGUUUGUUGACAAAAAUCGACAUUUUUUUUUCUUGACUUAUACUUUAAACUGAAACUAUUGAACUCUAGAUAUACUUUUCGUGAUCUUAAGUCAGUUCUAACUAAGAUAUAUAUAUAAAUAUAAUUUUCAUAAUCCUAAUUCAAUUCUAACUAAUAUAAUUUUCGUAAUCCUAAUUAAGUUCUAAGAUAGUGUAUUAAUAUAAGGAGGGUACUCUGUUAUAUAUAAUUUCUUAAUUUAAUUUUUUUACUAAAUUCGUUUUAGGAAAGGAAAAAGAAAAACUUGUGGAUUUUACUAAUUUGCCCUUGAAAGUUACGGCAAGUUUUAUGUUUUGAUGGGUGAGAUUUAGGUUUAAGGUUUAGUGUUUACAUUUUUAAGUUUAUGUUUUAUUAUUAAUAAUAAUAUAAAAGGUGUCACAAUUAUAUAUUUUAAAAAUAUAUAAUUUAAUAUUUAGUUACACAUUUAAAAAUAAUUAUAAUUUAAUUCAUAAUUAUUAAUUAAAAUAAUUGUGUUAAUUUUAAAACAAAGUUCUAUCAGAAUAAAAUUUUAAACAUAAAAUGUAGGAAAAAAAUUGCAAUAAUUAUAAUUAUAAGUUAAAUCACAAUUAUUAAUUAAAAAGAGUUUGACGUAAACAAAAAGUUGCACUAGCUUUAUCGAAGUAGAAUUCUAAUAAUCUUAAUUAUUACUUAAAUUAAUAUUAGGGUUGUACAAGCCCAAUUUCGCCCGGCCCAUACCAACAAAACAAAAAUGGCCCAUUUACAAAAUUUUAACCCAAAUCAAAACAACCAACAGGCCCAACACCAAUUUGCCUAACCCUAGGGCCUUCGUCCACCUGCUCUGCCACCACCAACUCACCUGCUCCACCUCGCCGCACGCCACCAACUCUCUACCAUCGCCCAACUGCCCACCUGCCAACAAGAGAAGAAAGCAGCAACAACAAGCAAGUAAUAGAAAAAUUAUAAAAUGACUAUUUAAAAGCCAUUCGAGCAUUACCAAAAGGGGGGAAUCGGUUGUAAAAAACCGAUCUUUGCAUCUGUAAAAGCUCUCUCUUUCACGUUUUAAAAGAAAUAAAAAAAGCAGAUUCAAAACCCUUUUUCGGUAUAUCUAUUUUCCUUUUCUGUUUUUUAUUUCUUUUCUCUUUAUUUUUUUCGAAGCUAUUUGUAUUUGAUUUUGGCUUCUUUUAUUUUUUUAAACUAUAUAUAUAACGUAUAACAUAUAAAAAAAGGGGCAAAAAAAAACCUUCUUUUGAACACGGUGGCCAGCGCGGCGGCGGCUCUCCUGGCCAGAUCUUUGGCCGGCGUUUGGAAAAUGGGGAGAGGGUUUGAGAGAAUUUUGGUUUUUUUAAGGAAAAGGGAGAAAAUGAAAUUUUAAGAAAAAUGGAUUUAUAUAGGAUAUUAAAACGGCGCCGUUUUGGAGGAGUUCAGAAAGCCUCAAAACGACGUCGUUUUGACAUGGAUCAAACCGACCCAACCCGAACCGCCUAGGAUCCGCGUGUUUCUAGAUAAAAGGGGUUAUUUGUGCUCCUGGUCCUUCCGCUUUUGAGGCUGUUUACGAUCGGGUCCUAUUUUGUUUCUAUUUUUCAAUUUGGCCACAAAAUUUCAUUUUUCUCUCGAUUUUGGUCCUCAAUGAAGUUGCGCGUUUUAGAGGAGAAGGGAAAAUUUCCCUUCCAGCCCCUCUAAGUUAUUCGCGCGCUCAAUAUAACCCCUCCCCUUUGAUUUUAUUUGCGAUUCAGCCUCAAGUUUUUUUAUUUAUUCAAUUUAGUCUAACUCUUUUUAUUAUCUAUUACCAUGUUAUUUUAUAUUUGUAGUUUAUGUACAUACCUAUACAUAUAUUAUUUAUUUCCUCUUGUUUUAUUUUUUUAUUUUUUUUAUAAACGUAAAUAUAUGUUUGAAUUUAUGCAAUUAUAUAUAUAUAUAUGUAUAUACAUUUUUAUGUUUCUUGUAACCAUGCAUAUACAUGUUCUUAUAUAUGAAUAUAUGCAAUGUAUGUUUUACAAUUUAUUUUAUACACAUGCACGUCUAUAUGUAUAUUACUACUUUAUUUCUUUACACGUAUCUAUAUACAUAUACAUAUCUAAAUUUACGUACAUGCAUAUGUAUAAACGCAUUUUUUUUUAUAUUACAUAAAUUUUUUUUAUAUAUACAUAUACAUAUCUUUUAUUUUCAUGAAUACACACAUAUAUCUUUUAUAUUUUUAUAGUUAUACAUUUUCUUUGUCUAUUUCUUUAUUCAUAUUUUCAUUAUUAUUUUGAAUGAAUGCUUCAAUUUUAUUUCCCUAUGUGUAUUGCUAUUUUGUAUGUUAUUUGUUUACCCUCUUAUCUAAUUUAUUUUCAUUGCUAUUACUCAUAUUAUUUAUGCUACAUCAUCGUACUCAUUUUUGUUCGCAUUUUGACACCGUGUUUUAUUUUGUGUUAAGAUUAAUUUUAUUUGAUGUAUAAAUUAUGAUUUUAUUUGAAUAAGCAAAAACUCGUGUUUAGAUUUGCGAAGGUCGUACCCUAACUUACUGGGUUUCGAUUUUCACAAUAAAUCUAAAUACGUGAAAAUUUUUUAAACUCAAGUUUUAAAUGAUCUUGGGAAUUAAGAAAAGAUCGUGUCCUAACUUACUGGGCAUGAUCCCUUUUCUAAACCCGAGAUAAUUAAAUGUCUUUUUAAAUAAGUAAAUUUUUUGGCAUGUAUUCUCGUAUCGGGAAUUCGAUACGUUGUGUCCUAAUGCAUUGGAUAUGACAUGUCGUUUUCUCGAGAUGAGGAUUUUCCUUUUAAAAUUUUUUUCAAAAUAAGGCAAUGUUUUGCGUUUGGAAAUUCGAGAAACGUGCCCUAAGGUGUUGGGUUUCGAUUUAUCGUUUAACCAAAUUGCCAAAUAUCCUCUUGAAUUUUAAUCCAUGCCAUUCGAGUUUUUUUUAAGGAUCAUAUUUUAAAUUUCUUUAAAGUUUUCAGUUUUUCGACACUAAGACAGUAAGUAAUCAACUAGGUACCAAUUUUGGGCGUAUCGAGGGUGCUAAUCCUUCCUCGUGCGUAACCGACUCCCGAACCCAUUUUUCUAAAUUUCGUUGACCAAACCUCCUGUUUUAAUAAAAUCAAAUUAUUUAUUAAAAACAACCAUUUUUCGAGGUGAUCCGAUCACACCUCAUCAAAAAGGAUCGGUGGCGACUCCCAUUUUCGUUUUUAUUUUUUAAAACCCAAGUCGAUCCCGUUUUCAUCCAAAAAAUGGUGUCAACAAGGGUUAAUUAGUUAUUGUUUUGAAUAAUGUUAUUUUAAAUUAAGCGAAACUACGUUACAUAUUGAAUAUGUUAAUAAUGCUUUAAUUAUGAUUUGGAAAUUUUCUAUUCUAAUAUUUGAACUGAUAAUUUUUUUUUUUGAAAUAAAAGAAACACACAUUUGGCAAUAAUGUAACUAAAAAAAUAACAUUAUAAUGGAUCUGAAUUUAACAAAAUAAUUCUAACAGUGUUAACAGUUGGACUUAAGUUUUGAAAUCUAAAAAAUAAAUUCUAAAUUCUAAAUUUAGAUUAUUUAAACUCUAAAAAAUAACAUUGAACCAGUAUUUGCAAACUAUGUUUAUUAGAUACGAGCAUGUGUCUAAUACGAAAAUAGUCAAUUAUUUAAACUCCGAGUGACAAAAUGGGAUUAAAAUAGUAUCAAUUUUCUGCAAAGAAGUAACCCUUUUAUGACCUUCAUUUGCCUUAUACUCUGCUAUCGAAUCCACCAUCGGCAUUGAAUUGCAUUUUUUCGUUUCAUCCGUAAAAUUCUAGUUAAUAAAAUUGCACUCCCCAUGAAAGACCUUACGACAUGGACCUCAAUUGAUAGUUUGUUCAUCAUGUUAGGAUCGCCCCGAUUAAGCAACAAGUAAAAACAUAGCGGAAUAAAUUGAGAAAUCGAACACACAAAUUUAACACGGUAAAACUCCUCCAAAGAGGAUAAAAAAAAUCACGGAUAAAGAGUAUAAAAGAUGGAAAUAAAAACUAAACCCCGAAAACAAAGAACCCUUAAAACGUAAACACAAAAUUCUCUAAAUGUGUUAUGAGUUCUAAUCUCUAAUGGGUGUAUUUUCUAAUAUUGUAAAAGAACCUAUUUAUAAGGCUAAAUUAGUAGCUCAAAUAAACUAUGCUAAUAAAUGCUAAAUAUAUUAUACUAAUAAAUACUAAAUCUUCUAGAAAGAAAAUAUAUUUUGUUUAACUUGACUUGCAAACAAUCUCUUAGAAUUUAAGUCACACAACUCUAACACAUAACAUUUUCACAAUUCAUGUUCCAAGUUCGGUCACUUCCAAUUGGAUCUUUAGUACAAUUAUUGAACUCUAUAACCCCAUAUAGUAUAAGAGUAUCCUUAUUAAAAAGCCUUAUAUUAUCUGUGCUCACAAAAAUGGCUUCUUGGAUCCUUUUAUCAACCCGAUCCCUUCGAAGAAGGGUCCAUGUAUCACCGUUUACUUCAAGAAAUGCAUUAGGAAUUAAUGGGACAUGGUUGAGAGUGAGGUAUUUGAGAAUUGAAGUUGAAUCAUAGUUCUCAAACUCGUCUAUAUUGACAUAGAAAACUCUUAAAUCAAGCCAAGAUAAUGGCUUGUAAGGAGAGUGGGGAUUGACCAUUCAAUGAUGGUUCAUAAACCCUAUCCAUCAAAGAGGUCUUAGAGAUUAUGAAAUUGAAAAGAGAAUCAGACAGCAAAUUCAAGCAUUGGGUUUAUAUAGACAAUAUAUAUAUAUACAUGAUAGGUGUACAGAAUUAUAUUAAAAUAAAGUCAUCAAAAACAAAUUAUGUGUAAGAUAAUUAAGGAAAGAGUGGAGUUUUUGGUGUCUGUUUUUGGAGAAAGGAUCAAAUGAAAACAAUAAUAACUCAAUUCUUGGUCACAAAUACACGAACGAAAACAAAACUUUAAUAAUAGAACUCUAAUAACAUGAGCAACUAUGGAAAAAAAAAAAAACUAGAACACUGCUACAAACAAGACCAUGUUUAACAAAAUCCAAUGCCAAGUAAUACUGCAUUUGACAGUAAUAACAAUCACAACAAAACAUUAAAAAAAAAAAGUCUCAUCUAAAACUCAACAUCUGGAAGACAUCCAAAAAAGUUCAAAUGAAGCUCUUCUUCUCCCUUUCUAUGGACCUAUGCUUGGCAUUUGUCAGUGUCUAUCUUCAAUUCUCUGCAACAUGGCCAUUCUCCGAUUUCUCGGCACUGGAUGUCAUAAGGGAAACAAGAUCAUAAUUAGCAAUGUCAUUUUGCUGAGACACACAAUUGACAACUCAAGCAGAACUCAACAGAGGGAUCUAACAGGCAUGGUAUUUCACGGGGUUGAAACCAAGCAACGUUUAGUUACUUUCUAAUGCUUCGUGAAUAUAAAGUAAAAUAACUACCAAGUUCUCAAACUCUUCCAUAUACAAGGGACUUUUGACACAAGAAGUUCUCGGACUCUUUCGCAAACCGCAUUCUCCAUACUUUGGACUUGGUCAUGUAGGUCAAACAGUAAGAGCAGGCUGCAGGAGAGAUGAAAAAGAUGCAUGGUUAUUGCUCGAGUUAAAUCACUAUGGGGCCUGAACUAACUGUAUCACAUCGGGGGCUUGAACUUUCUUUUUGUCCAAGUUAAUCCCUGAACUUGACAAAUAUAUAUAAACACUUUCUAAUGAAUCAACAUGAGAAAAACAACAAAUAAAGCAAUAUUCUAAAAUUAACCAAGCAAUGAAAAUCCAGUUAAUUGAAGAGACCUUUGGGUUGAUGAUCAGCAUCAGCUGUAGCUUCAACAGGGUCACUCUUCCUCAAGCUCUUGUCAUGGCCAUUACCGAAGCUUGCCUUUGCUCAUCUCUCUUUCUCUGUAACAGCUACUGUCCCUUUAAUCUUCAUAGCUUCAAGCUUUUCAUCAAUCUCCUUCCAGUCUUUCCCCUUUUCCUUCAACACCUCCUCUCUCGGCCUUGCCUCGCCGAAAUAAGGGAAAUCGGAGAGUAAUUAAAGGCAUCCUCAAUUGGCGGAAAGAGAAAGCAAUCUCUGCCCAAGGUCUCACUUAAUUGAAGGCAUUGUAAUGACAUUGUUAUAGCAAAACGUAAGCAGCCAUCUAUAGGCCCCUUCCCAAGAUUUAAUUAAGAUUCAGUAAUACUAAUGUAUUUGUGCUAUGUACAAAAAUAUACAAUUAUAAUAUUAUUGGUGGCCAAAAAAAUGAUUAUAUUAAUGUAUUUUAUAUAAAAAUAAUGUAAAUUUUAGUAUUUGACAAAUCUAUCAAAUUUGAAAAUAAUAUAAUUACAAUAUAUGAGAAAUAAGAAUAGCUAACAAAUUAUACUUCUAACUCAAACCAAUCCGUACAAUGCUAAGGCCGGUAAAUUUUGGUUACAUUGCUUAAAAGCUUUCAUAUUUUUAAUCCGCAUAAAACAAUGGAGGAUGAGAAGGCUAUCAGAUCCUGCUUGAUGGCUUAAUCUAGCAACACGAGCCACAUUUAAAGUUUUUGCCACCUUUUCUAGCCCACCAUGUAAGUUAAAGAUCUUGAAAUUGUACUUAAUGUCAAAAAUCCUACAACCGAAGUAAUAAGUCAUAUGUCGCAUGAAAGACUUGAGAUCAGGCGGCAAUGGAUGUUGAGUCAAAAUCUUCAACAAAAAAAUCAUAAGCGCUGUGAAAAGUUACUCAAGUCAAUUCACCGAAACCCAACCCGGAAAUAAGAAACAUCAUGCCGAAAUCUCUCGAAUAAAUACCUUUUUCCUUAUUCCUCGUCAAAUCUAUACCUUGUCGUUUAAGUAACUCAAUAGACUCUUUAUCGUACCGAUCUUUUUCAAUAUCAAAAUCUCUAAAAUUAAACUCCCAUAUAUAACAAAAAGGAGUUUCGAAAUCUGGCAAAUUACCUUCAGAAUCAGAGAGUGUUAAACCAAGUUGAAUGAUCUUCAAAGCAUCGACAUUAACUUUCAUGAACCUAUAAUUGAUUUUAGGAUUUCCUAGUUGAACGAUAUUUUUGUCUGGUUUGAAAAUCGUACCAGGAAAUUCGGUAUCCAUAGAAACAAAAGGAUAAUUGUUGAGUGCACUUUGAAUUAACAUAAACUCGUAUUCCAAAUUGUCAACAAAUACUUCCCUAACAAUCACUGGUUUGUUGACAAAAAUCGACAUUUUUUCUUUUUCUUUUCUCUAACUUAUGCUUUAAGCUGAAACUAUUGAACUCUAUAUAUAAUUUUCGUGAUCUUAAUUCAGUUCUAACUAGAAUAUAUAUAAAUAUAAUUUUCCUAAUCCUAAUUCAAUUCUAGCUAAUAUAUAUUUAUAAAAUAUAAUUUUCAUAAUCCUAAUUAAGUUAUGCGUUCGGACUAAGAUAUAUUGUGUAUUAAUACAAGGAGGGAACUACGUUAUUUAUAAUUUUCUAAUUUAAAAUUUAUUUUUUAAUAUUAUUAUUUUACUAAAUUUUACAGGUGGACUCUAAUCUUAUUUGUAUCCUUUAAAGAAAUAAAAGAUAAUGGAGAGUGGGUCUUGACCGUUUGGCCCUUCAACGAUGGCUCAUAAACCCUUUCCAUUAAAGAGAAACAAACAGCAAAUCCAAGCAUUUGAAUAGGUUUUAUCGACUUUUAAAAAAUUAAAUUAAAUUUUUAUCAUUUUUAAGAAGACUAAAGUAUAAUUUUAUCAUUAUUAAUUUAAAAUUUUAAAAAAUUUAAAGAACCUAAAUAAAAAAAUUUUCAUUUUAAAAGAGGUCGGGCCUGACACCCCCUCCCCCGGGGCUACAAAAUUAUAUUAAAAACAAAAGGGCUGUGUAAUAUUUAAAUAAAGCCAUUGAAGACAAAUUGUGUGUAAGAUAAUCAAGGAAAGAGUGGUGUUUUUUCGUGUCUGUUUUAACGGAAAUUAUUGUAUGAAACAGUGAUAUUAUUAUUUUUCAAUAGUUUAAUGUCAUGUCAACAAUUUCAUCUUAAAUUUUAAGAUUUUCAUUUCAGGAUAAAUAUAUUGAUACGACAUUAAACUAUUAAAAAAAGAUAUAGAUGACGUGGUAUCCCAAUUACAUACAAUAAUUUCCCCUAUUUUAGCAGUUUUCGUAUAACACAGUAUUAAUCUUGUAUUUGUGACUCUCAAUGACUUGGCCAAAAGUGAUCCAUUGUCUUCUUUAUGUUGCUUUAUAGGACUUUUUGGAGUUCUCUUUGAGGAGUUGAUAGGUUCAUGUUGGAUGAUUUUGUAUUGGUGCUUGUUUGCUGCAGCUGGCCUGAUCAGACACAAGCCUUCAGGAGAGGCCACAACAGACGUGAAACCCAAGAGGAGACGUCGGAAUCUCUAUGGUGUCGAAGGCUGAAUCAUCACCCUUUAGACAUUGAUCAUAAAAAUAAAAUUUUCAAUCAUAAAAUUUAAACUCGAACUGUUUGAAGUAAACUAAAUCCGAGCCUAUAAUGUUGUACAAUAAGAGUUAGUCUUCACACAUACGACAUGAAUAUACCAACACCACACAAGCACACAUUACAUUCAAAGAGAACUACUUAAAUAAAAACUUACCAUUUACUCUCGAAAAAUAAUAUGGAAGCACAAAAACACAAAUAAUGUCUACAUUACCACGUGAAAAGCACAUGCAGCAGCACUCCCUAUUUACAAAACCCACAUGUCGUCACUCUUCUUAAAGAUAGACCCGUUGACAAGAAUAUUAUUUAGUGGGAUAUAUGUAAGGGACCAAUUUCAUCCGGUCCAACAAAAGUCAAACAAAUAAAUAAAAAUAAUAAAAAGUUCAUUUACAAAAAAAAUAAUAGCCCAAAUACAAAAAAAAAUCCUAAAAAUCAAAGCCCAACCCACGACCUAAACUCUUUUUUAGAAAAAAAAAUCCUAGACCCCUACGUGCCGUUGCUCCUAACCACGUCAAUAGAUGCAUCGCCUGAGGAUUGCCUCCCUUGCCAUCAUUUCACCGAAAUGGCAAGGGUGCGACUCCCAUCGUCGUUGACCGCCAUGAGUACCUUCAAAGAAGAAAGAAAAGCACAGAAAUGGAAAGCAGAACAGAAACAAAAAGAAAAGAAAAAAUGAAAUACUGUAAUGGCUGUAAAAGCCAAACUAUUGUAAGAUUCAAACAAGCAAUCAAAUAGAAUACAAAAAAGGCUUAACUUUCAGACGCCAAAAAAACGUCGUUUCAAGCUAGACUUGCCGACCCGAUCCGGAUCCCCUAAGAUCCGCGUGUUUUCACGAAAAGGGUCUAAUUGCGACCCUAGUCCUUCCUCUUUUUAAACACUUUUCAAUACAGUCCUAUUUCUGGUUUUUUCUUUCUUUUUUUAAAUUUAUACCAUUUAAUUUUAGAUUUUUUUAUUUUGGUCCCUCUUGGAAACGGUGCGUUUAAUGGGUUUGGGAAUAAUUUCCCAUUUGAUCACUACUCCUUUUCGCGCGUUCUAUUUUGGUCCUUUAUUCUGCCUUAUUAAUUUAUUUAUUUAUUUUAUUAUGAUUUAUGCUUUUAAUUUCAUUUAAAUUCCAAUGCAAUCCUUUAUUUAUUUAAUUUCACCCUUUUAUGAACUGUUUUUAUUUAUUUAUGUAUUAUUUCUUUACCUUUUUUAAUACUUAAAAUUUAUGUUAUUCAUAUUUCCUUUUUAUUGUGCAUUUUUUGCCCUCAUUAUUAUUAUUUCAUUAUUCACAUUAAUAUUAUGAUAGUAAUCAUGACAUGAUAUUGUUACCACAAAUUGAAGUUUUUACUUUCAUUAUAUUUGUAUUAUUAUUGCUCAUUAGCAUGGCACUUUUAUUUUACCUUUUAUUCGUUUUUCUCUUUAUUCAUUUAUUUUUUUAUUAUUCUAAUAUUAUUUUGCUUUAUUUUCAUUAAUUAUCAUGCCAUCAUGUUAAAAUAGAUUUAUUCAUUUUUACACUAUGCCUAAAUAAAUUAAAUGUAUAUCGUUUUAAAAAGUUACCUUCGUUUUAUUUAAUAUAUAGAAAACACUUAAAACCGAGGCAAUGUUCAUUAUUUUUGGAAUUCGAGGAGUUGUGCUCCUAACUUACGGAGUAUGACAUCUUCCUAAAACCGAAGUAAUCAAAUAUCCUAUUUAAAAUAACGAGAAGCAAGAUUCAGGUAACAAUCAAAUGGCGAUUAUUCUGAUUUUCGAGAAUUAGAGGCAUCGUCUCCUAACUCACGGGGCAUGGUCCUUUUUCUCGAUUAACUCAAAAUAAGGCCUUUUCCAUUGAAUUUAAUUUAGUUAAGUAAUAUCUUAAUCAAAUGAUAUUAUACAAAGAGGGAUCGUGUUUUAAAUUCUCUUCAAAUUUUCAGUUCUCGACACUAAGAUAUCAAGUAAUCAAUUAGGUACCAAUUUUGGGCGUUAUAAGGGUGCUAAUCCUUCCUCAUAUGUAACUGACUCCCGAACCUAUUUCCUAGAUUUUGUAAGACUGAAAAUAAUUUUAAUAAAUCUAACAUUUUAUUAAAAUGAUAAAGUUUUGAGGUGAUCCAAUCACACCUAAUUAAAAAGGAUUGAUGACGACUCUAUUUUCGUUUUUUGAAAAUAAAAGUCGAUUUCACAAAAGGUUUCACAAUAUACAUGCACUAAUUAAUACCUACCAUACACAGAUUUAUUGUCACAAUUUGACAUAAAAUCAAUGACAAUAUGGAACCGAAAUAGGAUAGUAAAACUCAAACAUUUUAUAAAUUUUCGAAUCAAUCCGUUUCGAGUGGAGUAAUUUUUUUCUUUUUGAAAAUGAAUCUGGGAUAAGGUGGAUUUUUUUUAAUAGUGAGUAUGGAGCGGUUAUGGUAAUAACUUGUCUCACCCCGCUCCAUUAUAUGAAAUUACAAAUUUAUCAUUGUAUUUACAAUUAUUAAAAGAGUAAAAAUGUACUAAUGUAUUAUAGAAAAACCCAUAUUUUUAUGUUCAAAUAUGUUUUUAAGAAUUAUGUUUAAAUAAUUAUUUACCUCAAAAAAGCUUGAAAAUAUUAAAGAUAAGUAUAAAAAAUUAGAUUGAAGCGGAGUGAAGAUGGAUGCAUCCAACAUUCAUGAACUAGUAGUGAUUUUUAAAAUUCUACAUCCAUGAUAGAUCGGAGUAGAUGGUGGAGCAAGGCAUGCCAACUAUGGAGUAAAUAUAAGUUUCGCAAAAUAAUCUAUGACUUUUUUUAUCACUAUAAUGAAAUCUCGAACAUGUAUGUUUAUGUUUUCUACAGCUAAAUCAAAAUCAAACCUUGCAAAUUUUGAUACUAGUAAAAAUGAUCACAUAAAUAAUUUAUAAAAAUUAUUAAUAAAUGCGGAAUUAAAAUAAACCAACUUAUUGAUAAUGAAGUUGUUUGUGGUAAUUCUUGUGACUACAUGGCUGAUUAGGUUUCUGUCUUAGUUUCGUGAGUAAUACGUUAAAAUAAUAAAUUUGUAUUACUCAUAUGAUAAUAUAUUUACCGCAUCCAAAUUUAUAAAGUAAGUCUUAGUUUGUAUGUACCCUUUUCCAUCUUGAAUUUCCCUCUCCCUCCAAUCACCGCAAGCUCACGCACCCGUUUCGGCAGUUGGAUUCCUCGAGAAUAUAUUCAUAGAGUAGCCAUUGAGCUCCCCUUUCGCGAACCCAAAGUCCAUGUAGAGUACCAGUGUUAAAACAUCUUGGUCGGUCGACACCCAGAGGCCCCGAGCAUUCCUAACAACCUUAGAUGUUAAUUUGGGACCGACGGUGACUGGGUAUCGGGAUGUCAUUGAAGGCAGUCAUCAUGUUGGCACGGGCUACAACGACUGCACUAGAGUUUCCGCCGCUCAUUGUGCCGUGUAAAAGAAGCGGAGAUUGGUUCUUUUUGUGGAGGUGGAACAUAUGGCUUACUUUGGGAGUAAUAAGUUUAUAGCAAACCUUGAAAUUUAGUUUAAAUUUUAUAGCAAACCUUCCCCAAAUCUAACUUUUUUAAAUAAAAAAAUUUAUUCAUAAAUAUAUAAAUAAAGACAACAUAUAAUAUAAAUGAAUGAUGAAUAUAUAUUAUUCAAUCAAUAAGUGUAGAGUGAAUGGUAAGACAUUAUAUUUUUAAGGAGAGAAUUUGAGUAGGAAAUUGUUGAGAAGAACAAUUACAAACUCUAAAAGAACGAGUAUUUUAUGAAUCAUAAAACAUAUAUAUAUGGAGGAUACAUUGAUUCACAAUAAAAAAGAAUAUAUUCAGUUUUCAGACUUUAAAUAUGUUAUUUUCAAAAUAUGUUCUUUUUAAGAAUAUCUUGAUACCCAUGAUUGUUGAGUUUGGUGUGUAUGUUAACGCCGCCAAGUUUCCUUCUUGCCUUUUGAAUGAAGGUAAUUAUUAUGAUAUGAUUAUUGUACCUCAACAUCUAUAGGUGUCAAGUUUAUUGUGAAAUAUUUGAAAAUCAAACAAUAAUAAUUUUUAAUAAAUAUAUUUGUUACACAAUUUAAUAAAUAUAUAUAUUCUCCCAUAUCAUGACAUGAGUAUGAUACAAUCUAAUAUACUAAUAUUUAAUUGAAAAAAAAUGUUGAUGGAAGCCGUCUCUUUAGGAGAAGUAUUCGAAAUGUUGCCUAUCAAGUAGUCAACGAUCCCCUAACAAUCGAAGGUAUUGUCUCUCGAGAGAUUAUCCCCUGUACUUUAUUGAGAGCCAGCAUGUUGUGAAUAGCUUUCCUAAGAGCUUGGUUAACAGAACCGAGAGUGCUUCAGCCAUACGUUAGCAUACAAUCAUCCACCAACAGAACGUUUACAUCGAAACUAAAUUUAUUAUUAUGUCAAUCAAAUUUAUGUAAAAUUGAUAAUAAUAAUAAUAAUAAUAAUAAAAUAUUAACAUUGUAAUUAAACGAUCUCUAAUUGCCCACUUUCAAAAUUUCCCAUUCCUUUUAGAGGGAUCAAAUUGAUCUGUUAAAAUUGAGAUGGAUCGAAAAAGUCUUUCACUUAAAUAUUAUUAUAAGUUAAAAUAUGUCACAAGUCGAUGUAUUCUUCAAAAUGUUGAUUCUUGUACCUUUAUUUACAUUUAGUCCUUCUAUUUUUCAUGUUUCAGAAAUUCAAAUUCAACUGUUAACACUAUUAAAAUUAUUUUGUUAAAUUUAAGUUCGUUACAUCAUUUUUUAAUUACAUAACUACUAAUAUUUUUUUAUUUCAAAAUAUUACACCAACAAAUUUAACAAACAGAACAAUAAGAUUAAUAAUUAAAAGUAUUCAAAGUACAAAAACCUGUAACAUAUUUUAAUCAUUAUUAAAUAAAUAAAAUCCAUGCAAAUUGAUUUUGCAAUACAAUUUAAAGAAGAGAGAUGUUAACACCAAAACUAAAACCCUAGACAUUGUAUUAAGUAAUCAAUAAACAUAAAUGUAUUAUAUCAUGUCAUGCUUGUAUUAAGUAAUCAAUAAUCACACUUGCAUGUAUCCUCCCCCAAAAAUUUGCCAUAUCACAAUCAUACUUGUAUUAUGUUAUUGCGUCCGUGUUCGCGUGUAUCCGUUUAAUUGGUCACCGAUACAAACAAUUCUUGGUCACAAAUGAAUGAACACAAAACUUUAACAAUAAAAAAUUAAUAAUAAAACUCUAAGAAAAUGAGCAACUAUGAAAAAAAUAACAAAAACACUGCUACAAACAAGACCAUGUUUAACAAAAGCCAAUGCCAACUAAUUCAAGGCCUAUCAAAAUUGUUCAAAUACUGCAUUUGACAGUAAUAACAAUCACAACAAAACAUUAAAAAAACACAAGUCUCAUCUAAAACUCAACAUCUGAAAGACAUCCAAAAAAGUUCAAAUGAAGCUCUUCUUCUCCCUUUCUAUGGACCUAUGCUUCGCAUUUGUCAGUGUCUAUCUUCAAUUCUCUGCAACAUGGCCAUUCUCCGAUUCCUCAGCACUGGAUUUCAUAACGGAAACAAGAUCACAAUUAGCAACGUCUUUUUGCUGAGACACACAAUUAACAACUCAAGCAGAACUCAACAGAGGGAUCUAACACGCAUAGUAUUUCACCAGGUUGAAACCAAGCAACGUUUAGUUAAUUUCUAAUGCUUCGUGAAUAUAAAGUAAAAUAACUACCAAGUUCUCAAACUCUUCCAUACACAGGGGACUUUUGAGACAAGAAGUUCUCGGACUCUUGCGCAAACCACAUUCUCCAUAAUUUGGACUUUGUCAUGUAUGCCAGUGGUCAAACGGUAGGAGCAGGAGAGAUGAAAAGAUGCAUACUUAUUGUUCGAGUUAAAUCACUAUCGGGCCAAAACUUGACAAUUACUACUACAUUUGACAACAACUCCAACAUUGGGGCCUAAACUUUUUUUGUCCAAGUUAGUCCCUGAACUUGGUAAUUAUUCCCAAAUUGAGGCCUAAACUAACUGUUAUCACAUUGGGACUUGAACUUUCCUUUUGUCCAAGUUAGUCCCUGAACUUGGCAAUUGUUCCCAUAUUGAGACCGAAUAAUAUCAGGGCUAACUUGGACCAAAAAUUAGUUUAAGCCCCAAUGUGGAAAUAGUUGCCAAGUUCAGGCCCCAAAAAGUGAUUUAACCCUAUUUAUUCUUUAGCUAAUUAAAGCCUCUAUUCCAUUCCCUAUAAUCCCUAGCCUAAAUGAAUUCAAAUACUGCUAUAUGCAUAAGGAAAUUUGUUCUAUAAUGCAAUUGUGGAAAGCAAAAGAAUUCACAUACACUACUAUUCUGUUUCUAAAGAACCAAGCAUAUAUAUAAACACUUUAUAGUGAAUCAACAUGAGAAAAGCAACAAAUAAAGCAAUAUUCUAAAAUUAACCAAGCAUGAAAAUCCAGUUAAUUGAAGAGACCUUUGGGGUUGAUGAUCAGCAUCAGCUGUAGCUUCAACAGGUUCACUCUUCCUCCAGCUCUUGUCAGCCGGGAUAUGGCCAUUACCGAAGCUUGCCUUUGCCCCUCUCUCUUUCUCUGUAACAGCUACUGCCUCUUUAAUCUUCAUAGCUUCAAGCUUUUCAUCGAUCUCCUUCCAGUCUUUCCCCUUUUCCUUCAACACCUCCUCUCUCGGCCUUGCCUGGCCGAAAGGAUUUGCCCCUUUGGGCUUGGCCACCGUCGAGUCCUUUUUACACUCCUCCAUCACGGGAACCGUACGUGGUUGAAGCACAAGCUUUGGCCUCACCCCACCACCACCAGCACUGUUGGUCUCUUCCUUUUUCUUUCCCCAGUGAUCCAAAUCCCUUGGGGAAUCCCUGGAUUGAAGUGAAUCGAAACUGCUUCUUUUCUCAAAACCCCCACCAAAUCUCCGAGGCGGCGGUGCUCCAUUAGGGCUUUUAUUACUCUUACUAGCUGCCCAGUUAUCUACUUCAUCUGCUUUCGAUUGAGAAUCGAAAAACCCUCCUUCACCUCUCUCUCGCCUCUCAAACCCACCGCGGAAUCCAUUCCCGGUAGGAGCCGAUUUCUUAACCGACGCCCAAUUAUCGAUCUCAUCAGCGCGUGAGGGAGCAAUUUCUCUAUUCGAAUCUCUAUUCGAAACCCUAGAAGAUCCCCAUCUACUAUUACUCGACGAAUCAUCCCCGUUAGAAUUGUACCUGUUCGACCCGUACGAUUUAAAACCGCCGCCGAGCUGGUUACGAUCGAGCUCCUCGGCGGAACGCUGGCGAGGACCGGUCGGUAGAACGAGCAGGUCCUCAUGAGUGCGCCCUGUCGGCUCGCUCGGCUUAGCCGAACCGUGAGUAAAUUCAGCAAGAGAUACGGUUUGGCCCUUCUUUUUCUUGGUUUUGGUGGCCGCGGCGGCGGAUAAAGAAGGGAAAUCGGCGAGCUUUCCGGUCGAAGAAUCUACGCCGCUUUCCUGUUCUUGUUGGAGUUCAGCUUCGUGCUCUUCGGCGUCUAGAGCCCACGCGCCGGCUUUGCCCCAAGGUGACGAGACAGUUGCCGCCAUGAUCUUUUGUUUCUUUUGCCUUUUUAGUGCUUUGGCGCCGUUUCGAAGCUUACGUUUUCAGUUGUGCAGCGAAAGGAGAGGGAAGGGUUUUUUUAUAUUGUGAUAUGAUCGGCCUUCAUCGGACGGUGUAGAAUAAUUCAUAAAUAAAAGAAGUUUUAACUUAAAAAAUAUACUCAACUAAAAGUUGGAUUGUAUUUUAUCUUCUCUAUUAAAAAAAUUAGAAAAUUAAUCCUUAUAUUUUAGACCAAAUAGCAAACUAGUCAUCCACUUUUAAUGUUAAAAACGGGUCAUCGUACUUCAGCAUAACACGGCAUGUGUCACUGUUUGGUUAUACUAUUAAUCACGCUAGUUUUUAACCGUACAAGCAAAUGAAAUUUUUAACAAAAAUGACCAAUUUACUUUUUAAUCUAACAUGCAUAGACUAAUUUACUUAUUUUUAAAUGGAGGGAUAAAAUACAAUCUGACUCCUAACACAAAGACCUCUAUGAUAGUUUUACCAAAACUAUAUUAUAACUUAUAAGAGUCACUAGUAAAAAUUUAUCAAUUUAUUUAUUAUAUCUAAAUUUAUUUUAAUAAAUAUAUAGACAAUAAAUAUAUGAAGUACUUGAUAAAUAAUCAAUUUUUUAUUAAUUUAAUAAAAGAUAAUAAACUAAAUAUAAAUAAAAUGUUUUUUUUAUAUCAUUGAAGAGGAGAACGUGAUUACUUAGGAUACUUGAUAUCGAAUCCGAACUCUUUCGUAUCCACAACAUAAUACUCUUAUCAUUGAGUUAAAAAAUUGUUUACAUAAAAUAUAUUAUUUUAUUUACAAAUUUUAAUAUUUAUCUGAUAAAUGAUAUAAAGGUAGUCUUAUAUCUUUCAAAAAUAGUAUAAUUAAUAACCAUUUAGGUAUUAUCAUUUUACCAAAAAUAAUAUAUAUACAUAUAUGUUUAUCUGUAUUUUGCGAUAAAAGUACUAUGAAACCUUUAUGGUAAGAGGUGGAUUGCAUCAUGUCUAUUUACUUAAAAAAAAUGGGUAAUUAGUCUUUGUAUGUUAGAUUAAAGAGCAAACUGAUCGUUUUUUUUUAAAUUUAAUUUAUUUCUACGGUUAAAAAUUAGUCUAUAUACAUUAGAAUAAGGUACAUGGAACACCACAUGUAACUAUUUGGUUGUUUUAUCAAUCACAUCGGUUUUUAACAAUAGAAAUAGAUGAAAAUUUUAAUCGAAAGGAUCAGUUUACUCUUUGAUCUAACGUACAUGGACUAAUUUAAAUAUUUUUUAAUUAUUUAUUUAACAUCAUUUUAUUGUUGAUAAAAAUAAAUUUUGAAUUAUUUGGAAACAUAUUCAAUUAUAUAUUUAUAAAUGUAUUAGUUUAAUUUAAUGGAUAUAAACAUAAUUUUAGAAAUUUUAAAGAGAAAUUAAAAAUAAUCCUAAAUUUUAAUCAUAUAAUAAUAAUAACAAUGAAAAUGAAAAUUCUGAUUCGGUAAAAAGGUCAUAGCAGUUGGUUCUAAGCCACUCUUUUGAAAAAGCUGCUUAUUUACUAAAGCUGAAUCCAAAGGUCUGAACUUUGCAACGUUAUGGACAACGUAACCAAACAUAACCAAGAUAUUCAUGGGAUUCCAAAAUCCAAAUAGCUUUAAAAAAUAAUAAUAAAAAACAGGUCAAGUUUCGAGUAAGGCUUUUUACUACUGGCCCAACUCGAUUUUGCAAAACCAAAAAGUUAUGUUGUUUUCUUCUUGUUUUCUGCUACUUUGUUGUUGUUUUCUUACUACUUUCUCACUGGCUUCUGUCAUUUCACUAUUAUGUUGUUACUAUUUUGUUAUUAUUGUUUGAAUGUUGUAUAACUCUUAUUUUAUUUUAAUUUUGCUACUAUUUUAAAGACAUUUACUUGUUAAGUUGCACAUAUCUUAGUGUUAUUUAGUGUAAAUAUAUAUAUUUUUAAAAAUUCAAUUUAUUGGAAAAACAUUUAGUUUAAUGUUUUUAGUGAUUUUGAUAUAUUAUAUAUUUUUUUAAAAUCAUAUAAAAAUUUAAUAUGGGUGGGUCAGGCCAAGUUGUUGCACACUUUCGGGUCAGGCUUGGGCAAAAUUUUAAGCUCAUUUUUUGGGCUAAGUCGAGUCUGGGCCUAUCAAACGAACCUAAAUUUUGUCAAGGCUCAACCCAUGGACAAGUAUAUAAAUUUAUUUCAACAUAUAAAAUUUACUUAUUAACAAAUUGUAACACAUCUAACCCGAAUCCAUCGCCGAGGUUACAGAGCAUUACCGGAGUUUAUAAAUCAAACAAACAGAAAAUGCAAACAUUUCAUGGCAUAUAGCAUUCAAGUCAAAAACCAAUCAAAAUCAUACAUAUUAUCCUUUAUACGAGCCCUCAGGUCCCAAAAUACACAUUAGAAACAAAUCGGGACUAAAUUGGAAACUCAAAAAAAAUUUCGAAAAACUUUUAAAUUUUUUCAAAGGUGCGGAGGACACACGCCCAUGAGACCAGGCUGUGUGUCUCACACGGUCAAGAGACACGCCCGUGUCUCAGGCCAUGUGGAUAUUCGAAGUAGGGACACACGGCCGUGUCCUAGUCUGUGUCCAAAAUUAGGUGCUUACUGACUUAGGUCACACGGACAAGCCACACGCUCGUCUGCUAGGUCGUGUGAACAUUCUGUUUUGCUCAAUUUAAUAGAUACAGAGGACACACGAUCAUGUCACCUGGUCGUGUGUCACACACGACUGAGACACACACCCAUGCCUUUGCCCAAGUGGACGAAAUUAGGUCAUUUUUAGGCCACAUUUCUCACCCCAUUUGUCAUCAACCUAACUCAACACUUUUACACAUCAACAGUCUAUAUCAUAGCAUUCAAAUCAAGCUAAAUCCAAGUUUUAUACAUAUAUUAUCAUCACAUGUACUCUAGUAUUCAAACUUAUCAAAUUGACCAAAUUCACAUGUAUGCAUACUUGUACUAAGUAUUAACAAAUCUAUAAGAUUAUCAUCAUUCAACUAUACCAAACACUCACAUCUAACAUGAUAUAGCCUCUUAUAUGCACAUCAAAACAUGUUCAUCACAAGUCAUCCCUAUGGCUAGAUAUAACAAAACAUUAAUAAGCCAACAUUGGCCAAAUUAACUUAUACAUGCCAUUAUAAUCAGAAUCAAAUCAUCCAAAAUUACCGAUAGAACCAAUGGAUAAUGUGAUAUAACUCCGACAAGCUUCCAACCAGUUCGAGCUUCCCAUAAUCUGUAAGGUAAAUAAAAACAAAUACGUAAGCAAUGAAUGCUUAGUAAACUCAUGUAAUCUUUAAUCAUAUUAAUUCAUUUCAAAUAUGAAAUCUAUACAUAUCAAGAAUAAUCCAAUUUUGAUACCACAAUAUUCAUGAAAUUAUAUUCAUCAACUCACAAGGUGAAUAAAUCCACAACAUCACUUAUACAUAUUAUCCCAAGCUUAGUAGGAUUUUAUAUAACUUUAACUCUUCCAAAUUUCUUUAUUUUCAUUUGCAUUUCUUUACUUUCCACACUUAUUCCAUAUGCAUGACACACAAGUCAUAAACAUAUUAUUCAACCAUGGCCAGCAUUUAACCAAAGCCUUUUUCGAAUUAAUCACAUGAUAAGUCAUUUUAUAAGAAAUUGCAUAAUUUAAACCUUACCACUAUUUCAUGAGCACUAGCAUAUUUUCGCUUAAAUACUUACCAAUUCAAUGCAUCAUAUAAAUAAACAUAUUACCAUUCAACCAAUAGCUUGGCACUUACCUAAGCAUCAAGCAACAACACUGGUUAGCGUAAUUGCACAUAUUACAUAUAAAUUCAACAUUGUUAAACUUAUUUUCUCGACAUGUCACAUUUGAGUUUAUUACCCAUCUCAACAUACAUAAUUUCCUUAUAUCAACAAAACAAAGAUAGUCACAUAUUUACAUAUCAUGAUACAUAUCAUUCUCUUGCCGUUUCUUCAUAAAUAUAUAUCAUUCAUUUCAUUAUAAGAAUAUUUCAUGUACCAUCAUUUUCAUGAAUUUCGUGUAUAUUUAUUCUGGUAACAGUUCAUAAUCAUGAAUAUUGAUGCAAUCGGGCCCCAUGAGUUAUCAAAUGGGAAUGAUGUUUCCCUCGAGCUGCCUAAAGGACCUAUUACCAGAGCUAGGGCUAAGAAGUUUAAAGACACAAUUUCAGCUUUGGUUGAUCGGGUUUGGGGUGAAUCCGUGGCCAGUCUACUUGAAAACUCAUGGACCAGCAAGAUGAGCAAACCGUGCACUUUACUUCAAGCUCUUCCAGCUUAAUUUUUAACAAGCUCGUUUUUAGCUUAUUCAUUUUUUUUUGAAAUAAUUAAUUAAAUUAUCUUAGUUGCUGUUAAGUUUAAUUUGAGUCUUAGUUAAAUAUUUCUUGGUUCAGCCGAAUUAAUGUGUGAGAUUUAAGCUAAGUAAAUUUGUUGAAUUUGCUAGGACAAUGUACAUGGACGGCAAAGAAGAGGUGGACAACAUCAUGCAUAAUUUGUGGAACAAAUUAAGGAAGCAUUUGACCAACAUCAUGCAUAAUUCAUGGAAGAAUUUGAAGAAGCAUUUGACCAACAUCAUGCAUAAUUCAUGGAAGAAUUUGAGGAAGCAUUUGGCCAACAUCAUGCAUAAUUCAUGGAAGAAAUUGAGGAAGCAUUUGACCAACAUCAUGCAUAAUUCAUGGAAGAAUUUAAGGAAGCAUUUGGCCAACAUCAUGCAUAAUUUAAGGAACAAAUUGAGGAAGCACCAUGGCCGAAUUUGGCUUCCAAUUUUACCCAUUCGGCUACCCUUUUGUUUUGCCUAUAAAUAUGUGUUAAAUUUCAUUGUAAGGAGAAGAACCUUGAAUUAAUGUUUUUUUACAUUUUGUGAGAUUGUUUACAACUCUCAUUGUUCUCCAAAGACUCGUUUGACUUAUCAAGUAACCCUUGUGGCGUCAACCCAUUCUUCUUAUCCGAACUUAUCACUUUGCAUCCAAAGUGUGGCGUUCAAGUUAUACCGAGGUUCCUAUCAUCUUUGAUAGUGGGUCAAGGUUCCAUUUUAUUCGUUUUCCAUCCAUACAACAUUUAACCUUUCCUAAGUAUUCGUAUAAGUCCCGGGUUAACACACUUAUAUUAUGUUGGUUCAACUUGAAUACUUGGUUUUCAUUCACCUAUCAUCCUCAAUACACUUCAUAACCCCUUUUGAACUAAAUUUGAGCCUUUAUCCCUUCUUUCUUAACCUAUCUUCGACAAACCUUGAUAUUACUCCAAUUCACGAUCGGGUACAUCAAUGACUCGACUCUCAUCACAGAGGCCGGGGCGUAUCAUCUGGUAUCAGAGCUAGCCGAAUCGGAGUAAGAAUCAUCAUCUUUGAUAUUAUGGUUUUGUAAAAAAAAUCAAAAAAAAAAAUUUUUUUGCCUACGAUCUAGGCACGGACGAAAAGAACGUGAAAGAUCCGUAAAAAAAAAGAGUCUGGAAACCCUUCAACAAUUUUUUUUUGAAUCAUAAUCUACACUCCUUUAUACCCCUUUGAGUGAAUUUUCACGUUUUCAAAAAAAAAAUUUAUCCAAUUUAUUAUUUUUUCUUUCUUCUUUUGUAUUCGGUAUUAAAAAAAAAGAGAAAUUCAAAAAAAAAAUCGGAAUUAAAAAAAAAGUGAUUGAAAUUCAUUUUAAGUUUUGUUUGAUAGCCUACCAUUUCCGACAUCAUUGCCCACCAAGCCAACUCAAUUUUGUAAGCCGACGACAAACGGUAUUGAUUCGUCUAUCUAGUUUGCAGAGAACUUCGAGAGGCGAAAAUCGAGUGGUAAAAGGCAAGAGCGAUUGGUGAGACCAUUAGAGAAGAGUAAAAGCCAAAUUGUGUGAAAUUUUCUUUGUGAGGAAUUGGUGAGAAUUUUGUGGUGAGGUAUUUAAUUUUCUGUUAUUAUUAUUAUUAUUUUUAACAUUUCUUCUUUUAGUAUAUAAUCAUGUCUCAAGAUACCGAGCAAAACGUGGUGGGAAGAGAAGGAGUUCCCGAUUUAGGCCAACAAGCCCUCUUAAGAGAAUUUCAACGAAUGCUCCGUAACGAGCUUGAAUCCAUCAAUGAGAGGCUAGAUCGAGUGGAAGGAGGGCCAACACGAGAAGGAACCCCUCAAGGACUGAGAAGGGAGCGGGGGCGAGCAAAACCUUUUGUGGAUGAUCUCUUCGAGCCAAGCGAGGAGGAAGUUGCCAAGCAUUGGAUCAAAACGAAAGACGACGAGGUCAAAAGAAUAGGGGUCCUAGAGAUCGAGGCCAAGUUGAUGGUGAUUUAAAAGGUAUUAAACUAUCCAUUCCUCCCUUUCAUGGGAAAUCUGAUCCGGAAGCCUAUCUAGAAUGGGAGAGAAAAAUAGAGGUGAUCUUCGAGUGUCACAACUACUCGGAGAGCAAAAAGGUGAAAUUGGCGGCAAUCGAGUUCUCCGAUUACGCAAUGGUAUGGUGGGAUCAACUCACAACGAGUCGAAGAAGGAACGGGGAGCGGGCAAUCUCAUCUUGGACCGAAAUGAAAGCCGUAAUGCGUAAGCGAUUUAUACCCUCUUACUAUUAUCGUGAACUUUAUCAAAAAUUGCAGAUUCUUACGCAAGGAAAUCGAAGUGUGGAGGACUACUUCAAAGAAAUGGAAAUUGCCAUGAUUCGAGCAAACGUGGAUGAAGAUCGUGAAGCAACCAUGGCUCGAUUCUUAGCUGGCCUUAAUCGUGACAUAGCUAACGUGGUGGAACUUUAACACUAUGUUGAAGUUGUUGAUAUGGUACAUGUUGCCAUCAAAGUCGAAAAACAAUUGAAGAGAAAAGGAACUAGCCGAACCUUUCCUAGCACUAACAAUUUUCAAAGGUGGAACCAAGGCACGGGUAAGAAAGACUUCUCUAAUCGCACUAAAGAUCACCCUUUAUCUUCUAAGGUGAGCAAACCCGUUGGUGAAACAAGCAAAGGUAAAGAAGUUGUCAUGCCGAAUCGAUCACGAGAAAUAAAGUGUUUCAAGUGUUUAGGGAGGGGCCAUAUUGCAAGUCAAUGCCCUAACCGUACUAACAUGAUAUUGCGGGCUAAAGGAGAGAUCGAAUCAGAGGAAGACGAUGAUGAAAACCCCGAUGAAGCCGCCGAAGAAGAAGACGAACUUGAAUAUGCUGUUGAUGUCGAAAUCCUCGUCAUUAAACGAAGUCUUAGUCUUCAAAGCGUUGAAAACGAACAGCAAAGGGAGAAUAUUUUCCAUACACGUUGCCAUGUCCAAGGCAAAGUGUGCAGCUUGAUCGUUGAUGGCGGGAGUUGUACAAAUGUGGCCAGCACCAUAAUGGUUGAAAAACUCGGCUUGCCAACAACUAAGCACCCUCAACCUUACAAACUUCAAUGGCUUAAUGAUGGAGGGGAGUUGAAGGUAACUAAGCAAGUUUUGGUGCCGUUCACUAUCGGAAAAUAUUCCGACAAAUUUUUAUGCGACGUAGUACCUAUGCAUGCUGGUCAUAUGUUAUUGGGUCGUCCAUGGCAAUUCGACCGUAAAGCUACUCAUGAUGGUUUUACAAACCACUACACUUUCAAGUUUGAAGGAAAGAAUGUCACCUUAGUCCCGAUGACACCGAGGCAGGUUUAUGAAGACCAAUUGAAGUUAAGAGAGUCUUUUGAAAAAUUUCGAGAGAAUGAAAAAGAAAGCGAAAAACACACUGAGAAAAAAAAAGAAAAACUUUUGAAAAGUGUGAGAGAAAAUAAUAAAUCGAUUGAACAAAAAAAUAGAGAAGAAAAAGAGUAAAAGAAAAUGAGUGUUUAUGCGAAAGAGAGUGAUUUUAGAAAGUCUUAUUUGAUGCAGCAAUCGGUUCUUGUACUUAUGUACAAGGAAACUCUUUUGAAUACUAACGAGUUGGAUCCAAAUCUGCCCUCUUCGAUUGUUUCUCUUUUGCAGGAAUUUGAGGACGUGUUUCCGGAAGACAUUCCUAAUGGGUUACCGCCCAUUCGAGGAAUAGAACAUCAAAUUGAUUUCAUUCCCGGAGCCUCCAUUCCCAAUCGACCAGCUUAUCGUACAAAUCCCGAAGAGACCAAAGAAUUGCAAAAACAAGUCAAUGAACUUAUGGAGAAGGGAUAUAUACGAGAAAGUCUUAGUCCUUGCACCGUACCGAUUUUGUUGGUACCAAAAAAGGAUGGAACAUGGCGUAUGUGCGUAGAUUGUCGCGCGGUAAAUAAGAUCACUAUUAAGUAUCGACAUCCGAUACCGCGACUCGAUGAUAUGUUGGAUGAAUUGAGUGGUGCUCGAAUAUUUUCUAAAAUUGAUCUAAAGAGCGGAUACCACCAAAUUCGGAUGCGUGAGGGGGACGAGUGGAAAACCGCUUUUAAGACGAAACAUGGACUCUACGAGUGGUUGGUUAUGCCAUUCGGGCUUACCAAUGCGCCUAGCACUUUCAUGCGGUUGAUGAACCAUGUUCUUCGUUCUUUUAUCGGAAAAUUUUGCGUUGUCUAUUUUGAUGAUAUACUUAUCUAUAGCAAUUCCUUAGAAGAUCAUUUGUUGCAUUUAAAAUCUGUUUUGGAUGUGCUUAGAAAAGAAUCCUUGUUUGCUAAUCUUAAGAAAUGUACUUUUUAUACUAACAAGGUUAUUUUCUUAGGAUUCGUGGUCAGCUCGGAAGGAUUAGAGGUUGAUCAAGAAAAGGUGAAAGCCAUUCAAGAAUGGCCUAGACCCACGAGCAUUAGCCAAGUGAGGAGCUUCCACGGAUUGGCAAGCUUCUAUCGACGAUUUGUUCCAAAUUUUAGCACCUUGGCAGCACCUUUAACUAGUGUGAUCAAGAAGUCUUCUGCCUUCUAUUGGAAUGAGGAACAAGAAAAAUCUUUCAUUGCUCUUAAAUCUUGCUUAACUAAUGCUCCCUUACUUGUGUUACCUGAUUUUGCUAAAAUGUUUGAAGUUGAAUGUGAUGCAUCAGGUGUCGGAAUUGGAGCCGUUCUAAUGCAAGAUGGAAGGCCCGUGGCAUACUUUAGUGAGAAGUUAAAUGGAGCCGUUCUCAACUAUCCGACGUAUGACAAAGAAAUGUAUGCUCUAAUUCGAGCUCUCGAGACUUGGCAGCACUAUAUGCGAUCUCUCCUUUAAAAAAAUGGGUCUAAAAUUUUGCUCAGCCGGGCCCGCCUAUAUUAAAAAAAUGUAUAUAAUUUUUUUAAAAAUAUAAUACAUCAAAAACAUUAAAAUUAAUGUUUCCCAAAAAAAUUAACAUAAAUUUUAAAAAAAAAAUUUAUACUUAAAUAACACUAACAUAAGUACAACUUGACAAAACAAAUGCCUCUAAAAUAGUAACGAAAUUAAUAAUAAAAUAAGAGUUAUAUAAUAUCCAAAUAAUAACAACAAAAUAAUAGCAACAUAAUAGUGAAAUGACAACAAAAUAGUAAAUAAAAAUAAAAAGAAACAUCAAAAAAGCAACAAGAUAACAACAGGAAAACAAUAGCUUUUUUUUUUUUGCAAAUUUGGGUCAAGUCCAGGCCAAAAAAGUCUUAUCCGAGUCCCAACCCAUUUUCUAAACGGGCCUUAUUUUUUAUCCAAGCCCAUUUUUUGAAUAUCCCAACCCAUGGAUAAAUCUAAUUGCAAUUUAAUUUUCUUACUUGUUUAUGUUUUAUUACACGUAAAACCUCUUUUUAUUUACAAAUAGAUAAUUAUGUUUUAUUACAAGUAAAACCUAAUUAACAUGACUUUAGAAACAUAGCUGAAUACUAAGGAAUACAUAUAAAUGAAAUUUUAAGACAUGAAACACAUUCAAGACCAAAGGCAAACAUAAGCAAAUUCCUACUUUUUGUUGUUGUUUUUUAAGUACUCUGUCCACAAUCGGCAAUAACAACCGGCUUCGUAGUCUUUCCACGGCUAGAGCCAACUUUCUCAAUGUCUCUAACUACUUUCAUGCCUUCGACCACUCGUCCGAAAACAACGUGCUUUCCAUCGAGCCACUCGGCUUUAGUGGUGCAGAUGAAGAACUGAGAUUUGUUAGUACCCGGUCCAGCAUUCGCCAUGGAUAGUACGCCGGGUCCAAUAUGUUUCUUGAUGAAGUUCUCGUCGGCGAAGUUGGAUCCGUAUAUAGAUUCACCUCCGGUGCCGUUUCCAGCUGUGAAGUCACCUCCUUGGCAAAUAAAAUUAGGGAUCACACGAUGGAACUUCGAGCCUUUGUAGUGGAGUGGUUUACCGGAACGACCGACGCCUUUCUCGCCGGUACAUAGUGCACGGAAGUUCUCGGCAGUGCGAGGGGUAACAUCGGCAAAAAGCUCCAUCAUGAUCCGACCAGCCGGUUCGCCUCCGAUCGUCACGUCGAAGAAUACUUUAGGAUUGGAAACCAUUGCUGAAUAUUGGAUUUUGUAUUGUUUUGAUAGGUCAGUAGGGUACGUAAAGGGGAGGGACUAUGUUUAUAUAGGAUAAGGGGAGGCUCGAAAGUUGACGGGAUAGAUUCUAAAUCUAAUUCUUUCGGUUUAAAAUGAUCAAAUGCGAGUUAAAAUUGAAUUCCAUUCACAUUUUGUGAUAAAUACGAAUAUAUAUAACAUUUUAAAAUGAUAAAACAAAGGUGGCUGUUUCUGCCAAAUCUAUUGGUUGUCUCUAGCACCAUAUUUAGUAUUUAAAGUGUGUUUCUGUUUGAGACACUUUCUGCUUUUCUCUAUGUAUACUAUGAAAAGUUAUUCUUUGCUUAAAGGAGCUUACAUAGAUGGAAUAUGGUAUAAUAAUUUUUUAUGCAAGAUGUAGGGCAGGUAAAGUGAUGUUCACAUUGUAGGUGGUGUGUACAGCUAUUAACCAUGAAGGUUUUGAAUUUGUAUUUGAAUAGAGUGAGGGUUGUAUUAUAUAUCUCGUGCCUUUACGUUGGUGCUGGAGGAUAUUAUUUAUAAACGAAGGUUGGUUUGGUAUGGGUUUCAAUCAUCUAUUGUUGUAUUCUAUAGAUGUAGGUAGUAGAAUGAUCAACUAGGAACACUUUUGGAGUUGAUAUGAGGGGACUUUGUGAGGUGACUUGUUAUAAUAUUAUCAGUUCGAAGAGAUGAUAGAUAGAUGGGUGUUGAUAGGAACACUUAUCCAUGUAUAUUCUAAGGAUUGUGUGGGAUCAUCUCAUUUGAUGCGGUGUUUAGUGAAGCGAGAUUGGGACUAUGCUUCUAGCAAGGCCGAGCUUCAUCAAAUUUUACCUUCAAGUAUAAGCAUCAGGUGGUUCGAUGAGAGGUGAUAUGGUGAGGGUAUAAUAAUUGCCCCUAAAUGAAAUGCAAGUUAUAAAGUGACCUACCUUGAGUGAAAUAUCUAGUGAAACACUAAAACGACUUUUGAAAUGUCAUGCUUAAUAUCCAAUCAUUGUGCCCUUUCAUUAAUUACUCUAUGCUAGCUUUGAUUUAUAAAACUUUUUAUAUAAUAACAUUUAAGAUAUUUUUUUUCAUAUUAUUGCUUAAGUCAUUUAUGUUUUAAAACAAAAUAAAUAUUUUAGAAAAUAUUUUCAAAUCCAAAGCAAGCUUAAAGAAUGCUGGUUUAAAUUGAUUUUACUCAUAUCUUGUGCUCUUAAGUUAACUGAAAAGCUUUGAAAAUAUUUUAAAGUGUGUUUUUGAAACAAAAAUAACCAUUUUAAUAGCUAAGUGUCGAUACCCCUAGGCUAGUAUCCAUAGGCCUUUCUAGAGGGGUAAGAUAAUACUUGUUCUUGAGGUACUGAUACACACCCAAGUAUCGUAUUUUACGUAAAGUAUCAGCCUUGAAAUGUCAAUAGCCAAAACUUUUUUUCUAGACGGGCAAGGUAUCGAUACCUUGAUACCUGUUAUUGAGGUAUCGAUACCUAACCCAAAAAGUAUCAAUACCUCAUUAUUUAUAAUGACUAUUUUUUUUAGAAGUAUGGAUACCCUCUUCAUAGGUAAUGAUACAUUAGGAUGUAGGGUUGUUUCAACUUGCAUUUUUAAUGCUUCUAACGGCUCUUUUUCAUCCCCUACGACCAUAAAUAGCUAGAAUUCACUUCAUUGACAUAAAGAGAGGUCGAUGAAUGAAGAGAUAUCAUGUAACACCCCUAACCCGUAUCCGUCACCGAAUUAGGGUUACGAGGCAUUACCGAACAAAUUCAACAUUUUUAAAACCAAACUGAUCACAACGUAAAAAUUUAAUUACUUUCGCAUAGCUAUUAUAAUUUACAAUCAAAAUGUAAUUAACAUCGUACUCAAACCUAUACAUGCCAUAAGAUUGAGUUCAAAUCUUUAACAAAAUACCAAAAGAAGUCGAUAGUGUGAUGGACUAUGCUGAUGAUCCCCGAGCUCGUAACGCGUCUCCAAAAUCUAUAAAAGCAAAUGGACGAAAACAAGCAAAGUAAGCUUUUAUAGCUUAGUAAGUCUACAGGAUAACUAAAUGUAUAUAAAUAUAUAAAUAAAGUUACUUUUUAAUCUAUUUCACUGAGAUUUCAAUUAACACGAAUAACUAAUAUUUAUAUGUUAUUGUACUCAGCCCAUUUCAUUUAUAGAUAGAUAUGCAUACCUGUCGAAAGCGAUCAAUUGAAUAUAUAUUUUUAUACCAAACACAUUACAACGAAUGUAUACAACCGCGCAUAUAUAUAUUAUACACAUAUCAUAACCGAAUGUGUAUGAAUACUCAUUUUAAACUUUAAAUCAAUACAAAUCUAAUACAUAUGAACGAAUGCAUUUAUUUUCAUCAAAUACUUAUAAACCAAGGUAUAUAUAUAUCUCGAAUGCAUAUAUAGUUACUAAUCAAAUAUGUGUACCGAAUAUUUAAAAGUAUAUAUUUAUCAAAUGCAUAAUCCCAGAGCAUAUAUAUAUUUCUCAAUUGUAUAAGCCGGAUAUAUAUAUAAUCAUCAAACGCACUUAGCCAAUUGUAUAUAUAUAAAUAUACUUAUCAAUUAAAUAUAUCCAAAAUCAUAUAAUUGUACACCUAAUCACAUACUUAAAACAGAUUCACCGGCAUUUAGCCUGCUAGGCUUUAAGCCUGAUUCAGUACACCGGCACUUAGCCUGCUAGACAUAUAGUCUGAAAUAUUUCACCGGCAUUAAGUCUGCUAGACAUAUAGUCUGAAGUGUUUCACUGGCAAUAAGCCUGCUAAGCGCUAUGCUUGAAAAUCUCAAUUUUCCCAUAUACAGAAUAAUUUCCUCAAAUACUUAUUAACAGCAAACACACAUUCAUUGUAGUCCAUAUUCAAUCACAAAAGAGUUUGCGAAUCAUACAUUCGAUUCAAUUCAAGAAUCUGUACACAAAUAUACAUUUAGAUAUAUUCGAACUCCCAAGUACGUUUUUAACAUUUAUACCUUAAAAUAUAAUCAAGACUUAUUCAUAUAUAUAUAUAGAUGUUCCAACUCCAUAUACUUACUUAUUCGAAAUUAUCUGUACAAUUACAACAUACAUACUUUUAAUCAAACCCAAAUGUUUUUACAUACAUCUAUAUGUUCGAAACUUAUGUAUACAUAUGUAUUAUACAUAUCUUUAAUUUAAGCAAGAAUUUAUACAUGUAUUUACUUACAUAUAUUUGAAUCUUAAGUGCACAUAUAUAUAACUCUCAUACAACCAACCAAAUUCAAGUAUAUGUAUACAUAUAGAUACAUAUAUAAUUAUUUGAAUUUAUAUAUAUAUAACUUUAUUCUAUUCAUACUUUAAAUUAGUUCAAAAAUUUAUAUAAGCAUAUACCUAUAUAUUUGAACGUUGUAUAUACAUAUUUAUACCAUUUAUAAUUUGAAUUUAUUCAAUUAAAUUACUUUUAAUUAUAGCUCAACAACAACAUAAUAGAUAUUCAUGCAUAUAUAUAUAUAUAUAUAUAUAUUGAUUUAAUAACAUUAAAUAGCUAAUAGACUUACCUCGGACGAUGGAAAAUCGAAGUCGGACGAUUAUUCGACUAAUUUGGCUUUUCCCCGAUCUAACUCCGAUUUCUUUAGUUCUCGAUCUUGAAUUAAGCUUGUUAAUGACCGAAUACCUCAAAGCUUUUAAACCCUAUUUGUUUUUCUAAGUUUCGGCAAAGGAAGAAUGAAAAUAAUGGCUUCAAUUGAUUUAUUAUAUCAUAUGUUUAUUUAAUUAUUAGUUUACUAUAUUAACCUUUAAUACAAAAUAUAUAAACCUUAUAAUAUAAGGUCAUUUUUGACCAUUAUCACCCACUCACUACUUUAUGGUCUUAUUGCAUCAUAAAUCCUUCCAUUUAAAAAGACAACAACAAUUAGGUGCUUUUAUAAUUAACCCUUAAAUUUUUAUUUUUCGCGAUUUAAUCCUUUUAUUUAAUCGGACACUCAAACAACAAAAUUAAAACACGAAAAUUUCACACAAUCAAAUGCACACAAAGUAAACACACAAAAUAAUAUUGAAAUAUUUUUAGGACUCGGAUUUGUGGUCCCGAAACCACUAUUCCGAUUAGAGUCAAACCGGGUUGUUACAUAUCAACGCAUUCAAGCAAGCAAAUUUUUAGUUCAUUUCUUUCCUCUUUUCUUGUUUAUUAUUUAUUGAGCUUUAUUGAAAAUCAUUAUACAAGGGUUUAUUUUACUUUUAAGAGCUUAAUUUUGUAAACACUCACUUACUAGAGGUUGAUCAUGUGUUUCCUCAAAUAUUCUCUUUCUAUUAAAAAGCGAACUUUAAGGUUUUUAUGCAGAAAGCAUUAAUGGAUUAGAGGUUCUUGUUUAGCCUUGAAUGCUAGGAGAAGGCUUUUGUCUAAGCCUUGCUAGAUAGAGAGUUUUAAAGGUUAUACUUGUCUUUGAAACGUAUCAAUUCAAGUUAAUGAAUUUGGAAAAUUCUUGUCGGCAAAAGAUAAAGGAGGUAGCCAAUUAAGGCCAAACCAUUGAGUCAAUAUUUUCUAUCCUUUCUCACCUUAGUGAAAACAAGUUAGAUUACCAAUUCACUCCUCCUCUCGGUAGAAUUCGAUUCGUUAAGACUUUACACUCCCUAAACAAGCGUUGAUUUUUUAUUAGGGCUUUUCUAUUUCUUGAUUUCCUACUUAGAUACUGAUAAGUUGGGCUCUUUUGUGAUUUCUGAGCUUGUAUCUUCUUCUUCUUCAAGGAUAACCGCUUAGUAAAGCAAAAAACCCAACCUCUUGGCAUGGAACAAAAUGUUGCUCAACAAUCAGUGGGUGAAGGAGGUGACAAGAACAAAGGCAAAAUGCCUUUCAAGAAAGAAGGUGCACGAGCUUUGUAGGAAAAAUAAAAAACCGGGGUACCUCUAUACACAUUUCUCUCAAGACAAAGGGAGAAUACUCUGCCAAUGCUAAGAAAAGUGACGUCAUGUUAGGCACAUGAAAAAGCCAAGGCACCAGGAGGAAACAUCGCGAUAGAUUCCCUCUUUAAAUCUCCUUACUGGAACAAGAAUGCCUAAUAGUGCUUUGGGAAGUGAUUUAGUGGGAUAAAAGAUAAUCAAAAGUGAAGUCAGCUUUCUCGAUACAAUAAAAUGAAGGCCUUCCUUGAAUAGGAGGCAAUAAAAGGGUCCAUUGAUGAUUACGUUUUUCUAGACAUGGUGGCUCUUCAGAUCUACUUACUGUCUGUACUUGUCACAAACACUACAUCUUAUCAUCGCCAAUUAGAAUGACAUGAGAAGAGCCAACUAGGUGGAAGCAAGACAGCAGUUAAAAUAAGAAGAAGAGCAACUUGUCUUACUAAAAGUUUCAUCCCGUAUCAAGUUCGCAUAUGCAACCAUUUGACACAAUAUCUUAUUCUUGCAAGAGCGAGUAGAAAAGUUUCAAAAAGUUGGCGUAUGACGUUUUUACCCCUAGUCAAUUAUUUAGGGUUUCUUGGUGACAAAUGGUACUGUACUUUUUAGAUUGAAAGAACCAUGGAACCUGUCUUACUAUCCCCACAAUCGAGGACAAGUUGGAGGUUUAUUUUUAUCCUCAAGUGGGUUAUUCCUUCAUCCCUUUAGCUUGUUUCAGGCCGCGAUAGGGAGCCAUUCUGUUUGAGGAUAGAACUAGUGAAGUUUAGCGAGAUAUGGUCCCUACAUGGUUUUUGGCGAUUAUAUUUCGAAGGGCAUAACCUAAAUGGUGCAACUCUAGCAGAAAUAGCAUUGUUUUGUUAUGUGACGAGUUUUGGUGCUUGGUCUUCAUCAUACAAUGCUUGGCCUUGGAAGAGUGGAGAUCCUUUAGCAAAGUUAAUGCUCGAAGAGGAGCGGUAACCUCCAUAUUUCGUUUGCCAAUAUGUGCAUAAACAUUUGAAUGCUAAACUUCCUGUCACUCAGCCCAAAGAAUGAGGGAAACACGUCACUAAAAGCCUUACGAAGACCCUUGAUACAUGUAUAUGUAGGCCUUUCUCUUGUUUGCAACAUUUCGUGCCUUCUAUUAUUCUGACAUCUUUCUUAUUAAUGCUUCCUAUGCCUUAGUGCUGAUGGAACCGUCUUCAUACCAAAUUAUGAGGCUUGUACAACUAUCAGCAAAGGCUAAGCGGUUGAAGCAAAUCAAUUAGAGGCUCUCUGAGGGAUCAAAAGCAAAGAGUUGCUAGUUGGAAGGAGGGAUAAUGCUAAUAGCUAUGCUUAUGUGAAGAAAGCUCACCUGGUUGAAAAUUAGGUUCCAUAUCUAGAGGUCGAGAUAAAAAAUUUGAAAGGCAAUCUCAUGAAGUUGCUAGAAAAAUUGAAAGUAUAGGAAUCUUAGAAGUAUGACUGAAGGUCUAAAUUUUUGAAUACUUAAAGUUAAAAUCUCACCAUACACAAAUAUAUAUAUAAAUAGAAAAAGAUAGAAUAGAAUUCGCAUCUAUUAUAUCAUGUCAAUGACAAUAUAAAAAUAGAACUGAGAUCUAGAUGGAAUAUAUUGGUCAUGGGUUGAGAACGGAAGUUAUAAUUACGAUAUAUGAAUUUUCAAUCUCAUAAAUGUGCAUACAUCAUGUGUGAAUUUUGUCUGAUUCUUUCUAAUCAUUUGUCAUAUAUUUUUACUUGCACUGAUAAUAUUGAAAUCACUUAUACAAUCCUUUUCUCCAAAUAUAGACAAUACUUUUUUUUUUUAACAAUCUGAGGUUUAGGCCUUUCUCAACUCAUGCUUCAAUAUAUUUGAAUUCACUUAUAUUAAUAACAAUACUCAUGCCAAUCCCUAAACCAUAAAUUCAAUCGGUUACACAAAACCUUUUCUUUAUCAGUAUUUAAGAAGAAUAAAAUUAUUCAGCAGUUUUCUUUUUGACUUUUCCUUGUAAUAAAACAAGAAAUAUAGAUUGUAUUGCAAAAACAACAAAAAGGGUUUGUAAUAACUCAAUUAUAUGGUCAAAUAUGAUGAUAAAUAGCGUACAUUAUUUAUGGCAGUCAUGUUCUUAGAGAACAACCUAAGCCAAAUCCAGUAACCAGCAAAAGAAAACACAUAAAAAUGAUAAAUUUCAGACAUGAAUCACCAUUCAUAGACCAGAGUCAACAUUAUUCCAUUUCUUGUUCUUGUUCUUGUUCUUAACAAAGCUGUCCACAAUCUGCAAUAACGACAGGCUUAGCAGUCCUUCCACUGCUAGACCCAACUUUUUCAAUGGCUUUAACCACAUCCAUACCUUCAACAACUUGACCAAACACCACAUGCAUCCCAUCGAGCCACUCGGUCUUAGCGGUACAAAUAAAGAACUGAGAUCCAUUCGUUCCGGGACCGGCGUUCGCCAUGGAUAGUAUGCCGGGUCCGGUGUGCUUCUUGAUGAAGUUCUCGUCGGCGAACUUAGACCCGUAUAUCGAUUCACCUCCGGUUCCGUUUCCGGCUGUGAAAUCACCUCCUUGGCACAUGAAAUCAGGGAUCACGCGGUGGAACUUAGAGCCUUUGUAGUGGAGUGGUUUACCGGAACGACCGACGCCUUUCUCGCCGUUACAGAGUGCCCGGAAGUUCUCGGCGGUACGAGGAGUGACGUCUGCGAAAAGCUCCAUCACGAUCCGGCCGGCCGGUUGACCUCCGAUCGUCAUGUCGAAGAAAACCUUGGGAUUUGAAGCCAUAGUUAAAAAAAAUUGAAAAUUGGCUUAUUUUUUGGAUUUUGUUUUGGUGGGUUAGUGUGAGAUUUAAGCUAAAGAGAGACUGGUUUAUAUAGAGAAGAUGAAUGAGGGUUGACCUGCAAACGGGUCGGGUUGAUUUUUUAAUGGAUCUAAUUCGGGUUGAAUUGUGGUCAUCCAUUUUCUUUUUAGUCCUUCAGUUUUACUUUAAUGUUCAAUUUGGUACUUAUGUAUUUUUUGGUACUUAACUAAGACAAGAAAAAUCAAUUUUAAGUACUUAAUUUGAAUAAACAAAAGCCAAAUUCAAGAAUCAAACUCAUCAGAAAAAUUUAGAUACCAAAUUAAACAUUAAAAUGAAACUCAUGUACCAAAUAAUAUAUUAACUCUUUUGUAGUCAAGCUAAAAAUUUAGGUAGGUUCUUUUUAUAGAAAAAAAUAGGUAAAUCAAUUGAGUCUUAACUCGAUUGGCAUGGUAUUAUUGUCAAUGUAGGAAAACGUAAGUUCGAGUGGGCUAACUUAUUUUUUUUUCAAAAAAAAAAACUAAAUAUAAUUAGAACCUAUUUAUGGGUUGGAGAGGGACUAUUGGUAGUUUUAAAUAUUAUGUCAAAAAGAACAUAUAUGAUCAAAAUCUAUAACGAGAUUAAUAAAAAAAUUGAGUAAAGUUUGAAAAUUAUUAUAUAACUUAAUUUUAUUGGAAAAUUAUUAUAUGAUAUUUAAAUUAUUUUUAAAUAUCAAUUAAAAAUAUAUCAUAAUUAUUUAAUUCAUAUAUAGAAUUAAAAUAUUUUCCUAUUGAUGUACCAAAUAAUUAGGUUAUACUAUUAUCUCUUUAAAAAUGACAAAUUUAAUUAACAUUAAAUAUAAGAUAAAUACCUUAAAAAACUCUCCUACGAAAUAAUUAUAUUUUAUAUUUAAAAAAUUAAAUGAUAAAAAUGUGGGUCAAAAUUGGAUUCGAUUCACAUUAAAUUUGAAAUAAAUUCCAUAUACGAAAAAUAAGAAUAAUUAUUUUUUAGAAAAAAAAAAAAGAAGUAUCAGAUGCGAUACGGCAGAGUUUUGUUGGACCAUUUUUCCACUAUAAAAUAAUUUUAAUAAUAAAGUAAGUUAUAAUUAUUGUUAAAAUGCAUAAAUAAAGUUACAUAAAUGUUGAUUAAGACCGAGAUGCCCCUUCUAUUCUAGCGUUAUACACACGCACGCUAAAUGCGGUCCAUUUUUUUUUUUUUUGAGAUUUUUUUUUUGUUUUUACUCCACGUUGAAUAUUAUAGAAAUUCGAGCCAAAUUUAAAUAAAAUUGAUCAUGACCCACGUGGAGUUAAGCUCAAUCAAAAUCUUAGGUUCAUUUGUUAGGUUUGUGUUCGGCUUAGGCCCGAAAAAUGGGCUUGAAAGAAUUUGCUUAAGUUCAAUCUAAAUAAAAAAUAUUAAUUUUUUAAAAAAAUAUAAUACAUCAAAAAUACUAAAAGUAUUAAAAUAUAUGUUUCUUAAUAAAUUGAUAAUAAAUUAAAAUAUAUAUACACUUAAAUAACACUAAUAUAGGUGCAACUUAACAAGUAAAUGCCUCUAAAAUCAGAGGUGAAGCUAGGGGGUUGACAGGGGCCCGACCCCCCUAAAAUGAAAAAAUAUUAUUUAGGCCCUUCAAAAAAUUUUAAAAUUUUUAAUUAAUAAAGGUAAAAUUACACUUUAGUUCCCCUAAAAUUAUAAAAAUUUAAUUUAAUCCUUUAAAAUUUAUAAAGAUAUAUUAUAGACUAUAAAAAACUAAAAUUUCAUUCGGCCCCCUAAAAAAUUGUUCUGCCUUCGCCUCUGUCUAAAAUAGUGACAAAAUUAACAAUAAACCAAUAAUUAUACAAUAUCCAAACAAUAACAACAAAAUAGUUACAACAUGAUAGGGAAACAAUAACAAAAUAGUAAGAAAAUAAUAGCAAAAUAGUAAAAAACAACAACAAGAAGAAAACAACAAAAACACAACAGUUUUUUUUUAUUUUUACAAAUUCGGGCUAGGUCUAGUCGAGUUCAAGCCAACAAAACAUUACUCGAGACUCAACCCAUUUUCUAAACAAUGCCUUAUUUUUUGUUGCCCAAGCCUAUUUUUUGAGCCUAUAUAUUUAUUCAAACCCUCCCACUUUUUGAGUCGGGCCACAAGUCUAGGACCAAGCUAUUUUGUUUAAUUUUUUUUCUCUAGUAUAAUGAUUUAUUUUACCUUUUAAUUUAAUUUUAGUCCUUUAUUUUAUUUUUUACUUUUUAAUUUUUUUAGCCUUUAAACUUGUAUUAUUUGUUAAAUCACCCAAAAUAGAUGAAAAAUUAACAUCAAUUAAAAUUUUAAGUUUUAAAUAUUUCAAAAAAAAAAUUAGUAAAAUUAUUAAAAAUAUAUAAAACAUCUUUAUUUAAAAAAACUAAUUGCUAACAUGGCAAUCCACGUGUUUGCCACAUUAGCAAAGUUAACAAACGUUAACUUUUCCAUACAUUUUGGGGUGAUUUGACAAAUAAUAAAAAAUGAAGUGCUAAAAUGAUUUUUUUUGUAAAGUUAAAGGGUCAAAUAAGUUAUUAUGUCUUUUUAAAAAAAAUUAAAUAGAGUAAACAACCUUACUUGUUAACUCAAUCCUUAAGGCACUUUCAUUUGGAUCAUAUAAAAAAAAAUUCUUUCAGUUUCAUAACGGUUGUUAGAGAAAAUUUUUAUUUUAGUCACUCAACCAUUAACUUUAUUACAACUUCCGACUUAACCCUUAAUAAUUGAGUGAAUAAAAUAAAAUAAAAAUUCUAAAGGGGAUGACGAAAUCGAAAGGAUUUAUUUAUGAGUGGCUAAAAUGAAAGUGCCUAAUAUAUCUUAAAAUUAUUUUUAACACAUAAUAUUAAUACAUUUUAUUGGAUUAUAGUAGUUUUUUUUUUUUGAAUAAUCUCAUUAUAGGUUCUGAUAAUAUCUGUUCUUUUAGACAUAAUACCAAGAACUACUCAUACUCCUUCCCCAACCCAUAAAUAGGAGGAUAAUGAGCUUGGCUACACUCGAAUUCACUUUCUCUUACAUUGACAAUAAUGCCCAUAUCAAUCGAAUUAAGUCUCAAUCGGUAUUUAUAUUGGCCCUAACAUAAUAUUAUUAUUGCAAUAAAAAUGACAGUUUUAUAAUCAGCAAGUAAAGAGAAAGAUUCAACAAACACGUCCAACUUAAUUAAUUUAAACAUUUACUUAAUUUAUCUCCCCUACGAAGAUAGACCUUUUUUAUUGCAUGCAAUGCUUCAUUAAAUAUUGCAUAUAACACUUCAUUUUACAGUACACCCUACGUACUUCAAGGAUGAUGUGGAGCAAACGGCGGCAACGGCGGCCAUUUUCCGAACUUGGGGUGGUGGAAAUACUUGGGAGGAAGCUUGGGAAGCGGAGGGCACGGCUUCUUCGUAAAUGGAGGAAUCUUCGGAAGAGGAGGAAGUGGCUUGUGAGGAAUAGGAGGGAAGGGUUUCGGUUUGUAAAUAGGAACCGGCGGUGGAAGCGGCUUCUUAUAAACCGGUACCGGAUGAGGCUUAUAAACCGGUGGUUUGUAGACAGGAACCGGCGGUGGAAGCGGCUUCUUGUAGACCGGCACCGGAUGAGGCUUAUAAACCGGUGGUUUGUAGACAGGAACCGGCGGAGGGAGUGGUUUCUUGUAGACCGGCACCGGGUGAGGCUUAUAAACCGGUGGUGGAAGAGGUUUCUUGUAGAUGGGAGGGUGAGGGUAAUGAUGGUGGAAGCUUUUCAAUGGCGGAAGUGGUGGAAGCUUAGGCAAUGGAGGGAAGUUGUGGUGGUGGUGAGGCCAAAAGGAGGCUGAGACACAUGUUAUUGGUGAGAAUUUGAGGUUCUCUUUUAACCCAAACUGGUGUUUCUGGUCGGUGGUGGAUUUGAAAACUAGCUUAGAGGAUUCUAAGCCAUUAAUGGAAGGGCAAGGUUGAGGUGAUGAUACAGUGCGAAGCUGUGCGUAGCAAUGUUCAUUCAAUUUGCCAUCUUUGAACAAGUGUUGUGGAAGAGAGACUUUGAAAUUGCCUUGUUUGUCAAGCUUUCCAGACCCUCUGGUUUUGAAAUGGUCACCAUUUUCUGGCUUGCAAUCUAUGGUUACACGAAGACCUAGAAAGAGAAAACGCCAUUAUCAUAACAUCAUAAAUAUUGCUUCAAAUUAAAGAAAGGGAGAAUACACCAUUAACAUAACAUCAUAAAGUUUAAUUCUCUAAUGUUAACAAAAUGUUAGUGUGAUGGUUCACUGGUAGAUUUAUACACUAAUAAUGAAUCAAAUAAAAACCUCUUUUUACUAUUUUUUAGAGCUUUUGCCUUACUCGUGACUAAAAUUUUUAAAUUUUUGGGGAGAAGUGUAUCUUUAUUUAAGCAGCUUUUUGUUUUAUGUAUAAGGUGUAAUGCAGAUUUAUCCCUAUCAUGAGUGCUUGAGUAUCAACUCUUUAAUUGACCAUCGUCAAUACAAAAGUAUGUACAUAUAAUUGAGUUUGAACUUGGAUAUGUAUGUAUAUCAAUCUUAGUGUAAUAAUAUGUGUGUUGAGGAGAGGUCGCGCUUUGGGCCAAUCUUGGACCCUCAAUGAAGGUAUUGUUCUCUGGAUUUCUAUACUCGGUUUUAACUUUGAGUUUUUGUCUCAUAACUUUGAAGGGAGUCCAAAAGGGUUCGCGAAAUUUGAUGGAGCGCCUACUCCACCAAAGAAAUGUUUAACAUUUGGCCUUAAUGGGUUUUGAACUCAUGCCCUUAUAUGGCAUUAGUGGGUAAGAACUAGAUCUGUUCAUGGGUCGGGUUAUCCGCUUAAGCCUAAAGGCCCAUCAGAAAUUUGAAAGGGUUUGAGUAAAAAAUUAGGCCUGAAAAAUAGAUUUGGACAAAAAAAUAGGCCAAUUUAUAAUAUGGGUCGGGCUCGAGGCUUGAACAUUCAAGGCCUGAGCCUGACCCGACCCAUUUUUAAGUUUAUAAUAUUUUAUAUUAUGUUAUUUUUAUAUAUUAUAUAAUUUAGAACACAUUAAAAAAAAUAAACCUAUACUAAAUAUAUAAUACUACUCUAAUGUAAAUAUUAAAAUAAAGUUCAGAUGACUAUAUAAAAAUUUUCAAUAAAUUAAAAAAAGUAUAAAAUUAUUAAAUAUUAAAAUAAUAUAAUAUAAAUAUUUUUAAAAAAUUUAAAAAAUAAUAUGGGUGGACCUAAAAUAGGCUUGGGUUAGUCUUUUGCAAAUAUGGGCUUGUUUGAGUAAAAUUUUAAGCCUAUAUUCCGGGUCGGACCAGGCUUGGACAAGCAUAAAGUAUGUUAAUAUCAUGCCUAAGCCCGACUCGAACCUAUGAACACCUCUAGUAAGAACAUUACCGUGAACUUUCUUAGGCUCUCCUUAAAAUACAAGUGACAAAACUCAGAUAAUCAAACAUCAACACCCACAAACAAUACUUCUGAGGAUCCGGAACCGACCCAAACAACUAACUCCCCCCAGCAAUAUAGGCCACUACAACAUGCAAGGAAUGGCCUCGAAAUUAAUUGAGCAGCUUAGAUGAAAACAAUACCUGAAAAUGCUUGGGUGGUGUCCAAGUUAUUCUCUUUGCAAUCUGUGCAUUCACCAACCCCGACCACUUCAACUGUUUUACCAUCACCGUUAGCAUUGCAAAAUGUGGUCACAAAUAAUAAUGACCAUACUGUGAACGCCACAAGUGCUCUUCCUCGAAACUCGAGGUUCUCCAUUGUUAUUGCUUCUGAGGUAGUGAUAUGAUAUCAGAGAUUGGAUACCAAAGCCUUAUUAUAUAAUGGUGUUCAAAAGGGAUCAUGGGAUCACCAUUUUCAAUGGCUUACCGACACCACACUUAAAUGCCUCACAUAAGGUUAGGGAACGGGACCCUCACCACCUCUUUGAGAUGACUUUGGUGUAGACACGUAGUUUAAACUUUGGUUUGAUAUGAUCAUCAUAAAAAAAAUUAAUAAUUUAAAUUUGAAAUGAUUUUGUUGAGUAUUUUUAUUGUGUAUUUUCUUAAUGGGUGAAACAGAUAUUUAUUUGAUAUGGUUACUGUUCAUGGAAUUGACGUUCUAGGUAAGCUCCAUGCAUAUCGACACGUAUUCUACUCUAGACUUAACACGUGUUUGUUGGUCCAGGUGCUCGCCAGUUCAUUCAUUUAGCUUUGUACCCUGUGCGAACUGUGCUCGCAAGCCCUCCCCGUGAGCCCCUUAACGACUCCACCUGGUGGGGUCCAAACUCGGGUCGUAGGUCGGUAGCUCGGGUUAUAUUCGAGUUUCAGGUUGGCAAUUGGAUAUCCCACAAUAGAUCUAAUUCGAAAAUUGAGCUUCAAAUUUAAAUGAUUUGAACCUAAAACAACCCGAAAUUGAAAUGGCUCGAACUUAAAACAAGUUAAACUCAAAAUGAUUCAAACCCAGAAUUAAUUUGAAAAAUCGAGAUAACUCAAUCUAGACUGAUUGGUCUAAAACUGAUCCAACCCACUCAAUUUAUAAGUGAAUUCGGUGUAAUGGUUUGAAAAAGAUUGUGAUGUUACCUGAAUGACCCGAACCCAAAAUAACUGGAAAUUAAAAUGGCUCGAACUUAAAAUUGUUCGAAUCUAAAAUUGAUUCAAACCCAAAAUUAACAUGAACUGAAAUAAUUUUAAAAUUUUAAAAUUCGAAUUAACCCGAUCUGAAUUUGCUUUGAUCUAAAACUAAUUCAACCCACUUAAAUUACAAGUGAAUUUAGUGUAAUAGUUUGAAACCAAAACAACUUUAAAUUAAAAUGAUUUGGACCUAAAAUAAUUCGAAUUCAAAGUAAUUUAAACUCAAAAUUAAUCUGAAAAUUGAUACGAUUUAAAUUAAUUUGAUCCAAAACUAACCCGACCCACCUAAUUGACAGAGUGUUUAGUGUAAUGGUUUGAAAAAGAUAGUAAUGUGCCACAACCCCACAACCCCACAACCAUUUGUUGAAUUAAGCUAAUGAUAGUAUCUUUCAUUGAAUGAGCCCUCAACUGCACAACGAACAGCUAAAUUAUGCUUUGUGUUUUCUCAUCUGCAUUUUAAAACCUACUUACUAACUUUCAUAAAUAAUUUUUUCUAUAUUUACACAAUUCUUUGCUGAAUUACAAAAAUGGUCCUUCAAUAUUCAACUUAAUUUGAAUUAUUUAAAUUGUGCAACAUAUGAAUUUCGAAUAAAUCAACCACACAAAUGCCAACCAAUUUAAUUAUUACUCAAAAAAACCACUUGCUUUCUAAGUUGUUCUUAGUCAUCACUAUCAUAAUUAAGCUCAUUUUGUGAGACAACCCUUUGACUAUUUUUCAUCUAAUAAAUAUGGGGUUCAUCCAUGUGGCCAUGAAUUUGCAAGUCCCCCCCCCCUCCCCGCCUUUGAUCCAAACUUGGGCCAAACCCUAAUCCUUGAAUUUUACUUUUAUUAUUGAAAGCACAUGGUGGAGGUGGACCCUUUCUUUGACCAUCAAAGAUAAUCUAGUAACUUUGCCAAAAGAGGUCUCUAGAAAUGAAACCAUUUGUUGUAGAUUGAAGGUAGAUAGGGUAACCUCAGAUAAUAUUAUAAUUCACCCUAAUGGAUUAAAGAAAAUCGUUCUUCUUGAAUUUGAUUUUCAAAGCAUACUCCGAAGUUUAAGUGAGAGUCGGAGAGAGAUAAGAAACAAACUAACUAGUGCCGGUACGUUUAAUAUCGUCUUAUUUUUUUGUGAACCGUCUCAUUUUACUCUAAAACAUAAUGUCAACUAAUAAGGAUGUGACACGUAGCACGUUUACAUUGGACGUCAUACACUUUUAGGGUAAAAUGAAAAGAAAUUGAUAGUUUAGAUAUCACUUUUGAUUAAAAAAAAUUAGGUACUUAACUGAGGAAAACGAUAUAAAUUGAGAGUCAAUUUUGUAAUUAAGCAAAAAGAAAAACAUCUUUCACAUAAAUUAAUGGCAAUGCUGGAUUUAGUUACACUUCUUUUUCACAAAUCGGUUUUCAAGUGAUGUGAUUACCAUGUGAUUAAAAGGAAAAACAAAAUCAAUCAUGGAUUUAAAUGUUGAAAAUGUAGUUAUAGGUCACAUACAAAAAUGUAGGGUCAAACAUUACUUAAAUAUUUUUCAAUUAAGGACAACAUUAUGCACCUUAAUAUUUGGUGAGAUGGAGUUUCCCUAUCAAGCUUGCUAAUUAGUAGGGUAAAGGUGUAUUCAUGUAAUCUUAUAUUUUAACAAAAGUUGUGAAUAUAGACCAAUAAAUCUAUUUAUAAAUUGAGUUGGGUCAAAUUUCGUAAUAAAAUCUUGAUGAAAGUUAUUACUUAUAGGUUUUCAUACCAAGGGCACAAUCAAAUUAAGCUCGUAGGGUCUACCAAUUUCGUUAUUAAGAUCUCAUUAAGAUACCUUUCUCCCUCCUUUCCCCUCCUUUCAUUUGUUUACUUUCUUUUGUUUAUUUAUUGGCUUUGUUUUGAUGUGAAACUGUUGAAUUUAGUAGAUAUAGAUACAGAUUCUUAUAUCGAAGGGUCUUUACCUAUUUUGUUUUGUUUGUUUAUCAUCUUUCGUCCCUAUCAGAGACCCAUAUUUAUUUUUAUUUGGUCCAAUCAGAAAACAUUUUAUCAUUUCUGUAUUCGCAAUUCAAUAUAGAUAGAUAUUCCAUAACAUAUCUAUGUCCCUCUUACUCUCAAUUUUCUCAGGCAAUUUGGUGGAAUACUCGAACGGUCGAUUUUUUUUUUCGUCUUAGCUUCUGUCUUUAUGAUCUGGAUUUCAUUUCUAUGGGUUGCAAUUUUUUUUCUUUAAUGUCAUUUUUAUUCUUAUAUAUAACCAUAACAGGAAUAGGAUAACUAAAAAAAAAUAAAAAUAAAAAUUGAAUUUAUUAUUAUUUCUUUAUUUCUUUAUAGUAUAAUAGCUAGAACUAAUUAUUUAUAUUUAAUAAAUACAACUAAUUAUCCAUUCAUUUCUAUUUCAAAUUCGAAAAUAAUUCAAAUUUUUUAGUUUAAAAAGAGUUCCCAUUCUAAUUAUCUAUACUUAUAACGUAUCAUUUCAUUUAUAUAAUGAUAAUAUAUAUAAAUACAUAAAAAUAUUUGGACUCUAAUUAUAUCUAUGCAGAACUCUAAGCUAAAUAAAAAUAAAUUUAAUCUAUAUUAAAUCUAUUAAAUUGAUCGAUUAAAUAAAUUCUAUAUAAUUUAGAAAAUAAGAAUAGAGUCAGUAAUAUUAGGAAUAAUUAAUAUAGAAUAUACUAAUAGAACCAAGAUAUCAUUUGUUUCUAAAUUUAAAUGGAAUUUGAGAUUUAAUAUUUGUAAUUAAAAUUUAAAAAAAAUUAAAUCAUCCCAUUUUUUACUAAAAAUAUUUGUAAUUCAAUAAUUGACGUGGACAAUAUUUUCUAUUUAAAUUUUAAAUUCAAAAAAUAUAUACUUGAUAGUAAAUAUUAAUAAUGUGAAUGAUUGAAGUGAGACUAGCCACAUAUUUUAAAAUUUAAGUUGAUAUUAAUAUUUAUACAUUUUAAAUAAUUAAUAAUAAUUGGACGGAGGAAGUCUAGUGACUAGUCUUUUGAGUUUUGACUUAUAGAUCUGCCCCUUAAGGGGGUUUUUAAUGUAUGACUAAUAUAAUGCCGAAAAGUUAGGUGAUAAGAAAAAAGAAUUUCUUUUAGCCCAACUUAUUGUCUAAUUCAAUACAAAUAAAUCAAUAUAUUUCAGAUAAAAAUAUUAAUAUAUUUGGAACUUAGAUAAGGCUUAGUGACAUGGAUAAAGCUAGAAAAUUGUUUCAAGAGGAAUUAGAGAUGAAUAGUAAAUUAUUAAAGGGUUAAGAUGUAAUUUUAUCAUUAUAAUAAUAUGUAAUUUUUAUAAAAAAAAAAAUUUGAAGGGAUUAAAUGACAAAGGCCUCUUCGUCCUGCUGGAACUUAAAUUCAGAUUAAUCUAAAAGAGAAUCUAGGCCAGACAUUUGUAUCAGAUGAUAUUCGAAUCUAAACCACCGACUUCAACCUGACCAACUAUGACACAUUAUUCGUACGUCUAUAAAUUGGAAUGGUAAUAAAGUUGAAAAUUAUGUGUUGUGAUUGGACCUAUCUUUGGGGUUGCUUUUUUUGCCUACGUGAGGGAAUCCUUAAUAGAGAAAGCUUCGGGCAGUAUUCGGGUAUAAGGUGGGGAUUGUUUUGGUACUUUUGCUUCGUAGGGUUCACGGUGGAUUUCAGAACAUGAUUUAAUUUGCCUGAUUUGAAUGAUUUUUCUAAAAUAAAAUAAUGACUUUUUGCUGUUUCGGUAUAAGUAUUUUUCUUUUUUUCUUUUUUCUUUUUCUUUUUUUUUUUUUGAGUUGAUUUAGAAUUAGAUGAAAUUGAUUUUGAAUUUAAAUCCAUUUCUAAUUUAAAUUUAAAAAGGUUCAAACUGUUUCGAAUUCAAUUUAAGACUUGCUUUUUCGGAUCAAUUCAAAUCCAUUUGAGUUCAAGUUCAAUAGGUUCUAAUUUGUUGAUUUUUUUUUAUCACUAAAUUGAUUGUGAAAUUUAGGUUCAAAUUCCAAAUUCGAUAAUUGAUCACUAGAAAUGUAAGUUAAAAAAUCAACAUGUUUAAACCUGAAAUCGAUUACAAAAGGAACAUAACAAGGGAAUUUAAUGUAUACUUCCCAAUAGCAGUGAAAACGUGACAGCGGCUGUGACCAAGGUUUCUAACACACCACCACCACACUGAUAAUACUUAAGUUUAACCCAGAAACCAAAAAUCCGAAAUCCGAUGAACAAAGAAACCGAGAAAAAAAAAAGAAGUAAAAUUAGUCCUGCCUCGUAUCACAGUUAGUUUCGCUUCUACAAGCCUCGAUUUAAGCAUCCUCAAGAAAAGAUGUAGUGAAAACCGAAAAAGUUCAAAUGCUACAACAGCAAAGGUAUAUAUGUCUAUUUUCCUGGCCUAAUUCUCAGAACUACCUGCGCCCUCACUUACAAUUUUUCCAAAUGCCUUGGCAAGAGUUACAAUAGCCCGAAUUUAGCGAUCACUUUUCUCAUCUACUUCUUCUUCUUUGAUUUGGAAGCCGACUGAGUGUAAGCAGUUCCCUGAAAAUUAUGACGACCAAAACCAGAAAUUGUCAGUAACACUCCUAUAUAGAUCAUUAUUUGAUGAAGUCCCAUGGUGAACUCAUGAAUAACCUCAAUCAUAUCCAUUGAAUAAACAGAUAACGAGCUCUUGGGGACAAGAGCAGUGAAAAGAAAAUCUAGCUAAAAUAGAAAGAAUGGGAAGUGAUGAUGAUGAUGAUGUGAUGCAUAAGCCAAGACAUAACCUGAAGCCAUUCAUCCAGUGAAGCAUCGGGAGCCCUGGUCCCAACUUCCACCUUUGGAGCCCUCUUAGUUUUCUAGCAAAAUAAAUAAGUCAAAACACAUUAGCUUUAUUCCACAAAAAGAAGCAUAAAACACAUAAAGUAACACUGCAAAUUGAAGCUUUCUUCAAUUUAAGAACAAAAUAUCACGGAUAUUUAACAUUUUCACAGCAAAACAGCUUGCUGAAAACUUGAAAUAGGUCAUGAAUGCUAGAAACCUAGAACAAUGUUGAUUUCCCUACAUGUAUGCAUGGAUGUGCUCUUUUAAUUUCUAUCAGCAAAAGCCUUGUUACAUCGAUCUUAUAAUAACUGGAUACUGCAGUGAAUUAAUAUAACAAUAGCAAGGUAGCACAACUACAAUACCUUGGUGAUACGCUGAAAUUGACCGUGAAGCCACAAACCAAGGAGAACAAGAAGUGCAAUCCCAAGGGUAACAAGGAAAACGGACUCAACACUGAGGAAACCACCAGCCUCAACAACUUCAAUGGUACCAUUAUAGAAUGUACUUUGGUAUGGUUGCUGAUCAAUAUCAUAGAUAAUCGAACCCACAAGAUCAAAAGUUCCAGGCUGCAGCAAAAUUCUGGAUGUGUAAGCUCUACCGCAACUGUACUUCUCACAGAGAAUUUAUAUACGGUACCAAGGCAUAAAUCUCACGGAGUAAUCAUUUACCUGUAAGUACUUGCUAACAGCAAAUACGUAAGGGAAAGUAGCUUGAACUGAAGGGGGUACAGUUGCAUUGUUGAAAGCCUACAUUAACACAGACAUAUUCAGUUCUAGAAUCUACAAGGAAACAUCACAAGGCAGCUUUCAUGCAACAACAUAAGCUGUAAAACUCCAAAAUUACAAGGAGCAUGACCAACUUUGUACCAACAGAGAGCCUUGAGAUCUUUUUCAAAUAAAGAAGCAAAGAUUUGAUAAUGAAGUAGGCAAAAAAAAAAAAAAAAAACAGCGCAGCAUUAUUAUUGCAAAACGACCAGUUAGAGCAUGAAUGCCUUACAUGCUCAAUUUCAUAUCUGAAAAUCAUUGUAAGGUCUACAAUUAAAAGUUAAAGAUACAGCAAAAUCUACACUAGUACCAAACCCUCUGCUAAAGUUUCUUAAACUGAGAUAUAUAACUUCUCAGUGCAAGUUCAACAUCCCUCCACCAUAUUAACAAGCACUGGUUAAAAUAAUUGACUCUACUAUAAGACUAUAACUGUUAUAGCCUAUUAGUGUAGGGAAGCAGUUACAAAUGAAACACAAACUAGUGUCGCAAUGCAUAAAACUCAUAUUAUUGACCAUAUGUUUGACAAUGGAUAUUUAAAACAUCCAAUAAGAUAUCAUAUCAACAUGAGAGCAUGCAUGUUUCAAUGCUCAUGGGGUUAAGCUGGCUUGUCAAGCCUCAAGUAAUGAAGGCUUAAAUAGAGAAUAACUCUUUAGUUAUUAUUAGGUAUCCUAUAGGCAAUGAUCUAGUAGUAUGAAGAUUGGGGCACCUAAUAACUGAAAUUAAAACCCUUUCUGUGCUAGCUUUGCUAGGUUAGAAAGAGAUAAUGUUUCUACUUGGUGGCAAACAACCACUGAAUUGUACUGGUCGCUGGCUUUGUACUGAUGACGGUAUUAUUAAUAAAUGACCAUACAACCGCACUCUUUUUCCACUCUUCAUUUAGAAUAGUGGUUUUUUAGUGGGGCACAUUUUUCAUUAAAAAAUCAAUGAAUGCUAAAUUGUAUUUUAUAAAACAAACUCACUGAAUGAUUAAUUUUAUUUAUCAAAACUAAAGGGCUAGAUACUAAAUUAUAAAAAGCUCUUCAGUUAGGAAAUAAUAGAAAUUAAUCAAAAUGAAAACUGAACUAACUAAUGUAUCAGGAGUAUUUGAAAAUGUUAAACCAGAACAAUAUCAAGAAACUCUAUGAUUACCACUGCUGUAAGAUUUUGAACAAGCAUACGGUGAUCAAAAGGGAGAUGAACACUGGCUUUGAUAGCAAUGACAUUCACAGGUGACUCCCCUGCAAUUUAAAGAAGUAAGCUAUGCAUAAGAGUGAAGGAAACCUCAAAUGGCUAACAGAAAAGACUAAGCAUUUAAGCAUAGUCAACUACGGAAAGAUAAACUGUGUGUUGCUAUCUCAACACAGUAAAAACAAACAUCAUUGUAAAAUAUAUAUCAGUAAGGUAGUGAAGGCAAAUUAUUACCAAUAUUUUCCAUCCCAACAAGGAGCUCAGUCUGUUCUCCAGCCAGAACCACUGUCCAAGAUUAGCCAAAAAGACAAUACACAUCACUCUCAAAAUCAUAAAACAUUGAAAUCAGAGAUGCGGCACCAAAAAGUUCUUACAUUUGGCGCUAUUUUUGGGGAAAACGCAAACAGUUUUAACUUCAGGAGCUGAACUGUAAUUAGGAUCACCAAAAUCCUGAACAUCCUCCCCAACAAUACCGAGAUCACCUCCUUCAACAGCUUCUGCAACAUCUGCCUCUGCUUCUGAUUGACACCUAGCAACUAUCACAGAAAAGAAAACUCAUGUGAAGCCAUAAUUUUAAAACAAAAUGAAAAUUUAUUUAGUAAUUUACCAAAAAAAAUAAAAAAGUAAACAAAAAUUAAUACAACAAACAGAUCCGACAUCCGGAAUAACUGCUUCAAUAAUGUUAUUGAAAAGGACACCAAACUCCAAAGUACUUGCCAAGGCCCUAGUACUCUUUCCUUUCAUUUUCCAAGAGCAAACCUAAACUGUAUUUCUAAAACAGCCACUAAAAUGCCAGUAAGAACAGAUAUCAAGAAGAUACCUAAGCUUCUUUCAAAAAAAUUCAAUCGAACUUUCAUAAUCACAGCCAUGCAACGCAACAAUGAAUUUAAACACAAAGAAAUCACUUCAAAAUCCCACUACCAAAUCAUAAAUCUAGAAAGAAAAAAAAAAACAAACCAAUCUCACAUGGAUGUUAAAAAAAAGCGAAAGAAAUGAUACUAAAGGAAAACAAAUCGAAUUGCUUCUCAUUUAACCAGAUCAAAGCAAUCGCAGUAAGCAACUAAGCAUGAAAUCCAAAAAGCAACAUAGAAACUCCACAAAAUGAAACGAAUCGGUAAGCAUAAAUACCUAAUUACAGAUCUUAAAUAUAAAAAAGCAAGUAAAAACAGAUCAAGAAAAAAAAAUUUACAAACCUUGAAGGAAAGGAGAUGCGAGGAAGAGGAGAGCAAAGAAGAAAACGCUGAAAAUUUUCAUCGCCAUUUCAGAGAGUUUUUUUUUUUUUUCCGUCAAAUGAGAAAUAAGAAAAAUAAAUUAAUCGGUGUUAGAAAUGACAAAUAGAUGGAGAAGGGACGGCGGGUUUUAAUCCAACGGCUAUAAAUGACAGAGAGCUCGGCCGAACGAACAUUCUCCGUUGGAUCUUUGGUCAAUUGUGUGCUUUUAAAUAAUAUACAACUACUUCUCCACUACCCUUUUGUUCAUUUGCGCUUGCAGAAAAAUCAAAUAUAGCACGGCGCCGUUUUGGUCCUGACUUAUAUUUUCUUUUAUAAUUUAUUUUAUUUUUAUUAUCGAUAAAAUUGAAAUUAAAAUAUCUUGAUAUUUUAGGUUGAAAUCUCAUAAUUUAUGAAUUUAUUUUACGUUUCAAUUAUUUUUAUAAAUUUUAAAUGAAAUAUAAAAUGAAUUUUUAAAUCAUUUUUUAACUAAGUUGAUGUUAAGUUAAUUGCAUUUUAAAUUAGUAAAAAUUAUUAUUACUAAAUCAUUGCGGGUAAAAGAAUUUGUUUAGCAAAUGUAUUUAUAAAAAUUUUAUAUUAAAUGCAAAAGAAGGUUUAGUUAAAAUGGUAAUAGAUUUGAUUAUGGAUUGAAUUGGAUUCGGAUCAGAUCGAUGUAAAAUUUUAGACUCGAGUUCAGAUUGAUUCAAAAAAUGGGUCUAAAUUUUUUUUUCAAAUCCAGUCUAGAUAAAAAAUACUAAACUCGAGUUCGAUUCGACCCACCCGUAUUAAAAAUUUUAUAUUAUUUUUAUAUAAAAAUAAAUUUUAAAAAAUAAUACAUCAAUACUUUAAAAUUAUUAAAAUAAAUGUUUUCCAACAAAUGUAUUAUAGUUGUAACUUAACAAACAAAUAUAUCUAAAGUAGUAGCAAAUUUAAUACUAAAACAAGAGUUAUACAAUAUCCAAAUAAUAACAAUAAAAUAGUACCAAUAUAAUAGCAAAAUAGCAACAAAACAAGCAGUAGAAAAAAUUUAGCUAGAUUUAGAUCGACUCGGGCAAAAAAAAUCAUACUCGAGGCUCGACCAAUUUAGAAGAUGGGCCUUAUUUUUUGUCCAAGCUUAUUUUUCGAGCCUAUAUUUUUCUUAAACCCUCUCACUUUUUGAAUGGACCUUCAAGCGUAGACAGGUGACCUGGCUCAUGAUCAGAUCUAAAUGGUAACGUUUGGGUGCAUAUGAUCAUCUUGACAAACUUUGUCUAGGAUUUAUCCAAAGAUCUACUUCUGACACGAGGAGAGUGAAACUUGUAAAUUGGGAUACUAUUUGCUUGCCGUUGGAUUGAAAGCAAUGCUUGACAAGAAUUUGGUGUUGCUUGUGAAACUUGGAUGGAGGUUAGUUACAAAAGUUGAAAGUUUAGUGGCGCUAGUUUAUAAGAUCUAGUUUAGAAAUGCUUCUCAAAAAUACUUUUGAGACAAAAGCAUUCCCAACAAGGUAUUUUUUUAGAGAAAAAUACCUUCUCCCAAAUAAAAAAUUGGCCAAAAAUUGCUUAUGCAAUUGCUCUACAACACUAUACUCACUGUGUUUUAGAAAUUUCAAGCAUUCAGUGGCUUCUUUUUCCUUUAUUGGCUCAUUAACCAAUGGCCUAGAUUCAACUAUCUUCUCUUCUUUUUGCUCUGCCUCUAAAACCUUCCCUUUCACCGAUUCUGCUUAAGCUUUUAUCAAAUCGCAGUGCUCCUCACUAUACGUAUAAGGACCCGUCUCUCGGCUUUCUUUUACAAUACUAACCAAAGCUUCUUUCCCCGAGACUGUUACAUUGCACUCAUAAUUCCAAGGGACCUUUUUACUAUCCUUAUACAAAAAAUUUAUUGGCUUCCGGAUUACAAUCUUCAGUGUCAUAUGUGCCCUAACCUUAUCAACCUUAGGGCGCGAGAUAAUAAUUACAGGAUGAUUAACCUUCGGAAUCUUUGAUGUUGACUUUGAUGCACAUAUACUUCAUUUUUUCUCCACCUCUUCGAAAAACUCCACCUCUCUAUUAUCCAUCAUGCUCUGGACCAGAGCUUUGAAUUCUCCACAUCUCUGAAUUUCGUGUCCCACCUCAUGAUGGAACUCACAAUAAUUUAAGGUCUCACAACCUCCUUCUGAACUCGAAACAAUUAACCCUCUUCUCACUAUUUCUUUUCAAACCCACAUCAAAGGGAUUUUUACUUCAGCAACACUCCCAUUGACCAUUUUCCCUUCAUUUUCACUCAUCAUGUUUACCCCACUAUCAGUGUGCUUGGGUAACGGAUUCCCUGUGCCAAAUGAAUCAUCUACCUUGACAACGCCCAUCGUAAUGAGCCUUUCAACAAGCUUUUUAAAAGCAGUACAAUGUUCUAUGGAAUGCCCCGUAACUCCUGCAUGGUAAUCGCAUUGUGCAUUCGCAUCAUACCAUUCAGGAUACGAAAGCUGUAAAGGGGUCAAGUAAAAUGGGGCAACAACAUGCGCGUUGAAUAAAUUCUGAUACAACUCCUUAUAUGACAUAGGAAUGGGUGUGAACUGGGGCCUCUCAGUACUCGGCCUCCCACCAGAUUCCUGUUUUGAUGAACCCUGCUGAUUUGCCACUACUUUUCUGCGUUGAUUCACAGUAACCGAUUUGUUGUAUGCACUUACAUUGUUCACCUCACCUUCUUUUUUAUUUGAAGCUUGUCUUUUGUUGUUCUCUCCGACAUCAAUCUUUCCGCUCCUUAUAGCACUUUCAAUCAUCUCACUACACAUGACUAUAUCAGAAAAGCUUUUUGUAGCACUUCCUAACAUAUGCGUGAUGAAUGGGGCUUUCAGCGCAUUUAUGAAAAGCAUCGUCAUUUCUCUUUCAAGGAGCAGUGGUUGGACCUGCACUGCCACCUCCCUCCACCUCUGAGCGUACUGUCUAAAACCUUCAUUCAACUUUUUCUCCAUGUUCUGCAAUGUAAUCCUAUCAGGAACCAUUUCCGCCAUAUGACCGUACUGCUUUAUAAAAGCCUGUGCUAAAUCCCUCAAAGAGCUAAUCUUAGCACGACUUAAUUGAUUAUACCAUUUAAACGCUGCCCCCAUGAGGCUAUCUUGAAAACAGUGUAUCAAUAACUGUUCACUAUUGACAUACCCGGUCAUUCGUCCACAAAACAUGGUAAUGUGAGCCUCAGGGCAAGUGGUCCCAUUAUACUUCUCGAAUUCUGGUAUUUUAAACUUGUAAGGGAGCACCAAAACCGGUACCAAACUUAAAUCCUUAGCAUCAAUCCCAUGACAUAUCUCAGUAGUUUCUAAUGCUUUGAAUCUCUUUUCGAUCCACUUCUAUUUUUCCUCUAAUUGCUUUAGUAGUUCUUCUUUUGUUUUUUCUUUUUCAACCGCCUCAUCAAAAUCAAGAACAACAGGAGUGACAAGAUUAUUCUCAGGGCUAGAGCCUGAUCUAGCUUGGUAAUUCAUUGACCUUGAAAUAUCGGCCUGAAACUGUUGAGGCCUAAUCGUAACAGAAGAUUUACGCGGGUACAUUUUCACUUGGGGCUGCACAUGUAGGGGAAUGAAGCUUGGAGGAUACAGGGGUCCGUCAUCACCUUCUUCUUCGACGUUAACUAUAGGGCUCUUUCCUUUAUCUUUUCCUUCAGUCAACAAUUGCGUUAACUUGGUCAUCAUGCUCCCUUGAGAUUCCAUCAUUUUAUCCAUCAUUUUCUGCUGAAUCUUCUCGAUCUGCAUCUGCUGCUGAAGCUGAUCCUGCAUUUCUUUUUGGAACUGCUCGAGUUUUUCCAAUCUUUAGUCCUUAGUUUUUGAUUUCGCUCUUGUACCGUAACGGUGUUGGAUUGGCUAGUUGGUUUCCAGGUUAACUGAGGCAUGAUUUUGAUUAAUCAGAACCUUUUAAUAGUUUUUAAUGCACAUCAUGCGAUGUAUAAAACUGAAUGCAAAACGCGUUAAUUAUAAAUUCAAUUACUUUCAAGAAACUUUAUUAGAAAAUAAAUCUCUUUACAUAGAAUGGGCGACAAAUAAGGCUUUGCCCUAAUACUUAAGACCUUAAUCUUUUUAAGUAACGAGGCCAACUCUUGUCCUCAGUCUGACUCCAAUUCAUACUUCACGCUCAACGCAUCAGCCUGAACUGUCAAAGCUUGUAAGUAAUCUGCUACCUCUCGAAUCUGAACCACAGCUUCUCCCAUAACAUGAUUCCUGUCUCUAACUUGAUUUUGGAAAUACUGAAGUUGCUCAUUCUGACGACCUUCUUUUGCUUCUAGAUGCUCAAUUCGAACCUCACAAUUUCGCAAUGCUGCUUCUAACCCUUCUAUUUUGCUCUUCAUCUUUUCAAUCUUGCUUAGACUUGCCUUUACCUCCACUACAGAGUUUCGACUUCUAUGUUGACGAAGAGACCUUUCUAACUCAACCACCCUGUCCUUUAACUCGCCAUUUUCCUUUUGGCUCUCUGACAAGCACUUUUCUAAUGCUUCAUUCCGUGCUUGAACCUCUUGAAAUUUUCUUUCCCACCAGUCUGACUUGUUUUUUUCUUCACGAAUCUCUUCACUCCACUGCUCUGAAGUUUUUCCAAGCCCGGCAGUUCUCAUUGACAGACGCAACUUCUUGUAAUCUGUCUUCAAGCUAUCUAGCUCUUCCUCGGCCUUAUUCUUCCCCUUCCUUAAUUUAUCAGCCUCGAGCUUCUGAACAUCCACAUCCAAUCUCAAAUUCAUCCUUUCUUCCUCCAUUUACUCUAUUUUCUUCUCUAAUUCUACAUUUCUUCUUUCGAAAUCCUGCUUUCUGAUUUCCAGCUCAAUAGGGACGACACGCAAAUGCUCCUCCAUCGACUGAUUAUUUUCUGAAUUUGGCUCAAAAAUAUUAUCGUUAAUCCUCUUAGCCCACCACUCGUUAUACUCGGGAGUUGUCAUGGGACCCACAGCUAAUCCCUUCAUUCGGCGAGUCUGAUUCCAUGCACUGACCAUCUCACAAACUCUCCUUUUGUAACCAUCGCCCCUAUACGAAAAUUCACACUCAGCCAGUCCCUGAGUUGCAAGCACAAACUACCUAGACCUGUAUUGUCUGAGCAUUAGCAAUAGGGCAUAACCAAUAGCUCCCCAAAUUCCAAUCAAAGGAACCCAGUCAAAAUCCCCACACCGAUAUAGGAUCUCAUCUUAAAGCAACCACGAAGCUCUCCACUCGAUAUCCUCUUCUUACAAAUUCUGAAAAAUUACCAUCCAUUUCUCUUCGAAAAUGUCAUCCCUCAUUGGUGUAGCCACUAUCUCUUUCAAUAGUGAAUAACUUUCGAAAAAAAACUCGAUAUGAAACUUUAUCAACCUUCUAAAAGUGACUGUAGAACCAUGCAAGUAGGAGCUGCGCACAUCUAAUGAAUCUACCCUCUCCCGCUCUCUGGUAUGCACUCAGUGACUUGAAGGUUUCUGCUAAAAUUGUCGGGACUGGUGUAACUCUCUUUUCAAGCCGAUCAAAUAAGUCAGUGACCGCCUCAUCAACAUGUCCCAAAGUCUUAGGGAACACAACCAAACCAUAUAUACUUAGAGCAAAAACAUCUAUCUUCUUCAUCGCAUCUGGGUGCGCUAGAAUGAGAUCCUUCAAAUUUUUCCAGGGAAUACACUUGCUAUCUCCCUUUUGCUUGAUCCGAGCUGUAACCCACUACUCACUCAUCCCCGUUAUAUUCAUCAACCUCUUCAAAAAGGUCAGUGUAUUUACAGCUUUCGAGUAGACCUUGUCCACCAGAAUCUUCGAACACCGAAGCAAAGCCAUGUAUUCUUCAAUUGUAGGCACUAAAUCAACAUUCCCAAAUGUGAAGCAACUGUAGACCGGGUUCCAAAACUGGGCAAAAGCUUGAAACAGACGCUUAUCUACCUUCAUAUUAAGUAAAUAAGGUAAAUCCCCAUAAUUUGAAAAGAAUAACUGUCUAACCUCGUUAUUCCAUUGAUCCCAAAUCUCCUUCAACUCCUGCAAGUUGUUUUGGGUUACGCUAACAUGGGUGAAGUCCCAUAAUUCUAAUACGUAUCCUUCGACCAAACUAUUACCUUUUUCGCGCUGCGUCAUCUCAGCCCAAGUUCGGACAGCCGCAUUAUCCUCCACUCUAUCAAGAAACCCUUUUUCCAUAAUAAGCUUUCUAUCUAGCAACCGAAUACGAACCAACGCCUUUCUAUAAUGAGAUGCCAUGUAAUUGAAAUGCCAUGCAAUCAAAGUAAAACACAAAAAGUCAGUAUCAAUUAAAUACAAUACAACCAAUAAAUAGUAAACUCCUAAUUAGGUAUCUACUAAGGUUUAAGAGUAAUUCUAUCUAGGAUGAGUUCCUAAGUUUCACUAUAUGAGGUUUGGCUUCUAGAGCAAAGGUACCCGAACCAGCAGAUUCCUCGAUCCUCACCCAUUAUAGGCUCAUAUAGACCAAGUUCAGUUCAGGGAAAUACAUUUCUCUAUGGCUGCACGAAGAUGAAAAUCUCACGAAGACAUAGGUACGGAUGUAUCCCGAAAGUGAUCCACUAUCAUGCACGGAGGUGAAAACCUCACGAAGGAGUAGUUUCUCACUCCCACUUAGAGGGGUAAAGUCGUCCAUAUAAUGCAAAAUGCAAACACACCAACAAACUUAGACCAAUUAAACAAACAUAUCAUGAUAAAAACCAAUGAAUGCAAAAUAGGAAAUCGUGAUUUAAAACAAAUUUGAAACCUUUCCGACAAAAAGACAAAACUAAUCAAUUUAUGGCUCGACUCGCGAAAGUCCCCAGUGGAGUCGCCAAGUUGUCGAAACCAUUUUUGAAAACAAAAAUAAAGUUGUCGACUUUAAAAACAAAGAUUGGAGUCGCCACCGAUCCUUGAUUGAGGUGUGAUCAGCUCACAUUGAAAACGGUUUUGGUCUACGAAAUUUGAGAAAACAGGUUCGGGAGUCAGUUACGCACGAGGAAAGGUUAGCACCAUCGUAACGCCCAAAAUCGGUACCAAAUUGAUUGUUUAAUGUCUUAGUGUCAAGGAUUAAAAAGAUUUUUUUUAAACUCAAAUGAUGAAUUCUGAAAAGGAUAAUCAAAUGUUUAAGUCAAACAAAGAAAUCGAGACCCAAUGCGUUAGGAUACAAUUUCUCAAAAUCCCCAAACUUUGAAUACCACUUUUAUUUUAGGGAAAAUCAUCAUCUCGAGAAAACAAUACGUCAUACCCAAUGCGUUAGGACAUAACAUGUUGAAUUUCCGAAAAUGAUUUUUGUUUAUGCAUUUUGAAAAAAUAUUCUCGAUUAUUUAGGAUUAAUAAAAAAAAUCGGAACCCAAUACGUUAGGGCUCAAUUUCCUCGAAAAUCUCGAAUAUCAAAUAUUGCAAUAUUUUAAAAGCCUUUAAAUCAAAAGAAAAUAAUUUUAAUGUUUUGACAAAACCAAAAUAUAUUUUCUAAAAGGUAUGUUUUAAAAAAGUUAUUGUACAAUAUGAAAUAAACACUUGAAUUUAAAUUACAUGUGUAUAUGUUUACAAAAUAUGUAUAUAUAUGUAUGAUAUAUAAGUGAAUUUUGCAAAUAUGUGUAUGGAUAUGAAAUAAAAAAAAUGCAUAAGUAUUAUAAAAUGUUGAUGCAUAUAUACAUAUAUGAAUACCAAAAAGUCAUGAAAAUAAAAUAAUAAAAUACAUAUAAAAUAUAUUUGUGCAUUUAAAAAAAAUGUAUAAGUAUAACAUAUUGGUAAAUAUAAAAAAAUAGAAAAUAUAUUUAUAAUAAGUUUUGAAUAGAGUAUAAAUAUAUAUGUACAUAUUAUAAAAAAUGUAUAAACAUUUAUAAAUUACAAAAUAUGGAAAACGUAUAAAUAUUAUGAAAUAUAAAUGUAUAUAUAUACAUAUAUAUAUGUAUAAAAACUAUGAAAAUAAAAUAAUAAUAAAAUAUGUACAUAAUAUAUAUAUUUUAAAAAAUGUCUAAAAUAUAUAAAUAUAUGUAUUAACGUGCAUAUGCGCACAUAUAUGUAAGAUAAUAAUCAUAUAAUAGAACAAUAAUAAUAACAAUAGAAAUAAUAAUAACAAUAUUAAUAACAUAAACUAAAAAACCUAAAAUGAAAAAAUUAAGGAUUAAAUUGAAAAUCAACAGAAUUUGAAAGCUAAAUUCAAAAAUAGAAAACGAGAAAGGGAGCAAACUAAAACACUCGCAACAGGAGGAGGACCGAAAAAUCAAUUUACCCAAACCUCCCAAAACGCUGCGCAGCGUUGGACCAAUUUGAAACAGAAAUAAAAUAUUUUGCAAAAUUUAAAGAAAUAAAAAAAAACAAUUUAAAAGCAUUGUAAAAAAAGGGGGACCAAAUACGCAAAUGGCCCAUUUUGAAGAAAUUUGCGGAUCCUCUCCCGGCCGGAUCGGGUUGUGCACAGGUAUAGGCUAUACGACGCCGUUUUGGGGCCAUUGAAACAGGCCCUAAACGACGGCGUUUAAUGCCCUAUAAAAGUCAAUUUUAAAACCCUAAAAAUCACUUCCUCUUUGCCAUUCCCAAAAUGCGCCUCUGCCCUCUGCCGUUUCAAACUUCUCCCCCUUGCUCUGAUGGCGACGAAACGAAGGGAGCCUUCAACGACACCACGCCGGUAAGUUUCUCCUCUACUCCAUUUCCUUAUUUUGUUUUUGGUUUAAGACAACAAGGUAAAAAAAUAAAAAAAAAAAAUCAGUAAAAAGAAAAACAACAGGAAAAGAACAAUCACCUUCAAAAUUUUGCCUUUUUGAUUCCUUAUUUCGUAUUUUUCUUUAAUGUUUUCAUACAAUAUUUUUGCUAACCCCUUUUACAGAAAUCGAUUGGCCUUUUAUAGCCAAAAUCCUUUUACAACUUGCUAUAUUUUUCCUCUUUCCUUGCUUGUUGCUCGUGGUUCUUUUCGCUGCAGAUAUGUACGUGUGUGGGGGUUACUGCGACGUGGGGCGUGCACGGCGCUGGAGGUUGCUGCGACGUGGGGUGGCUGCUUCUAACUGCUGCUUAGGGUUAGGCUAGGGUUAGAUUUGGGUUUGGGGUAGUGACUUGGGCCUUAUUGGGCCAAAUGUAAUUGGGUCAGAUUAGUUAAUUUGGGCCCCGGGCAACAAUUGGGUAUUACACAUGUAUUUGUGGCUUAUGAUAUGAGAGAGACAUUCUAGGAUCGUGUAGAUAUUACAUAUGUUCCCCUUGGGUGAAAGUACUAGAGGUGCUCAUGGGCCGGGUGGCCCGGCCCAGCCUGACGGCCCGCCCAAAAUAUGGGAGGGUUUGGGUAAAAAUAUAGGCCCGAAAUAUGGGCUUGGGCAAAAAAACGAGGCUCGUUUAGAAAAUGGGCCGGGCCUCGGGCACCACUUUUUUGGCCCGGGCCCGGCCUUUAAUUUUAAAAUAUUUUUUACAUAUUUUUUAAAUUUUUUAAUUUUAAAAUAUUUUUAAAAAACUUUUUUAAUUUUUUUAAUUUUAAAAUAUUUUUAAAAUACUUUUUUAAUUUUUUUUUAAUUUUAAAAUAUUUUUAAAAUACUUUUUUAAUUUUUUAAAAAUUUUAAAAUAAAAAUAGGCCAGGCCGGGUCGGGCCCGAGCUUAUGAUUUUUUUCCCGGGCCAGGCCUGGGCAAAAUCUUAGGCCCAUAUUUCGGGCCGGGCCGGGCCCGGGCCUAGGACUCGGGUCGAAAUUUGUUUAGGAACCCGGCCCGGCCCGGCGCAUGAGCACCUCUAGAAAGUACUAGAAGCUCUUAUAUUAGGAGUUAGAUUUCAUUUUGCGCUUUUUACUAAAAAAUGAGCAAAUUAGUCCUUGUAUAUUGAAUCAAAGAGCAAACUAGUCAUUCUGUUAAAAAUUCCAUCCAUUUCUACUGUUAAAAAUUCAUCCAUGUACGUCAACAUGAGGUAUACGUGACACAUUACAUGUAACUGUCUGAUUAAUUUGUCAGCUACAUUAGUUUUUAACAGGAAAAAUGGAUGAAAUUUUAAUAGAAAUGACCAGUUUGCUCUUUAAUUAAACAUACAGAGACUAAUUUGCCCAUUUUUUGAGUAAAGUGGGUAAAAUGUAAUCUAACUCCUAAUACAGGAAUCUCCAUGAUGCUUUUAUUGUUCCCUUGCUAUGAUCUUAGUACAGGGGACGGUCUAUAAGAAGAUAGUACUAGAACACAUGAAAAAACUUGUAAGAGCAUACUAUAUCUCUUUUUGGCUGGGUCUGUUAAUGGAAGCAACUGUGCUGAGCUUGCAAAGUAGGAAGAUAUCGACGGGUUUCUCGUAGGUGGUGCUUCCUUGAAGGUAUUAUUCACUCUGUUCCAUUAUUAAUAAAAUGUACCGAAAUAUUAUUCGGUUAUGGCAUUGCUAACGAUUGGAUUCAAAAUAUUUGUUGAUGCAGGGGCCGGGGUUUGCUACAAUUGUCAACUCCGUAACAUCCAAAAAGGUGGCUGCCUAAAUAUAUAUUAAGCUGAUUAAAAGUAAGAAAUAAAGGACCUAAAUUAGAGGUGUCCAUGGACGGCCCGCCUGAAAUAUGAGAGGGUUCGGGUAAAAAUAUAGGUCCGAAAUAUGGACUUGGGCAAAAAAUGAAGCCAGUUUAGAAAACAGGCCGGGCCCCGAAAAUAUAUUAAAUAUAUAUUUUUAUUUUUAAAAUAUAAUAGUUUUAGUUUUAUUUUAAGUUUCAUUUACUUUGACAGAGUCACCCAAAAUCCCUAACCCUAUUGUGCUAUAUGCUGUGCCUUCCUCCCCUUUUUUUCCUAUUUCCAAAAUCAAGUUGUCUGCCCGUCUCCAGUACCGAUCCACCUCCACCGUCAAGACCUCCACCGAUCCACCUUCAGUCCUCCACCCAAUUCCAGAAUCAAGCAUUUAAGGGUUUGUUUAUUCCCGAAUCGCCAAGUAGAAGCAAGCAUACAAGAACGAGGAGUUUGGUACAGGUAUGGGUUUGCUCAUCUUCUUCGGUUUCCUCAUUUUCAUUCUCUUUAACAUACUUCAUUUCUUCUGAUUAUUCUUCUUCAGGUUACUCUUUUCUUUCUUUUAUCAAUUACCCUUCUUUUUCGCCAAUUCAAUUCAACAAAAAAUUGUAUUGUACUUCUUUUCGUGAUCUUUUUGCCUGCACAUUCAAUUAACCGCAACUCUUUUACUCUUUCAAAAUCUGAGACAUUGAUUUUUUUUCUAGAGAUUGUGUUCUUAGGUAUUUUGAAUCAAUGGUUACGAUUAUGUUAUCUUCCUUGUUAAUGACACUUUGGGAAGGAAAUUAUUUCUAACAUUGUUUUUGUUUGCUGCGUACACUUUAUAUUUAAACAAAUAUACGCAAUAGGGGAAUGUGGUGAUUAUAAUUUUACUCCUGGGGAUAAGUUAGAUUCAAUUGAUUCAAAUAUGGUUAAUCGAAUUAUAUUAAUGUUGUUGUUGAUGAAUCCUUGUGAUUGCAUGAUCAAAUACACGUUUAUUUUACUCAUACAAAACUCUUAGAAUUUGGUUCUUAUAGAAGACUGGAGUUGUUAAUGGUCUUGGAGCUCCCAUUUUGUUUUAAGUUAAAUUGUAUUUUGGACUGGUAUGAUUUUGUCAGUUUGAAAAACCCUUGGUAGUUCAAUCUUUGAACACACACACACACACACACACACACACACACACACAUAUAUAUAUAUAUAAGCCUCCUUUCAAUAAUUUAUUUGCUUUUAUAAGAACCAAAUGACUAAUCUUCUCUGAGACUACAUGUAUAGGCUUGAGGAGGGUCUUAUUUUGUUUUAUGUUUAUAAUAUUGGGAGAGGGUUAGGGGAAGACAGGGUUUGAAAUGAUGUCAUUUAAGUGCUUUGUUUUCUGCUUGUUUGUAUAUUUUAUAUGGUUGACUAAUUCACAUUCAAAGUUUAAAUUUCCUUCGUCAAGUCCCUUGGGGCAUCCUUUUGCUGAAUGUUAACCAAUGUUGACUAUUCUAGAACUAUACCACAUCGACAUAUAAGAAUGUUAAAUUAGAUAAAGCAGGUUUUGAGAAAUUAAUUAUAGAUUGAAUUCACGUUAGAGGUUAGCUUUUUGGCCUCUUGAAUUGCGAAUUGGGUUUAGUUUAUUCCUUUAAAUAGGGUAACAUAUGCAGAUAACAUGUGCCAAUACUCUGCACGUAUUUUGUGUACAAUAUUCUGGUUGAAAUUAAAAAUGGUUACAUUCACAGAUCAUGCCCCAGCUUUUGGGUUUAAUUCCAUUAUGAAUAUUUUUCCAUUAUGAGGGUCUUAUUUUCUGUCUGUUUGUUUCUAGUUAAUCUAAGUUUAUAAAAGUGUAUAAUAAAAGUGUUGUUGAAAUAUAUAUAUUCCCUUCCAUUUUCUGUCUGUUGGUUUCUGGUUAAUCCGGGUAACUUCAUUGCCUUCUUCUUCUUCUUCUUCUUUUAUGAAAUGAAAUUUGUCAAUUAGCUUUCUGUUAAUCUAUGAUUCAAUCAAAUAAUUAAGUGGUAAAUGUUUGUUUAUAUGUUUAUAUCUGGAAAUAAAGUUCUCAGAAUUUUGAAAUUGCAUGGGAUUCGAGUUUAAUGAAUUUAUUAUAAUGUUUACUAAGAUCACAAGCUUAGUUUCUUCAUUUAAUCUCAUCUUCUUCUUUUUUUUUUGCUUUGUUUUAUUGCAGAAACAAUCGACAUUGAAAUCGAUUUGGCUUACCUUAGUUUCCUUUCCUAUAAGCUUUCAUUUACAUUUUCUUUUUACAAUUUAAUUUAAUUUGAUUUUCCUUUAUUUUACUUUGUACAACAUUUUGCAGAUUAGCAGAUUUUCCCGUAAGCUAAACUUGCUUAUCUACUAGUAGGAAAAUAAUGGGAUUGAGAAAUAGAGAUGCUUCUAUUUAAGAUUUUGGAUUGGAUUUAUGCAGUUUGAAUUUCAUUAAUUUCUUUUUUGGUACAUAUGUAAUUUAGCUUAUAGAAUAAGUAUGAAUAUCUCAAUUGUUUUCUAGUUUAGGUUUAUAUUAUAUAUUUAAUAAUUUGCCUAUUGUUUAUAUAUAAAUUUGAAAUCUAAUAAAUGUUUUUGUUCCAUUCAAUUCUUAUUCAUUUUUUGUUUGCAUUUUAAUAUUGUUUGCAUUUUCCUCUACAUAACGGUAACGGACUUUCAAAGUUAAACUAUUUUAUCUAGUUUUCAUUUGUAGACCAUGAUAUCUUUUUAAAAUUAUUUCAAAAUUUUUUUAUACAAGGUAAUUUUAAAGAUAAUUGAUUGUAGCUUAAAAUUAUUUCCAAAGUUAGUAUGAAUUUUAUUAAAAAAAUAUUUAAUAACAAAUUAUAUAUUUGUAAUUUUUAAAAGAUUAAAUUAAUUUUUUAUAAAAGUAAGCAUUUAAAGAGUUCAAAGUAUGCAUCUAAGCUACAAUUUUUAACCUAUUUGUAUAUUUAAUAAAAUAUAAACCUAUUUGUAUCAAAGUAUGCAUAUAAGCUACAAUUUAAACAGCAAGUAUGCAUUUUGUUUUAACCUAUUUGUAUAUUUAAUAAAAUAUUUGUAUAUAUAUUCAGUAACCGAGUUAUAAAUAAGUUAUUUUUGGAUUCCAGGACUUCAAUUUUUAUGACUAUGGCUAGUUCGAACACUCCUAUACCUGUGGACGAUGGGUUUAAUGAGUACGAAAGUGCUGUCAAAUGUCAAAAGUCUACCACUUCAAAGGUGUGGGAUGAAAUGACAAAGUUUGAAUGCGAGAACAAAAAUGAAUUGAAGGCACAAUAUAAUCACUGUAAGACUAUCUUCUUUGCUAAGUCUUCUAGUGGAACCUUUCAUUUAAGACGUCAUCUAAAUAGCUGUUUGAAAAAAGUUAGGACAUCACUCCAUACACCAUAGCCACUCAACCAUCACUAGAAGGUGUUCCAUCUAUAAAAAACUACAAGUUUGAUGCUGAUGAGUGUCGUCAAACUAUUUCUACUUUUCUUGUGUGUGGCAAGCAUUCAUUUAGGACAGUUGAAGAACCGGGAUUUAGAUACAUGAUGAGAAUUGCUAGUCCUAAUUUUAAGAAUAUAAGUAGACAAACAGCUACUAGGGAUGUCCUAAAGUAUUAUGCAAAAGAUAGAGAUCAUGUGGCUAAAGCACCUGGUUUAAUUUGUUUAACUUCUGAUAAUUGGAAUUCGGAGCAUACUAAUGAUGAAUAAAUUUGCAUUACUGCUCAUUGGGUUGACAAAGAUUGGAAGCUACAAAAAAGAAUCAUAAGGUUUAGAGCUUUAUUUCCUCCGUAUGAUGGUUUGAAUAUAGCGGAUGAACUUGUUUUAUGUUUAUCUCAAUGGGGUAUAGAUAAGAAAAUUUUAGCAUCAGUUUGGAUAAUGCUUCUUAUAAUGAUGUUAUGGUUUCUUGUCUUAAAAAUCGUUUUCGUGCAAACCGAGCUAUUUUGUGUGAUGGUGCUUUUUUUCAAGUUAGAUGUUGUGCACAUAUAUUGAAUCUUAUAGUUAAAGCUGGUUUAGAACUUGCCGAUGAUGUUGUUUGUAAGAUUCGAAAUGGGAUUAGGUACAUAAAAAAGGCAAGAAUUCGUAGGAAAAGAUUUUAUGAUGUGGCCGACAAAAGUUUUCAUUUGAAUGUGACCAAAAAGUUGCGUCAAGAUGUGUGUGUGAGAUGGAAUUCUACUUAUUUGAUGCUUGAAUCUUCUCUUUACUAUAAAGAUGUGCUAGAUUAUUGGGGCCAACGGGAUAAAGAUUAUCAAAUGUUUGCACUUUCUAGCGAGGAGUGGAGCAAUGUUGCAAUUCUUUGCAAAUUUUUGAAAGUAUUUUAUGAUGUGACAUGUGUUUUUUCUGGUUCUAAUUAUCCAACGGCUAAUCUUUAUUUUAGAGGGGUUUGGAAGGUUCACAAGCUCUUGGUUGAUACAGUUAAAGGCCCUUAUUCGUUUUUAACUCCAAUGGUUAAGCAAAUGCAAGAGAAAUUUAAUAAGUAUUGGGCUGAGUAUUCGUUGAUGUUGUUAUGUGCUGCAAUUUUAGAUCCUCGUUACAAGUUGAAUUAUGUGCAGUAUUGCUUUAAAGCAAUCUAUGGUAUUCAUGCUUCAGAUUUUGUUGAGACCAUUCUUAGCAAUCUUAGACUCUUGUUUGAUGAGUAUGUUAAGAAAUCCAAAUCCAUGUCUUCCUCUUUGGCUGGGAGUUCUAAUGUUUCGAAUAAAAAUCAUGUUGAUUCUGGUUUGGAUGAACACAAUGAUAAUAGUUGUGACAGCCUGAUUUUGACCCUAAUCGGAACAGUGGUUUCGGGACCACAAAUCCGAGUCUGAAAAAUAUUUUAAUAUUAUUUUUUUGUUAAUUAUGUGUGAAUUUACAUAUGUGAAAGUUUUGUGAAUUUAUUUUAUUGUUUGUCUGCUAAAUUUGAAAAAAUGGCUUAAUCGCGUAAAAUAAAAAUUUAAUAGUUAAAUAUGAAAGUGCCUAAUUGUUGUUGUCUUUAUAAUUUGGAGGUUCUAUGAUGCAAUUAGCCCACUAUAUAAGUUAGUGGAUGAAAAUGGUCAAGAAUGACCUUAUAUUAUAUGUUAUAUAUUAACUUAUAAAGGUUAAAUUAGUAAAUAAAAUAUUAUAAUGUAUUUAUAAUAAAACAAAACAUAAAUUAAAAGCAUUAUCAUGUUCAUCUUGCCGAAAGUUGCUAAAGAAAAAGAAAAGAAAAGAGCUUUGAAGCAUUCGGCCAUUACUAAGCUCAAUCAAGGUAUAUUUCGGUUUCGAUUUUUGAUGAUUUUUAUGUUUUUGAGAUCGUUGCUUCGAGUACUACAAAGCCCAUGCUUGAAUUUUUGAAUUAGUUGUGUAUUUUGUGAUAUGCCAUUGAAGAGAGCUUGUUGUUUUUGUUGUUAGAUGAUGGAAAAUAAAUAUAUGUUGUUAGAUUUUCAUGUUUUAAUUAGUAAUUUUUGAUAAAAAAUGUGUAUUAAGGACUAAAUUAAGAAAAGUGUAAAUUGAGGGGUCAAAAUGUGAAAUAAAUGAAAUGUGUAGACUUAGAUGGACUAUAGGAAUAUUCGGCCCUGGCAUGAUAAAUGCAAAUUUUGUGUAUUUUGUGUUUUAUGCAAUAGGGACUAAAUUGUAAAAAGUGUAAAAUGUCAGGGGCAAAAUGGUAAUUUUCCCAUUUAUGUGUUUUUGGAUUAAAUUAAAUGGAAUUAUGUUUAAAUAAGUUUAAUUUCAAUAUGUUUAGAUCAUGAACCAAAGAAAAUGGAUUUGGAUCGAGGAAAAACAAAAAUAAUCGAAUAGUCGUCUAUUCCGUCCGUCGAUAUCCGAUGUAAGUUUAUAAGCAAAUAGAUGUUAUAAUUUUUAAUUAAAUGUGAAUUAUAUGUGCUGAAAUGAAUAUGUUAAUAAAUAUAUGUAUUAGCCGAAUGUGUAUAAGCUUGGCAGUUAUGUUUAUGAAUUUGUUUCGACUGAGUUACGACGUCCGAAAGCCCCGUAUGAGCCUUAGGAAUAGUUAGGAUACAUAUGUCAUGACAUAGGAUUUCGAUAUGUAUUUUCGUGUAAGAUCACGUCUGGGACGUUGGCAUCGAAUUGUUUAUACGUAUAAGACCAUGUCUGGGAUAUUGGCAUCGUAUUUGAUUUGUGUAAGACCCUGUCUAGGACAGUGGCAUCGAUAUGUGAUUAUAUGUAAGACCACGUCUGGGACGUUGGCAUUGUACGAGCCUUCCGACUAUCCGAGUAUCCUUUUUAAUUCCGAAUGGUUCAACGGGUAAAGAUAAGUUGUGUACGAAUGUUUAAAUCAGGCUAAGUGACCAGGUAUGUGAUAAUUGAUUAUCUAUUUGAAAAUAAGGUAAGUUGUAUACUUGAAUUGAUGAUAUGAAGUUAUGUGAAAUAUGAAUUAUGUGGUUGUAUAUUUGAAUAUAUAUGUAUUCGGCCUUUGAUGUAUAUGUGUAUUGAGGAAAAUGAUGAUUAGUUAUAUUAUCAAUUAAUUAUUUGGUAAAGAGGGAAGUUAUUACAAAUUAUAUAAGUUUUGAUAUAUAAUUUGAUAAAUUGAAUUAUAUGUGAAAUUAUAAUGGUUUAUUACUAAUUGUCUAGCUUAAUUUACGUAAAUGAUUAAAUGUUUAUUUGCUUAUGACUUACUAAGCUUUGAUAGCUUACUGUGUGUAAUCGCUUUCUGUUUUAUAGAUUUGGAAGUUGGUUAUGAGCUCGGCGAUCGUCAGAGAAGUCUAUCACACUAUCGAGUACUGUUUUCGGUAUUUUACUAAGUUUGAAAUUGAACUUAUGGCAUGUAUAGUCUAGUUAAUAUGUUUGAUUUCGGGUAUGUUAAUAUGAGCCAUGCGAAAAUGGCUUAUUUAUUUUGUGCUUUUGAACAAGUGUUAGAUAUGUUGAUUUUGGUAUCUCGGCUAUGGCAUAUUUAUUUAUGUGAAUUAUGUUUGAUAUGUUUUGUUAAGAAUGUGGUAAAUAAUUCGGCAUAGGUGAGCUUAGAUGAAGCAUAUAAGUGAAGUGAGUUUGGUAUAUAUAUGUUAUGGUGUUUUAGUCACGUGCUUCGGCAAUGAGGUAAAUGAUAUUCAAGCUUAAUUAAUCUUGGUUAUGUGUUAUAUAUAUAUAUGAUAUGUGUGAUAUGUUUAGUUUUGGUAUUGGUGUUUCGACUAUGGUUUAUUUAUAAGUAAAUAUAUGUGAAUCUUGUUUGAUAUGCUUUGUUAAGGUAUUGUUAUGUAAUUUAGUAACUAAGAGAACUCGGUUAUGGCAUAUAGGUGAAAUGCUAAGUAAAUCAUAGAUGAAAUGAUAGUUAAAUUUGGUUUGUAAUAGUAUAUUUACAUUAAUAAAUUGAUUUGAAAGAAACUAGUAAUGUGCAUGUGUAUGUACGGUUAUAAGGUAUGGAAGAACAUGUGUAUAUUUGGUCAUGAUCUAGACCUAUUUUGGAAGUGUGUUUUAUGCUAUAAAUUGGUGUAUGGAUAUAGGUUUGGAAAAUGUGAAGUGAUAUGUAUGAUUUUAUUAUUUGAAUCGAUAUGGUUUGAUUAGGAAAUGGCAUAUUUUGACUUAUGAUUUAAUGGCUAAAUCUUGUACAAUUUAUUAGGUUAUUUAUGGAUGCCAAUUUGUUAUGAAAUAAAUUAGGAACGUGGAGUAUUUAAUAAAGUUACGAUUUGCUCAUGCAAGUGGACUUAAUAUUCGAUUUUGUAUUUGUAAAAUGAUAUGAAUUGUAUGGAUUUUUGGAUAUGGCUAAAAUGGUGUAUUCAUAUGCGCAAACUUGUAAUAGAUAAAUAUGCAUGUUUUUGGUCUUUUAAAUGAUAUAUAUAAAUGAUUUUUAAAGUAGGCUUAAAAUUUAUGAAUAAGAUACAUACAAAUUCGGGUAAUGAUAGUUAAGUGAGUAAUACAAGUUUGAAUUUAACUUUUAUAAAUUUAUUGAAUUAGUCGAUUAAAGGAUAAGUUGAUUUGUAUUGAGUGUGUAUAGUUUAUGAUUGAAUGAUUUCAUUGAAAUGGGCAUAUGUGUAUAAUAUAACGACAUUAAAGGUAUGUAAGGCUAAAAUAUAAUGUUACUAAUGUUGCAUUUGUGAUUAGACAUUAAGUUGUAUACAUAUUGGUUUCAUUAUGUACAUAUGCAGAAGUUAUGAAAUGCAAAGUGUGAUAUUUAGAUAAUGAAAUUAUGUACGUACAUAUUCCCUGUAUAUGAAAAGUGAGGAUAUAUGCUUGAAUAUGAUUUAAUUAUGAAAAUGUCGUUAAUACGAUGGAUUUAGGGAAAUCGAAUAUUGAAAAUAUUAUAUACUUGAACAUGACUCUGAUAUAUACAAGUUUGGUUCGAAUUUGUUAAUUAUAGAAUAUGUUCGAUUGAGCUUUGAUGUAUGUUUAAAUUGAAUUAAUUUGAAUUUUAUAAUGUGUUUAUUUCUAAUACAUGCUUAGUAAGGUAUGAUUGAUUUGAAUUGUAAUUAUCAUAUAUAUUUGAAUUUAAAAUACUUGAAUUAAGGACAUUCAAGUUUGAUAAUGUUAUAAAUGUAUCGUUAUUCUUUGGUGUAUGAAAGGUGAUAAAUGACUGUGCUAAAUUGUGUCUUGUAUGGUAAUGCCUCGAAACCCUAAUCUGGCAACGGAUACGGGUUAGGGGUGUUACAAUAGUGCUGAUUUUAGGGGAUAUUUUGAUGAGAGAUGAUUAUAAACGGUAUUUAAAUGAAUCUAGCACUAGGAGUGAAAAGUCACAGUUGGACAUUUAUUUGGAAGAACCGGAGCUUGAGUUGAAUAGUCAAAUAGAUGUUUUAGAUUAUUGGAGCAAAAGUUCAGUUCGAUACAAUGAGCUUUCAUUAUUGGCUCGUGAUAUUUUGGCAAUUCCAAUAUCGACUGUAGCUUCCGAAUCGGCUUUUAGCAUGGGUAAGAAAGUUAUCACACCUGUCAGGAGUUCACUUAAGCCAAAAACGGUUCAAGCCGUUGUUUGCUUGGAUGAUUGGAUGAGAGAUAAGGGAUUUUCAGCAGGUAAUUAUUAUUCUCGUUUUAUUGUUGUAAUUUUAUAUUAUUUUUUCAUCAAUUUGAUUAUCUAAUUAUUUAUUCUUAUUUCAUGUUAGAAAUUGGUUGCAAAAAGGACGAUGACGACGAGGUUUCUUCAGUUGCUUUUUAAGAUACUUUUUUUUUUCUAAAUGUUUAAAUUUUAAUUUAGCUAACAAUUUAUAUUUCGUUAUAAAAUUAAAUAUGUUGAUGGAUUAAUGUAUGAAUACUAUGGUUUGUUGUUUAUUGCUAUAAAAUUAAGUAUGUUUAAAUAUUUUGUUAUAAAAUUUAGGUGACAGGAUAGAAUUGGAAGUGAUAACAUUGGACUUAUAGCAAUGAACUGCCUAUGGGAGAUUUGAGAGUAUUGUUAUUAAUAUUACAAAGGUUUGUUCAAGACUCUCCUACCAAAUUUUGAUUUCUAUAGUUCUUUAUUUGUCCAACUAAUUUAUGUAUAAGAAAUAGAACAGAUUUGCUUAUUGGCCAGGAAAUAUCAAAUUAGAAAUAGAAAUGGAAUAAAUAAAUCCAUGUAUUGUAUGGCUUUAAUAAUACAUAACUCCAGUAAAAAGAAAGAGACCCACUCAGCUUACUAACAUUGUGGGCUCUUGUAAAGGGACUUGGAAGACAUUUUUGACUUGUCGGUCUCUAAAACCACACAUUAUUGGUAAUUGGUAAAUCCUGCACAUGUAAUAUUGGUUGGUUUUAAGAUAAAAAAAUGUAAACUUAUUUGUUUACAAAAAUACUUUUUAACAGCACUGACAAAUACGAACUGUAAAUAAAAAGGAAUAAAAAGAAAUCUGUUACAAAAUAAUAAUAAAACAACAUCAGGUUUGUUUUACUAAUCAAAUGUUAGAUUUUGUUACAACAAUUAAUACAAUUAAUAAUUUGAUAAUUUUACUAAUCAAAUGUUAGAUUUUGUUACAACAAUUAAUACAAUUAACAAUUAAUAAUUUGAUAAUUUUACUAACAAUUAGUUUUAAUUUUAUUAAAAAUAUAAUUUUAAUUUUAAUUAAAAACGGGCUAGGUCGGGCCGAGCUUGGGCUCCAUUUUUUUUCUCAGGCUGGGCCGGGCUCGGGCUUGGGAAGCGGGCUAAAAUUUUUUCUUGGGCCUGGCCCAAACCCAGCCCGGCCCGACCCAUGGACACCUUUAGGUAUUGUCGGUUGAACUGCUGGGCCGGGUGACUGUGUCGGUGUUGUUGUUGUUGUUGGGCCUGAUGAAGUUAUGGGCGCUGAUGAUGGGCCAGGUAAAUUUUUGAGCCUCGUUGAUGGGCCUACGUCGUCAUCCCUUCUUCUUGGAUUUAAAGAGCCACGUUGUUCCCUUUGGACACACAAUUGUCGCUGCCUCUCCUUUGGCGAGAGUAAAUACGGCUUGCCAUGGUUCCUAAACCAUGGCAUGUAUUCCGGCACGCACGCUAACUCUGGAACGAUGAUCAGUUCCCAAGUAGAUAUAUAGUCAUACCGAUCUUCUCACAUCUGGAUGUAGUGUGACCAGAAUCUCGGCCAAUUCGUAUGUAAUUGUCGUAGGUUAAUUUUGUGAUGAUAAUCCAACACCUCAGCUGACAUGGGAAUCGGUUAUCGGAAUCCAAAUUGCCGUAAUACUCUGUCUGAUUGGUGCAUCUCCACUGUCGCAAAGUUGACCAAUGGGACUUUCACAUGCCAACUAUUUGGAUUUUGCAAGUACUCAUCCGGAAUUACUGCCCGAAUUGCCGGAUCCUCGUAUGGUGUCCAUUCAAACUAUAUGACCAUGAUGGAAAUAUUAGUUAUGUACUAAAUACUAAAUACCAAUCGACUAUCUCAUUAUGGAAAUGUAUAUUUUAUUUAAUACUUACUUGUGCUUCUGACUGUUGGUCCAAUAGAAGCCGUAUAUCUUCAAGAGAGGUAGGUAAUCGAGCAUAACUUGCCGGAUGGUUCCACCUAAUUAAAUAAAUUUUUAGCAUUCGAUUAUAUUUUAAAUCUACGUAAUAAUUGUAAAAUCUAAUAUAAAAUUUACCCCGUUAUAAGUGGGAAUGUAUACGGGUGGUCCACUUGAGGACGUAAAAAUGGAAAACGAAACUGUGCUCAUGACUGCAGUAGUGACAAGUAACCUCCGAUUUUCGCUUUAUUCGGUCGCGUCGCCCCGCACAUCUCUCGGUACAAUUUUGCCAACACGGCAGACCCCCAGCUAAAUUCACCAACUGCUCGAAAAUCAACGAGUUUCAGCAGCCAUCUUAGAUGCACGAAGUUCCGUGACAAGUCCGGCAUCAGAUAUCCUCCAAUUAUCUGAAGAAUGUAUGUAUGAGCAUAUCUGAUUCUUUCUAUUUCAGUAGAAUCAUCAUCCGGAUCCGGGAAUGUGUCUCGUAACCAGCCCAUCUCGAUUCGACCUCUGCUAAUAUUCUCCGAAAUAGCGCCCAACAGCUCGUAGCAUACCGCUCCCCAAUCACCAGAUUGAAUAGACUCGGUGACUGCAUACCCGUUUAUUGGCAACCCCAAUUGCAAAUUGAUAUCUUCCAAAGUGAUAGUGCACUGUCUACAUAGAAGAUGGAAUAUGAGCGUCUCGGGUCUCCACCUCUCAAUCAAUGCACUGAUGAGUUUCGGGUCUAACUUGCAUCCCCGACCUACCGUCGCCACAUGCCAAAAACUCGCCUCCCGCAGGUAAUUCUCUACCAACGGUGAUGGAGGACCAUGCAUAUUGCGGAUAUAACAUUGCAAUAUCCAAUCUACAUACUUUUAUAAAAAUAAUAAAAUAAUAAUUAUUUAAAAUUACAUAAAUAAAAAAUCCUAAAUAAUAUUUAAAAAUUAAAUUUAACACUUACCAUUUUCAUUUGUUCCACGGAUAUAUGCUUGUCAUCAAGACGAAUCAAUUCCCCGGCCAUUGCUAAAUUGGUAAAAAAUUUUACGAUUUAAAAAAAGAAUUCAAAAAAAAUAAAUUUUAAAACUAUUUUAAAAAUAAUUAAAAAUUUGAAGCUAUUUUAAAUAGGAAUUUAAGAGGAAUUUGAGAGAAUACUAGAGAGAAAUUGAGAGAAAGGAUUUAGUUGUGAAAUUGGGGGGAUUUUUAUAGUUUUUUUUUUACUGUUGGGGUGUCACCAACGGUCAAACAAGUAGCUGUUGCUAUUGUUCACACGCAGGCAAAACGCGUCCCCAGGGGAGCGCUUACGUGGCAGCAAAACGCGCUAUUGAGGAAGCGAUUUAUGUCCACGUAAGCAAAGCGCGCCCUCAAGGACGCGUUUUUCUGUCACGUCUCCUGACAUCGCGCUGAUGUGGACGCGCUUUCGGGGAAAAUGGGCUAUUCCGAUAAAUAAUAAAAUACCGAGCCCAUUUCUUUAAAUUUAAAAAAAAGAAACUUUUUCUUGUAUUUUGCCCUAUUCUUUCAUUAGUUUUUUUAGUAAUAACUAUUGGUUACUUACAGUACCCCAACAAAAGCUAAGUAUGAUACAAAUAGAUGGAUUUCUUCUCCAGCGAGGUAAUAUCUCAUCUUGAAAUCAACUCUAAAACAUAAAUUAACAUUAAAAAGUUUUAACACUUAUAUCCACACUAAACAUUUGAACAUAAUACAAAAUAUGCUGCGUAUUUAUUCCCAAUAUUUUAGUUAAAUCAGAUGUGUAUAAGGUAAACACGGUAAAAUACUCAAUUAUCUAUUGUUAUUGUUAUUAUUAUUAUACCAAUUAUUAGACCUAAGGGAAUGAAGUUCUGGGGUAAGUAAUAAGAUGGAUUAAACCUGCAAAACUUCCAGCUGAAAAUUGAAGUUUCAAACUUUCAAUACAUCAACUUACGCUUGCCUACUGAAUCAGAUGUUAAACAGAAUCGUGAUAUGGCGAAAGAAACAAGAAGGAAAAAAAAAAAAAAACCUAAACGGGGUAUCCAUCAAAUCUUGCCAUUUUGAACGUUGAUAUUGUUCUUAGGUACAGGUUACAGUCUGGAGCAGGCUUUGACAAUUGGUAAGGCACUAAAAGGUUUCUUACAAACUCUGUUACAUAUGCAAGCGUCUAGGAGGGAUGGGAACGGUAGGGUGAUUGGGUAUUGUGUCGUUUGGUCCCAGAUCAUCUAUGGGGGGCCGCUGCUUAUGAUGAUUUGUUGCAGACUGGUAAGCCAUUGCUAAGGCUAAUGCCUGCAGUGAGAAAAUGGGAGGAAUAAAAUGAGACACAAAACAGUUGCAUUCUGAGAUUUCUGAUGAUUAUAGUUACUUUCUAUAUCCACUGUAUGUUACAAUCCACAUUAGAACUAAAAGUGGAUCAAGUCCAUGGCUCACGGAUCCGGAAACUUACGAUGUGAUCAUGGUUAGGAGGAGCGUAUAUGCCCGUGUUGACUGUGGUUCGUCUCCGAGUACCAGUUGGAGGUGGAUUAGGUAUGUUUUUGAAGCCAGUCGGAACAACAAUUACUGGCAAACCUACGAGAUUUCCCAUGCAUACUCGCUCCCAAUCCGUUGCAUUUCCAAUGAAUGCAUCAACAUUGAAGUUUUCUUUCACUUCUUGGAUUAACUUUCCACGAGCUCUUUGUGCCUGUGGAACAUUAUAAAAAUAGUGAAAAUAGAGGGAAAAAACAUCACGAGAAAAAAUUAAAAAUGAUUCUAUCUUUUCUCUCUAGAUUUCGGAUUAAGCGCUAUCCACUCCAGUGCUAAAUGACUAGACGGGCUACUUUUAGACCUAAAUCCCCGAUUUCCAUGCAUUCCUGCUGAUGUUCCACAUCCUAAAUCUCCAUAUCUUUGAAGACUGUUUCCGGUUUUCCUACUCAAAAAUUGGAAGUAAAAGAAGUAUGUGUCUUCUACUAGCUCAUUAGAAAAUGUUUUCAAAAGUUAUAUGAUUUCAUCCAAACUAUAAUAUCAACCAAUAAUUAGAGAGCAUAAAACAGACCUGCAAAUAAUCUACAGCUGAAACUACACGUGCACGACGUAACUCAACAGGCCAUUGAUCUUGAGCUUCAUAAUCAUCAUCCUUCCCAGAUCGUUGCCAUUCAUCAAAAUGUGCUAACAUGUCAACAUCCAUCGUGAAAUUUAGGAUGCCUUGAACAGAAUCGACAGUGUAAUUCAGUUUGAAAGGAACCACCUUAACACCUUUUGAUUCAAGCACAUGAACAACCUGGUUUUAGAAAAAAGUCAGACCUUAAGAGUUACUUCGAUAGUUACUUUAUAUCAAAGUUAUCUCUAAGAGAAAAAGAUAUAAUAUUUCAGUUCAAUCAAUUAAUUCAUAGCAAUUCUGACAUAUGUUGUUUUUAUUUAUUUAUUUAUUAUUGUGCAUCUGUUGCGGUUGCAUAACAAACUCAAGCUUUAGCCAGAUGUUUAUGAAAUCUAACCUCCAUGUCAGCAUCGUCAAGAUAACCAACUGUAAGCUUUGUGAUAUCAACAGAAAAUGGGUCACCAAAGGGAAUGUCUCUUGAAGAAAGAUCAUCUGGAUCUUUCCCUCGGAUGGCAUCUAGAAUAACUGCACAAUCAGCAGCAUUUCGACAGAAUGGACCAAGCUUGUCCUGUUAAAAGGAGAGCAUAGACAGUUAUUGGAACAUCACACCCAGAGGCUGGAGCAAAAAUGGGGGCUGGAUAAUUAAACACUUUCAGUCAAAGAAGAUUCCUCUCCCUAAUGGUAUUACCAAGCUUUCUGAUAGGCUCAUCACACCAGUUCGUCCAACUGAACCAAAAGUUGGCCGCAAUGCUGUCACACCACACCGAGAUGCAGGGUAAGUAAUGGAGCCGGCUGUUUCUGAACCAAUUGCAAAUGGAAUCAUACCUGUAAUGAAAAUUUAAUUUCUUAGACGAAGCAAUGUGCAUCUGGUUUAGGUUCAAUACUAGGUCAACAUGUUUGAUCAUGAAAAAGAUUGUUAGACCUAAAAAUACUAUGGCUUAUUUCAUGUUUAGGAUAAAUACUAGAGGACAUGUAUGAUAAAUUGAACUUAAAAUAAAAAAUACCAGCUGAGGUGCAGGCAGCAGGCCCAGCUGAUGAGCCUGUAGAGAAUUCCUCAAUGUUCCAAGGGUUCCUAGUCCUACCACCGAACCAGAUGUCAUCAUAUGCCAGUGAUCCAGUAACAAGCUUUGCAACAAGAACUGCCCCUGCAGAUUUUAACCUGCAUUGACAAUUCAUAAGAGUGAAUAAUGUCAUCUAACUAAAAAAAAUUUCCAUGAGAUCUCAAUGAUUUCAGUUUUCAGUGAUGCAUAAUACCUCUUAUACACCCAUGCUUCAAUAUUAAGCACUUGAUUUUUGAAAGUUGUUGAACCCCAAGUUGUCUUGUAGAGAGGUACUGAGAUUAUAUCCUUCAAUCCAUAAGGGAUGCCAUGUAGUGGUCCUAAAAUACCAAGUAAUAUAUAACUCUCAAACCAAUAAAAAAAUUGACAAUAAACUAAUACAAAAAGAGCUAUUUUUUUUAACUUCGUUAAGCAGGCAAGCAUUUGCCACCAUUCUAAAAAGUUGGAUAAAAUAAUGUAACCUGAACAAGAACAAAUUGUGAGCGAAAGAAGUAGAAAAUUGCAGCAAAUUUAUUCUGACAAAAAGUUUUUAACAUUAUGGCCGAAGGUGAUAAUCGUAUAGUGCAGCAAGUUGUUUAAAAGGUACCUAAAUGCACUCCUUGAGAGAGCAACUUGUCAGCUUCUUUCGCUUGCUGGUAAGCUAAAUCUUCAGUAUAAGUAACUACAGAUUCAAGUACAGGAUUGUAUCUGGUAUUUUAGCAAUAAAGAAUCAAUGUGUUUGAGGGACAAAAAGGGUAUUAGACAUUAUAAAUGCAUAAACAUAACCGGAUUUUUUAUUUCUACCUUCUCAAUCUCUUAAGAAAAAUUCCCGUAAGCUCCUCAGAAGUAAUCUGUUUUUUCUUUAUGAGUUCUCCUAGUUCGAGAACCUGAUAAUAAAGACCAGGAAAGUCGCAUACAAUAAUCAGGUCAAAGCCAUUUGUUUUAUUUUAUAAAGGCUAUAUCAAUUGACUCACACUCAUAAAGGCUAUAUCUUCUUCAUUAAUUGGCCUUUGAAUGCCGGAAGCUGAAGGAUGAUUAAACCUGCUGGCCUUGCCUUGUGAUUGCUCCUUGCUCCACUCGGGGUUAAAAACCAGAGGAGAAGGGUUAUGCAGCCCUCCAUUAAUAGAAGCAACUAACUUCCUGUUGGUUCUUAUUAUAGGAAUAUUGAACUCUUUUGCACCCUUUGCAAUCUCAAGAACCUGAAAGAAUUAAUCAAAUUAAAGAUGAUAAUAUUAGAUAAAGCAUACCCACUUCAAGCAGGAUUAUCUGAAAUGAAGUCAUAAUGCUAAAAUUCAUCACCUUUAUAUCGUUAAAGAAAUCAGCAUCCAAUAAAGUCAACCCAUGUCUAAUUUGUGAAGCUUCAGUAAUGUUUUUCGGACAUUCAUUGCCAUUUUUACUGUCCUGACAAAAGCACGAGUGAAAUGUCCAUAAAAAUAAGGUUAGGAAAUAAAGCAGACCCACAAUGCCUUGCAUUUGCUUGUGAUGUUUCAAUACCUGGGUGCAAGGCUACGAGAAUGAAUCAUAAGGUCCAUAACUUUCUGACAAAACAUAUCCCAGAUUUUUUUAUAGUUUUUCACCUGUUUUACAGAUGUUAGGUAAAAGGGGAAAAUAUCUCCUAUAAAAGAAUGUGACUGAAGAGGAAAAAAAGCAUAGCACAUAUGAUCAUGAUCUAUGUUUCUCGGACUAAGGUCCAAGUGUUCGACAUGAAUACGUUUCUAACAUUGGUAUGCUCAGUUUUUCAUGACUUCCCCUAUAUUUCUUUAGUUCAUUUUUUGGGUUAAAGUAUCUAGGAUGGACAUAUAUUCAAAAAGGCUUGAUUCUCGAAAUGCUUAAUAGAUCAUGGAACCCAGAUAAAAUAGUAAAUUCAGACGUGCCUAAAAGAAGAUUCUGACAGUAACUAUAGCUCCUUCAACUAUAAGGAUUAUGUUCAAAUAUCAAUCAUAUGCUUUAAAAUUGUAAGGCAGAAUUUAUGUUCAUAAUGGGAAUAAAUUUGAAGUAUCAAAUUCAAAGCACGCAUUCAUCAAGCGGCCUCUCCUCUACAAGUAGAUAGACAUUGACUAGCUUAUGACAACAGAUGUAGGAGGAGAUGGCGAGGGUUUGUACCAUUUCUAGGAGAGUGGCAGCUCGACGGCAAGGACAAGUUGGUAAAAUAGUUGACUUGUUGAUGUCGGUCAACUCUUGUUGGGCUUGAAACUGUGAAGGCAGAUCUGCAAAAGAAUCGGCCAAGGAAUAGAAGAGUAGUAAAAGGAGGGAGGCCAUGAAACGUGUCGAAGGCCGAGAUGACAUGUUCCGACACUUGUCGAGAAACCAAGUCGCUGUGUUCCCGGCGGGUGUAGGGCUUUGCCUCUUCAAUGACCGACUGACCGUCAUGCCACUGAAUUGGAAUCUACAUAACUCACUAUAAAAGGGACCUUCCAUUUUGUCCACACGUGGCAGAUAUUUAUUUAGUUUUUACAUUUUAGGUCUCUUAGGUCUAAAUUUAUAUUUAAUCUUUAUAUAUUAAUUUAUAAUAUAAUUUAGUCUUUAUAUUUUUAUGAUAUUAUUAAUUAAUCUAGAUAAUUAAUAUCGUUAAACUUUUUAUUAAAAUCUUAUAAAAUUAUUGAAAUCAGAGAUGCGGCACCAAAAAGUUCUUACAUUUGGCGCUAUUUUUGGGGAAAACGCAAACAGUUUUAACUUCAGGAGCUGAACUGUAAUUAGGAUCACCAAAAUCCUGAACAUCCUCCCCAACAAUACCGAGAUCACCUCCUUCAACAGCUUCUGCAACAUCUGCCUCUGCUUCUGAUUGACACCUAGCAACUAUCACAGAAAAGAAAACUCAUGUGAAGCCAUAAUUUUAAAACAAAAUGAAAAUUUAUUUAUUUAGUAAUUUACCAAAAAUAAAAUAAAAAAGUAAACAAAAUUUAAUACAACAAACAGAUCCGACAUCCGGAAAUAACUGCUUCAAUAAUGUAAUUGAAAAGGACACCAAACUCCAAAGUACUUGCCAAGGCCCUAGUACUAUUUCCUUUCAUUUUCCAAGAGCAAACCUAAACUGUAUUUCUAAAACAGCCACUAAAAUGCCAGUAAGAACAGAUAUCAAGAAGAUACCUAAGCUUCUUUCAAAAAAAUUCAAUCGAACUUUCAUAAUCACAGCCAUGCAACGCAACAAUGAAUUUAAAAACAAAGAAAUCACUUCAAAAUCUCACUACCAAAUCAUAAAUCUAGAAAAAAAAACAAACCAAUCUCACAUGGAUGUUAAAAAAAAGCGAAAGAAAUGAUACUAAAGGAAAACAAAUCGAAUUGCUUCUCAUUUAAACAGAUCAAAGCAAUCGCAGUAAGCAUAAAUACCUAAUUACAGAUCUUAAAUAUAACAAAGCAAGUAAAAACAAAGAAAAAAAAUUACAAACCUUGAAGGAAAGGAGAUGCGAGGAAGAGGAGAGCAAAGAAGAAAACGCUGAAAAUUUUCAUCCCCAUUUCAGAGAGUUUUUUUUUUCCGUCAAAUGAGAAAUAAGAAAAAUAAAUUAAUCGGUGUUAGAAAUGACAAAUAGAUGGAGGGACGGCGGGUUUUAAUCCAACGGCUAUAAAUGACAGAGAGCUCCGCCGGACGAACACUCUCCGUUGGAUCUUUGGUCAAUUGUGUGCUUUUAAAUAAUAUACAACUACUUCUCCACUACCCUUCUGUUCAGUUGCGCUUGCAGAAAAAUCAAAUAUAGCACGGCGCCGUUUUGGUCCUGACUUAUAUUUUCUUUUAUAAUUUAUUUUAUUUUUAUUAUCGAUAAAAUUGAAAUUUAAAUAUCUUGAUAUUUUAGGUUGAAAUCUCAUAAUUUAUGAAUUUAUUUUACGUUUCAAUUAUUUUUUUAUAAAUUUUAAAUAAAAUAUAAAAUGAGUUUUUAAAUCAUUUCUUAACUGAGUUGAUGUUAAGUUAAUUGCAUUUUAAAUUAGUAAAAAUUAUUAUUAUUAAAUUAUUGAGGGUAAAAGAAUUUGUUUAGCAAAUGUAUUUAUAAAAAUUUUAUAUUAAAUACAAAAGAAGGAUGGUAAUAGAUUUGAUCAUGGAUUGAAUUGGAUUCGGGUCAGAUCGAUGUAAAAUUCUAGACUCGGGUUCAGAUUGAUUCGAAAAAUGGGUCUAAAUUUUUUUCAAAUUCAGUCUAGAUAAAAAAUACUAAACUCGAGUUCGAUCCGGCCAACCCGUAUUAAAAAUUUUAUAUUAUUUUUAUAUAAAAAUAAAUUUAAAAAAUAUAAUACAUCAAAUACUUUAAAAUUAUUAAAAAUAAAUGUUUUCCAACAAAUGUAUUAUAGUUGUAACUUAGCAAACAAAUGUAUCUAAAUAGUAGCAAAAUUAAUACUAAAACAAGAGUUAUACAAUAUCCAAAUAAUAACAACAAAAUAGUACUAAUAUAAUAUCAAAAUGGCAGCAAAAAAGUAGUAGAAAAAAUUUAGCCAAAUUUAGACCGACUCGGGCAAAAAAAAAAUCAUACUCGAGGCUCGACCAAUUUAGAAAUGGGUCUUAUUUUUUGUCCAAGCCUAUUUUUCGAGCCUAUAUUUUUCUUAAACCCUCCCACUUUUUAAGUGGACCUUCAAGCCUAGGCGGGUGACCCGGCUCAUGAUUAGAUCUAAAUGGUAACAUUUGGGUGCAUAUGAUCAUCUUGACAAACUUUGUCUGGGAUUUAUCCAAAGAUCUACUUCUGACACGAGGAGAGUGAAACUUGUAAAUUGGGAUACUAUUUGCUUGUCGUUGGAUUGAAAGCAAUGCUUGACAAGAACUUGGUGUUGCUUGCGAAACUUGGAUGGAGGUUGGUUACAAAAGUUGAAAGUUUAGUGGUGCUAGUUUAUAAGAACUAGUUUAGGAACGCUUAUCAAAAAUACUUUUGAGACAAAAACAUUUCAAAUAAGGUAUUUUUUAGAGAAAAAUAGUUUCUCUCAAAUCAAAAAUUGGUCAAAAAAUAUUUUUUUCCGAAGUUAAAAAUUUUAACUUCUCCCCAAAAAGCACUUUUGAGGAGCAUUUCUAACUUAGGCCUAAAUCAAACUAGAAUUUGUUUAAGGUUGAAUCCUCUCCUCAAUCCUAUCACUUAUAGUUUAGUGUCUUAGCAUGUAGGACAUUUACACAACCUUUCUGAUUUCGUUAUGUCUUAAGGGACUAGUGCAUGGCCAAAUAUGUUUGGAGAAAUCUGUUAGGAACUGAUCUAUAUUCCUUACUCUUUUCUUUAACAACUGACGAAUGUUGGAAGUUCAACUUGGUUGAUUGCAGGUACAAACUGGUUGGACAUUGCAGCUAGCCAGUGUUCUUUGCAACUGUUUGCUGGGGAGUCUAGAGGUGGUGAAAUGAGUUAGUGACAUUAAACAAUCGAUUGCCGGUGGAUGUUAAAAUGAAGUUGACCUAUCACAACUUGAAUGAAAAUGUGGUUGUUGGUUUAUGCAAGUGGAAAGUUCAAAAGGAGGUGCUACUUUGGGAGAAACUAGCUGCGAGUUGGAUGAAAUUGAAUACCGAUGGCAAGAAUAAAGUUGCAGGUGCUGGUGUGGGGGAUAUUGCUCUCUUCUAACAAGCCUUGUAUACCCCAAUUCUUGAGGGAUAUUGAUCAUGAUUCCUAAUCUUUUUUUUUAUACAAUACUUAGAAUUUUUCAUAGCCUAUUCUCAAUGCGUUUCAGCAUACUCGAAGCCACAUACUCUUGCACUAGCAACAAUACCGAUACCAACUGAGCUAAAACUCAAUAACUUAUAAAACUCAUUUUUGUUGGCCUUAAUUUGCUAUUGUAUUAUUAAAAAGGAAAAAAAAACUAAGCUGCAUUUGAAUUUAAGCUUUAAUAGUUUUGAUACUAGAAUUAUCCUUAUUUAAAUUAUUUAGCAUAUUAGGAAUAAUAUUAAUUUUUUUUAAAAUUAGUUUAAUUGGUUGAAAUAUAAAUUUUGUUUCCGGAUGAUAUAAUAUUUGGUCACUGAAUUUGGUAAUUAGGUUCACCUUGGUAUUUAUAUAUAUAUUUUUGUUUAAUUUGGUAUUUAAACUUGACAACUAGGUUCAUCUGGGUACCUGAACUUGAAAAAUAUAAAAGUUCAAUUAUGUAACACAAUCUCAAAGUGUCACAUUCGGUGUUUUAAUAAUUGAACCAAUGGUUGAGCAGGUUAGACCAUCGGUUCCAUAUUCAACUAGUUUGAUUGAUUCAACUGCUUGACAAAUAAUAAUUAAAAAUUCAAAAAAUCUAGAAAUAUUCAAAAAAUAAAAAAUUUGUCAAAUUGGUUCAACCUAUUUAAUUGUCAAUUUUUGUCUCGAUUUUCAAUUUUUACUAAUUUCAAGUAGUUUUAGAGUUAAUCAAUUCAAGCUCUUUGUUCGAACUAUUUUAUCGAUCAAUUUUAAAUCCGUCCAAUUCUAUCAUGUUCUAGUAAAAUUGGUCAUAUCAUCAAAUCUUGAAAAAAAUCUCAAUUCAGGGACUAAAUUUGAUCUAGUUACUAAAUUCAAUAACCAAAGUAGACCCAAAAAAGUACAGAUACCAAAAUAGACUUACUUACUAUGUUCAGGUGUCAAGAAUUAUAUUAUCCUUUUGUUUAUUUGGUUGAAUGAAUAUAAGGUAAUAGUACUAUUUUACUAAUUAAUUAAUUUUUAAUUAUAAAUAAAAAUAAAAAAAAUUAUAAAAUUAUACUAAGAGUGAAAGCUAUGAAAAUAGCACAAUAAUAAUGUAUAAAAUGUUAAAAUUUAUUAACUAAUAAAUAAUUAAAUAAUAAAAACCUAUUUAUAUUAAUUAAUUAAUUAAAAAUAAAGGCAAUACAAUUGACGGAAUGAAAUAUAAUAGACACAAUAUUAAAUUUCUUCACUAAUAAUUCUAUCAUACACGUAUAUUCGUGGAAACCACACAGUACUAAACAAAAAUUUAUUGAUCUGGACGUAGUAAAUGAUAACGAAAUCAUACAUUACUAAUGAUAAUGUAAGAUAACUUGAUCCAAAUGUUAUAUAAGGCUAUAUUUGAUAAAUUGGAAAAUUAAGUGUUGCAUUUAAGUUAUAAAGUCCGUUUGAAUAUAAUUUGAUUAUUUAAUGGAGGACAAUAUAAUCUUAAAUGAAAUAGAAAUAAUAAAAAAUAAUUGAUUUUAUUAUCUAUAUCUACUUAUCAUUUUCUGUAUUUUUUAGUAGUGGUUAUCAAAUGUGUUUAAAAAAAAUUAAGUUGCUGAAAAUAUUAAUUAGGCAUAAUAUCUUAUUUGACCCUCUAGCUUUAUAAAGAAGUUAUUUUAGCCAUUCGUUUAAUUUUUUGCCUUUUUUUAACCAUUGAACUUGCGUUAUUUGUCUAAUCACCCUAAUAUAAAUGAAAAAGUUUGCUAAUGUGGCGUAUGCCACAUCAACAAUUAAAAUUUUAAAAUAAAAAAUAUAUAAAAAUUCAAAAAAAAGACAUAAAAGUUACUAAAAACAUAAAACUUAUUUAACCAUAAAAAUUAUAAUAAUAUUCUAUGAUUUUUAGAAUUUUAAAAAAUUAAUUAAUUACUUACGUGGCAUAUAUAUAGAUCUUGGUGUCUUUUGACAAAAAAGCAUUAGUUUAAGGGUUAAAAUGAUUUUUUCUAUAAAAUUAGAAAGUCAAAUAAAUCAUUAUACCUUAUAAUUAUUUAUCUAAUUAUAAUUAAUUCCCAUUAAAUUCCUAAAAAUAAAAGUAUAAAAAGUAAAUCUUAUAUUUUGACAAAGUAUAAGGACCAAGAGCAAAAUUAGACCUUAAUAUUAUCAAGUCUAAAUGUACGGUCCACAAUUUGUCACCACAGAUUCAGGGAAGAUUCAGAUCAGUUUCUUCAUCUCACAUUAUUCAUCACUUGUGUUAAACCACGUGGCAGGAUUCUACUAUGGUAGGUACAAAGAUAGCUAAAGAAAAUCUAGCCAGCACAACUGAAACAACAUCGUUUGUCCCUUAGCCGUUAUCGACUCCUUGUAGGGCAAAGUCAGGGACAUUUAUGGAAAACGGAACCACGACGUUCAGAUAAAUGUCAACCCCAGCGGUCCUCAUUCGCGUGACAACACGCUCCUUUUGUUUAAAAGGGUUAAUAUGUAAUUUACCUCCUAAAUUUAUCCAAAAGUACUUAGUUGGUACCUAUUUUUUUUUGUACCUAUUUGGUAACUGAAUUUGUAUUCCAUCACACACAUUGCCCAAUUUGUUAAACAAAGUUAAUUUUUUAAGUGUUAACAUAUAGUUUCCCCUUAAACUAGUCCAAACGUACCUAGUUGGUAUCUAAACUUUUCAAAGGAGUACCUAAUUGGUACUUGAACUUGUCCAAAAAGUUUUACUUUUUAAAUUGAUGAGUUAAUACAUAGUUUGUCCUCUGAACUUGUCCAAAAGUACUUAGUUGAUACCUGAACAUAUUGUCGAAACCAUUUUUUAAAAACAAAAAAUUUAGGUUGUCGACUUAAAAAAAAUGAAAAUUGGGAGUCGCAACCAAUCUUUUAUUAAGGUGUGAUUGGAUCACCUAAAAAAUAGCUUUGGUCUACGAGUUUUAGAAAAACGGAUCCGGGAGUCAGUUACGUACAAGGAAUGAUUAGCACCCUCGUAACCGCCAAAAUUGAUACCUAGUUAAUUAAUUAGUGUCUUAAUGUCGAAAAUUUGAAAAAUAUAAUCCUUAGCAAAAACUUUAAAACGUUACUUAUUAUGACCCUUAUCAUUUCGAAGAAAGAAAAUGUCACACCCAAUGCGUUAGGGCACAACAUUCUAAUUUCCUCAAAAAUGAAUUAGUCUAAAACUCGUGUAAUAAAAAUUUAAAAGAAUAUUCAUUGUUUAAGAUUUAAGAAAUCGCGGCCCAAUACGUCAGGGCACAAUUCCUCAAAAUCCCAAACUUGAAAUAUUUCAUUUAUUAUUAUUUUUUCAAAAAAUAUUUGUCUCGAGAAAUCAAUACGUCACAUCCAAUAUGUUAGGAUACAACAUAUUUAACUCCCCAACAACAAGCUUUUUAUUUUAUAUAUUUUUUAUUAAUGAGCAACCCUCGAUCGUUGGAUUUAACGAAGAAAAUCGGAACCCAAUACGUUAGGGCUCAAUUUCCUUGAAAAUCCUAAAUACGAGUAUUAUCUCAAUUUUGAAAAUUUAAAUAAAAUGAUGUGAUGCUACAUUAAAUAUAAAAUGUAAUAAUAAAUACAACAAUGGCAUAGAAAUAAACGAAAUUAAUGUACAUAAACAACGACAUGUAAAAUAUCAAAUGAAUAUAAAUGAAAACAUAAAUCAAUAAGCAAAUGAAGGAAAUAUACAAAAAAAUAUAAAGAGAAAAAGGUACAAAAUAUAUAUACAUUUGAAAUUAUGAAGAAUAAAAGAUAUAACAUAAAAUUUUGGGUUAUAAAACUUAUAUAUAUAUAAAAUACAUAAUGCAUUUAUGAAAACAAGAAAAAUAUAAAUAUAUACAUAUAAAAUAUAUUCGUGCAUUUACAAAAAAAUGAAAUAUAUAUGUAUAAUAUAAAACGUGGAAAAUAUUUAUAAUAAAUUUUGAAUGGAGUAUAAAUAUAUGUGUAUAUAUUACAAAAAUGCAUAAACAUAUAAAAAUCAUAGAAUAUGGGUAAACGUAUAAAUAUUAUGAAAUAUAAAUGUGUAUAUAUAUAUGUAUAAAAAACUAUGAAAAUAAAAUAAUAAUAAAGUAUGUAUAUAAUAUGUAUAUAUAUUAAAACGUUUAAAAUAUAUAUGUAUAUAUAUUAACAUGCAUAUGCGCACAUAUAUGUAGGUAUAAUAAUAAUAUAUAAUAUAAUAAUAAAAAUAAUAAUAACAAAAUUAAUAAAAUAGACUAAAAACCUAAAAUGAAAGAUUAAAGAUUAAAUUGAAAAUCAACAUAAUUUAAAAAAAAUGAAGGGCCCAAUUAAAAGGCGCGAAUAACUCAUAGGGCUUGAAUGGAAAAAUAUCUCUAUCCUUUGAAACGUGCCACUUUAUUAGGGCUAAAUAAAAUAAAUAAAUAAAAUUCGCAGUGGUAUCACCUUCUCCCUUUUUUAAAAUCGUAAAUAAGUAAAAAAUAAUCAAAAAUGAAAAAAAAGAAAACAGUAAGCCACCUUUAAAAAACUGUCAAUCGUUCUCCCUUUUUUAUUCAUUCUCUUUUCUUUUUCAAUGAAGGGAGAGGCCUCUAUUUAUAGCUGAGCCUCCCUAAAUCCCACGGUACAGAUCAAUUACAUCAACAGCGAAGAUUAAAGGGUAUCUACAAAUUAAAUCUCUAAGAUUACAAAAUCAUACCUUUUAAGAUUACAUAUCAUAUCUAAGAUUGCAUAUAUCAUAUCUAAGAUUGCAUAUCCUUGAAGAUUAUGUUUCCAUAUGUGAGUCUGGGCAAAAAUUGGGUAUUACACAUAUAUUCCAUCACCUAGGUUGGUACCUCCGCACUAAUAUCGUUAAUUUGUGCUAACGUGACACUGAUAACAAAUCUUAUAACAACACAUGGUAGCCUCUUAAGCUCGAACUUGAAUAUAUACAAGCUUAAUCAAGCUCAAGUACGAAAAUUGAUAAACGAGCUUAAUCAAGCUCAAUCUUAAAAAUAGAUGUUCAAUCAAGUUCAAACUGAGUUUUGAACUCAAAAUUUUGAGUCAAGAUUGAGCUUACCCAUUUUUUAACUUAGCUUGGCUCAACUACACCCCGAGUUUUAACCUUUUUCUUUUGAGUAAACUACACCCGAGAUCACUUAACUAUUAGUAAGUUUACGUUUUGCUCACUGAACUUCAAAAAGUUACAAACUGGUCACCGAACUAUUCAAAAGUUUUUAUUUAAGUCAUUGAGCUAUUAAAAUCACUGAUGUAUAGCAUUCUCUAUUCACUUUGCGUUGCCUACACCAAUCAAAAGCUCUUAUUCCCCUUCUAUUCUAUAGUUCAUUUUUUUUUCAAGAAACAACUUUGAAUGUCAUGAACCUACGAACCAAAAUCUAAACAACUUUCUUUUCUGGUCUCCGACACUAACUGUCAAAUUGACUUAGAUCUAAGGUAUGUUCGUCUAUUUGUUGAUGGGUACUGAUCACUAUACUUGGGGUUCACUAGCUCAAUGACUUAAAUAAAAACUUCCGAAUAGUUCAACAACUUAAAUGAAAACUUACGAAUAGUUUAGUGACCAUUUUGUAAUUUUUAAAGAUAAAUGACCAAAACAUAAAAUUAUUAAUAGUUUAAUGACAUAGGUAUAGUUUACUAUUGCAGAACGUGCAUUGACGUUUCCUAAAAACCGCGUGACUAAAACCGAUCUCAAUCCUCGACAAGCCUGCGAUUAAGGCCAGUUCUUUAUUGCUUUUGAAAAGUGCUCUGAAAAAGUGCUUUUGAGAAAUACUUUUGAAAAAUUUGGUUUAAAAUUUGAGUGUUUAGUAUUAUUAUCAAAAAGUGCUUUUGAGAAAUAAAAUGUCCAUUUUAGACAUGUUAUUAUCAAGUAACAAAUAUGCAUUUAAAUAAUAUUUAAAUUAGUUAAUAUUAUUAUAUUUUAGUAAGAAUAUAAAUAAAUUAUUAUAACUUGUUGUUAAUAUUUUAAUAUAUGAAAUAUAAAUUUUAAAUAUUUUUAAGCAAUAAAUAUUAAUUAUUUAUAAAAUUUAAUUAUAAUAUAUAAACUAUAUUUUAAAUAUUUAAAUAUAACCAAUAAAUAUUUGUAAUUAGUAUUUUAAAAUUUUUUUAUUUUUAAUUAAUGAUUUUAACACAUUUGUAAUUAAGCACAAAAAAAAUACUAUCUUAUUGGAGGAAUGAAAAAGUAAAUAAGUACAAAAAAAAAUACUUUUAAGAGAGAAAAAGCAAAAAUUUUUAGCUAAAAAGUAUUUUUGAAAAACUAAGAAUUUCAACUAAAAAUAACUAUAGGUAAUUUUUCUUCCAAAAGUAAUUUUGGAUUCAGAAGUUUUGUUUUUUUUUCAAGCAAUGAGUAACUCCAACAUAAAACAUAAAUCCUAAGCAAACGGUCGCAACCUCACCCUCACUUCACUUUACUAACCAAAAGCCACCACCACAUACCCUUCUGAAACCUCAUCCACACCAAACUCCAGAACCAGCCUCGGUUAUCAAUGGCGAUGAUAUCUACAUAUUGCCCACAUUUCAACGGACUUCGCCGAUCAUCUCCCAAGCUCGACAGUUCUCAAUCUCAAUCUUUCCUUCAACACAUCAACUCUCAGCUUCGCCUUGCUUCGUCUCGUAAACCUUGCAGAGCUGUUACUGCCAUGGCCGGUUCCGGAAAGGUAAAGAUCAACUGUUACUUGAUUUGAAGGCUCUAGAAUUAACCUACCAACCCCCUUUUUUAAUACAUUUUAAACCAUUUUUGUGACGUCGGUAGUUUUUCUAGUUUUGAUGUUUUUCAGUCAAUACUUAGCAAUUAAAAGGAAAAAAAGGGAAAGUUUUAGAUGCUGAAUCUAGAAAUGAAUUGCUGAUCUUUGGGAUCUUGUCUCUUUGUUUAAGUAGUGUAUUAAGCAUUAAGCUUUAAGCAAGAGGGUUUUCACAAUGAUAUUUGCCAAUUUCACUGUUUUUUUUGGGGGGGUGUCUUUUAUUAAUGCUUUUGGUAAGUACUGACCUUUCUAUUUUUUCUUGAACUUGCAGUUCUUUGUUGGGGGUAACUGGAAAUGUGUAAGUACCCUUUUCUCACAGAUAUGGUGUUAGUCUAUGUUCUCUAUAUUUGGUCUUGGUUUUCUUCUAUUGUUAGCUCUUUGUGCCAAAUAUGUUGCACUACACUCCAUGAUUCCGUUAGCAUCUCCGUUUACGAAAGUAAUGAAGUCCUUUUAGAGUUCUCUUUGUGGUUGUUUGAUGUGGAAUCUUUCUUGCUAAUCUUGUUUAAUUGUGUUGAGGAUCGGUUGGCUCCUUUGGGAGAAGUCUUUGAAGUGUCAUCCCUUGGGAGGGUUUUGUCCCCAGCCUCCAUGGAGAGCCAGCGUGCUGUGAGCAGCUGCCCUAAGGGUCUGGUUAAUGGAGGGGGGUACCUCGACCGUACGCCCACCAAGGUGACGUGAGCAUCUCACCCUUGGUGGGGUUUGAACCCCUGACGUAUGGCAUAUAGGUUGCCUUGGUGGGGGUCCAGUUGGUUGCCGGGCGGACGGCACUACGAAGACUUCUUCCGAAGGAGCCAACCAACCCUCAACAAAAUGAUACUUAUCACAUUGGUUUUUGUUAUGACAUUAGUGUGAAGUUGACUCUUGCAAGUAUUUUGUUCUCAUGGUGGUUCUGGUUACUACCCUCCCCCAUUUUUAUUUAUUUUAUCAUUGCAAUUAUUAUAAAUAGAAAUGAUCUCCUGCUGUUGUUAAUUUUGUGCCUUUUCUAGUGAUCUAUACCUUUCAAAAGUUUCUUUUCUGACUUCAGAUUCUUCAAGUUCGUCAUGCCCUGCUAACCCCUUUUCUGAAAGUACUAUUGCAGUUUUUUCCGUCAAUACGAUUUCACACUCUAUUAGUUGUUAUGCCGGGAUCUUUUUUAUUAUGGAACAACUCAUGUAUGCCUAUUUGUUUCAUUCCCUAGUUCUAUUUCCUUCACUGAUGAUGUUAUUUUUCUUCGUAUAGAAUGGAACAAAAGACUCCAUCACAAAGCUUGUUUCUGACUUGAACAGCGCAAAGUUGGAGACUGAUGUUGGUAAUUUAGUGCCUUAAAUCUUGCAAUUUGUGUAUGUUAAAUCUAUUAUGGAACUUGGCUUAGGGUUUAUAUAUGCAAAUGGCUAAAAGAUUUACAAAAUUUUAUCGGUUUCAUAUGUGAUCCUUGAUAAAUUAUGGGACUUGGCUCGGUUUUGUAUUUAUCAGUUUUCAUUGGUAUAUCAUGUUCAAUGUUAUGAACAUUGCUAAUAAUUCAUUACUCUUUGACAGAUGUUGUUGUGUCACCUCCCUUUGUUUAUCUCGAUCAAGUGACAGCUUCAUUAACCGGUCGAAUUGAGGUAUCUGGUCAGAACUCUUGGAUUGGGAAAGGUGGGGCUUUUACCGGAGAAAUCAGGUUAGCUAACUUUUGUUUGAUGAGCUAAACAUGUUAAUUCUUCAUUAUUCCGUACCUGAGGGUCUGAAAAUUUAUUGUAUUUUUCCGUAUUACUUCAUUGGUACUGACAUAUGGUCCUCGUUUCACUCUGCAUUUCUUGUAAAUAGGCCUUUAAGUUUUGGGGCAUCUGUUAUUUCAUUUGAUCUGUUUCCAAACAUAGUGGAAGCUAAUUUGCGUUUUGUUUUUUAGUUAUGGACAUCUUUGUUUGCAUAUGCCAUACUGUUUGAUUGAGUUACUUCAAAUCUAUCCGCGUCUUUAAUAUGAUUCAUCUGAUUAUUUCUGUAGUGUGGAGCAAUUGAAAGAUAUUGGCUGCAAGUGGGUCAUUCUCGGACAUUCUGAACGCAGACAUAUUAUUGGUGAAGAUGAUCAGGUAAGAGUUUACGUGCUUAAUGUUCUUCUGAGGUGUUAAAGGACUUAUCAGAGAUUUGUUGUUGUCUUCAGUUUAUAGGAAAGAAAGCUGCUUACGCUUUGAACGAGGGUCUCGGAGUAAUAGCUUGUAUUGGUGAAUUACUAGAAGAAAGAGAAGCAGGCAAAACUUUCGAUGUAUGUUUCCAGCAACUGAAGGCUUUUGCUGGUAAUCUUUUGUGUCCUCUAUUUGAUUUUUUUACUUUUUUCCUCAUGAAUUACUUAGGUUAUCUCGUAAAUGUAGAGGAAGGGAUCGUGACCUAACUCUAAUGGUUCCAUCAUUUGCAGAUGUUGUACCCAGUUGGGACAAUAUAGUUAUUGCUUAUGAACCUGUAUGGGCCAUCGGGACCGGCAAAGUUGCUACACCCCAACAAGCUCAGGAAGUGCAUGUAGCUAUCCGUGAUUGGCUUAAAAAGAAUUUGUCCGAGGAAGUUGCAUCUAAAACACGUAUCAUAUAUGGAGGUAACUCAGAUACUAUACCAUUCUUGUAUACAUGUAUUUGUGGUUUAUGAUAUGAGAGACAUUCUAGGAUCGUGUAGAUAUGACAUAUGUUCCCCUUGGGUGAAAGUACUAGAAGCUCUUAUAUUAGGAGUUAGAUUUCAUUUUGCCCUUUUUACUAAAAAAUGAGCAAAUUAGUCCUUGUAUAUUGAAUCAAAGAGCAAACUAGUCCUUCUGUUAAAAAUUCUAUCCAUUUCUACUGUUAAAAAUUGGUCCCUGUACGUCAACAUGAGGUAUACGUGACACAUUACAUGUAACUGUCUGAUUAAUUUGUCAGCUGCAUUAGUUUUUAAUAGGAGAAUGGAUAAAAUUUUAAUAGAAACGACCAGUUUGCUCUUUAAUUAAACAUACAGAGACUAAUUUGCCCAUUUUUGGAGUAAAGUGGGUAAAAUGUAAUCUAACUCUUAAUACAGGGAUCUCCAUGAUACUUUUACUGUUCCCUUGCUAUGAUCUUAGUACGGGGGACGGUCUAUAAGAAGAUAGUACUGGAACACAUGAAAAAACUUGUAAGAGCAUACUGUAUCUCUUUUUGGCAGGGUCUGUUAAUGGAAGCAACUGUGCUGAGCUUGCAAAGCAGGAAGAUAUCGACGGGUUUCUCGUAGGUGGCGCUUCCUUGAAGGUAUUAUUCACUCUGUUCCAUUAUUAAUAAAACGUACCGAAAUAUUAUUCGGUUAUGGCAUUGCUGAUGAUUGGAUUCAAAAUAUUUGUUGAUGCAGGGGCCGGAGUUUGCUACAAUUGUCAACUCCGUAACAUCCAAAAAGGUGGCUGCCUAAAUAUAUAUGAAGCUGAUUGAAAGUAAGAAAUAAAGGACCUAAAUGAAGAAGCUAUUUGAGGUUGAAGCUUCACGUGACAUAUUUAGUGUUAUAUACCCCAUGGAGUUUUUUGAUUACUUAUUGAGUUCCAUUUUCCCGGAAAAUGAUAGGAAAAAAAGAAUUGUGGUGUUGUGAAAUAAGUUGAAAUUCUCGUUGUAACACUUUCUAAAUGAUCCAUGGAAACAAAUCGAGGUUGUAACCUAUACACGACCAUAUACUUGAACUUCUUCUGCAGUAGGAAAGGUUUGCACAUUUUCAUCAUUUGUUUUGGGCAAUUUACUUAGUUAGUCAUCCAACUUUUAAGGCUCUGUCAUUUUGGGAUCAAAAUGAAAUUAUUUUAACUAAUUUCGUUGCUCAACUUUUAAGGUGCUUUCACUAAAUCUUUAACGAUUGCUAAUUGUAUACAUCACACUUUUGUUUUGGUAACUCAAAUUCUAGGUCAUUUUAUUUUAGUCACCCAAAAAAUAUUUUUUAAAAAUUAUUGAUUGGGUUAAAAAGUAAUAAGAAUUAAAAUGAGAAAAUGGUAGAAACUAAAAUAAUGUAUUAAAAAGUUUGUCAAAUUGUUCUUGUUGAAAGUUCUAUUUUUUUUCUUUUCAAUAUUGAAAUUAAUCAAAAUUAUAUAAUCAAAAGAAAUUUAAGUUUCAUAGAAAAUUAUUAAAUAUAAGUUAUUUUAGUUGAUUUUGUUAAGGAUAGUUUGAAAACAUAAAAUAAAAAUUUAAACUUUAGGAGGCGAUUAAGGUAUUUAAUUUCAAUAUUAUAAUAAUAAGUCAAUUGAUAUUAUCAAAGGAUAGAAUGUUUACUUCUACUCAUAACAUUACCCUAACUCUUAAAUCAGACUAAAAACACGUUUCAGCUCAGUAGCGGAGCCACAUGAUAGAAAAAUUUUAAGAAAAAGAGUACUUUAUAAAUAUAUAUAUAUAUAAAUAGUAAAUUGAGUUAUUGACCUCACCAAAUUAUUUGAAAAACACCCACUAAAAUUCAAAAAAAUAUAUAUUUUAUUUUCUUUCAACAUUCAUUAUUUUUUUUCUAAAUUUUCUUAUUCUUUCACACUUUUUUCCAUAAUUUUUACAAGAUAAAUUAUCAUGAUGCUAAAAACAAUUUUUUUUAAAAAUAUUGCAUUCUCAUUACAUCAAAAAGCACUUAACUAGCUUUUAUUGUUGUGAAGGGCGUUAUAUUUUAUCCCAUAACUAUCGACUGGAAUUAGGAAAUAAAAUUUUCUUGUGAUAAAAAAGUAAUUUUAUUUAUCCUUACUCAUUAGAAGACUUAAAGUUUGUAUGCAUUGGCAUUAGUCUAGUAUUAAUAAUAUAGUUUUAAUCAUAUUAUAUAUUAAUUUAUAUGAAUUUUUUAGAUGUUUUAAAUUUUUAAAACUCGACCCACAAUCAAAAUAUCCCGACUCCGCCCUGCUUUAACUCAGGUUCUCCCUAGUGUUGUAAUAACAAUGAUGUUAAUUCAGUUAAAACUCAAUUGAUUCAUAUUUACUAUUAUAAAUAAAGAUUUUUUUAAUAAAUCAAAUUGAACUAUUACACGAGAGAAUUCAAUUUAAUUCAACAAUAAUAAAAUACAUAUAUUAUUUCGUCAACAUAUCGUACUCCAACUGGAGUGAUAACUCGAUCUCAUUUUCUAAAUUUAUAAUGAUAAAAAUAUAUGCCUGCGUGAUUUUAUAUAAAUCAAUUUUGCUCAAAACUCGAUUCAACAUUAAUACAAGCUCUUCAUUUCCGUUUUCAUCGCAUAACAAUUAUUGUUAUAAUAAAUGUCGAUAAUGACGGUAGAACGAUCGCAAAGUAAUAAGAAAAAAAAAAGAACACACAGAUUUUACGUGGAGAAAAAAUUCAUUAACGUUAAAAAACGAAUGAUAUCAAUAUUAAAAUUUUUUGUUCUAAUCAAAGUCAAAUAGUAAAAGUAUAAUUCUAUACGAAUUCUACUUAUGCUCCUCUUAUCCUGUCACUAUAUUUAUUUCUUUAAUAAAUAAUAAAAUUCGAAUAACACAAACUCUAAUAGCUUAUCCAAAUCAAUUCAGUUGACAAAGUCAUCCAAUUCUAUUCGCAGGCGUGGGACAUAUUAGAGGCCCGACAACACCAAACAAUCACAUGGCUUUCGUCACUUCUAAUCGAAAGCACCAGCAGGGGUUAACCGAUAGUGUCAGACAAAACAGACGGCCGUACAUUGGAAAACCCUUCCUGACCUGAAAACUUCUGUUCUACUUUUGGGUUAUUUAUUUAUGUGUUUCUCUUCUGGUUUUCAGACACCUGCCAUGGCUGAUGUAUGUGGAUUAAAAUCAUUGUUUAGGGCAUGGCACGGCACCAACAACAUUGGACUACAAUGUGGAUUCUGGGAUUAAAUUUUAAAAAAUUAAGAUUAAAGAUUUAAUUGAAAUUUUGUGAGAUUAAUAAAAAUUUUCAAAAUUUAAGAGGAUUUAAUUAAAAUUUUUUAAAAUUUAAAGAGGCUUAAUUAAAUAUUUUUAAUAUUUUGAAGGAAAAUUUCUCAAAAUUUUGAGUGCCUUAGAAGUUAGAAUCCGCCCCUAACUACAGAGCUAAUGCUUCGUAAUUAGUACUAUAUAUUAAAGCCUCUAAUUAAGUUAAUCUAUGAUUUAAUUGGAGUCAAUUCGAUUAAAAAUAAUUUAAAUAUAUAAUUACAUUAUCAUAAUUGCAUUUUUGUCUUUUUAAUAUAUUUUUAUAUAAAAUCAAUAAAACUUACACAUUUAAACAUAGAACACAAUGAAAUCUAAAUAUUUAAUUUUACCAAUUUAGCCAAAGUUACAUUUAAUUUUUAAUGAAUAUAUUUAUUAUAUAUAUUUUUAGUGAAUUACAAGAACAAGACAAAGCCUAAAACAACAAACGCGACAAGUGUGACUCGAACUCAGACCACAUCUGGGACAAUAAACACUCUGACCAUUAUGUCAUGGGAUUCUAAGUAAUUUAGUAUUUGUAAUGCUAAUAACUUUGUAUAAGGAUUGAGAUAAAAUAAUAAAAUAUUAAAAUGAAAAAAAUCAUUAAAAGAUUGGAAGGCUUAAAUUGAAUUAUAAGCAGAUAAUUCUUCACUCGAACCCAUGACAUGAGUUGUAGGGUGAACACCUUUGAUUAAUGAGCCAACAACAAGGCUCAGGUUAUCAAUAUUUGGAUACAUGUAAAUUUGUCAAUUAGGUGAAUUGAGUUGAUUUGACACCGUAUCGAUUAGAAACGGGUUAGUUAAGGUUUUAAAUUUUUUGAAUUAUUUAUGUUCGAAUUAUUUCGGUUAUGGACUGAUCUGAGUUCUAAUUAUUCAAAUUUGAGACUCGAUUCUUUUUUAGUUCGGUUAUUAUGAGAUCAUUUUAAGUUUAAAUCAUUUCAGAUUAUUUAUUCGGGUUAAAUUUUAUAAUUGCAAAAUUCCUAUUAGAAAAUUGUUUAGUGAAUUAAAUUGAAUUUAACUUGGGAUAAAAAUUGAUAAAUCCACAUAUAGCUACUUCACAUCCGCCCAAAUCUGGAUGACCUAAUAUUAGACUGGCGUCGGACACCAAUUUGCAGUGGAUAGCAGCUGCCUGCCGUUGCCACGUUUAACUGGAUAAUAUAACAAUAUUCAUAACCACAUGCAUCCGUCGACCGAUUGGCUGGCUCAACCAUCCCCCAAUUAAGGUCUUCAAAAUUGAAUUGGUAAAUCAUAUAUUUGUUAUUAUUUUUACUAUUUACACCCAUUAUUUAUUUAUUUUUAAUUUCAUUAGUAUAAAGACAAUAAUAUUAUUAUAAGUAUAUAAUAAGUACAAAUUGUAAGUAUGAAUAUAUGUCCAAUUAAUUAUAAUGUAAUAUUCAACUAAUACACAGCACAUCAGAUAAAGAAUUCGACAAAAGUUGGACUAGUUAAAAAAAUCAGGCUAAAUCCAUGCAAGGCAUACCCGUGAGGUAAUUAGAGGGAGACCCAUUAUUUAUAAACAUUACCAAUAAGUGUGGGAUGCAAUAAUGAGGUAUAUUGCAAUAUAUAUUCAAAUUUUAGAGACAAUAUUAUUGAGAGAGACAAUUUUUAACCCAAACCCCAAAUAUGAAACAUAAAUAUAUAUAUGUAUAAACAUUUAAAAAACUCGAAAAGAGGAAGAAGAAAAAGCUGCUCAAACCCUUCAGCAUGCAUGUAAUGCGUAUGGGACGUAGUUUAAUGUGUAUAAUUUUAUAUACCGUUAAUAAAUUAUUCGAUGAUAAUUAAUAAUUACGAAAAGUAAGUGAAUUUUACUUUUAAAAAUUUUAAAUUAUAGUUAUUAUUUUAUUCAUUAAUAGAGAUAUGUUGAUGGCUUUGGAGGAACGAGUGGUCAAUCUCAAGGAAUCCAUGAGGGACAUGAGAGAGACACUUGAUGAAGUCGAGGGACGCACUAUGGAAUUGGACUUGAAGGAAGAGCAAUUCAAGGAAGCGUGUUGGAGUCUCUCGGUUCCAAUGUAGAAGACAUGCAAGGGAUGCUCAAUUUCAGUGCGGAUAAGCUAAUAGUGAGAGACGAUGCUCUCGAGGUCACGGUGU
Molecule: long non-coding RNA, 125517 nt
Filed under: Gossypium barbadense (sea-island cotton)
Lineage: Eukaryota; Viridiplantae; Streptophyta; Magnoliopsida; Malvales; Malvaceae
Description: long non-coding RNA (GBAR_LNC015839)
Rfam family: MIR7502 microRNA precursor family (bases 90157-90300)
Source: RNAcentral